RNAcentral lists this long non-coding RNA (117854 nucleotides) under Vitis vinifera (wine grape). RNAcentral describes it as "long non-coding RNA (VVIN_LNC002778)". Lineage: Eukaryota; Viridiplantae; Streptophyta; Magnoliopsida; Vitales; Vitaceae. The record is from RNAcentral.
UAGUAGAGAUGGUAAAAAAUUUGACACUACUUGUGACUCUUCUGUUAGCAGGUUGUGAAGAGGUUUCUCUAGUCUUAUUAAAGAGAUCGGUUAAUUGAUGCAAAUCCUCAAUAACACUCAUUAGCUUGCAUGAACCUCACCAAAUUUGGAUUGCAGGUCAAUGAAAUUUGAACCAGCACUUUUUCCCAUGUGAAGGUCAAUCCAAACUUGAUCCUGGCCUUAGCUCAACCAAGUAUGAAAAUUCAAUUCUAGGGCUUUGCUUGUUUAGAGCACUAAAUUGAACAAGAAAAAUAUGGAAACAAUUCAGGAAACUCCCACCUUUCUGGUUUCAGAAUUCACAUCAGAAGGCAACCGCAGCCAAGCUGAGUAGAGCAAGGACUCAUGGACGGUAACAUGAGGAGAGUGGAUAUCAUUCUGCUCACAGUAUCCAGAAAUUCGAGCAAAAGUCUCUUGCUUCUUUGGGUAGCCAGAAAUGGUGAUCUUACCCUCAAUAUAUCCACCAGUUUUCCGACCAGCCAGUACAUCCAUGAGAGUGGUUUUACCAGCACCGCUAACACCCAUCAGAGCUGUAAGAACACCAGGCCUGAAAGCACCACUCACCCCCUUCAGAAGCUCCAGUCUGUCUUCAAGGGCACCCUGACUUUUCAUUUCCUGCAAGUUCAUUUCAAAUUACUCAGUUCUCAUUUUUGGUUUUAUAGUACAUUAUGAAGAAACAUAUGUCGUCAUUUAAAUAAAUAUGACGUUACCUCUGGCAUGUCAACGGAGUAUCUAAUAUCAUCAAAGGUGAUAGAAUGUGGUUGGAAUGGAAGAACCAUUCCUUUCUUCUUAUUAUGUUUAGCCUCAGCAAUGGCUUCUACCAUUUCCUCUCCCCUCUCUGCAUUUCAAGUUUAAAUUCAAUGAGCCAUAUAAAACAUGUAGUUAAAUGACAAGAACUGAGUCGCACAAUGGCAUGCAUGCAUGCACCAUGUUUGAGUUUCAUCACCUGUGGUUGCAGUUUUGGCAUUGUCAGACUCUUCUGUUAUAACAGCUUGAUGAUUCUCAAAUGCUGCGCAAUUUGCAACAUGUUAGUACACUAAGCUCAUAUUUUUAGGAGUUUCAAUGCAGAGAAGGUAGAGACACCCACGAUUUAGGUAAUUGAGGCACAGAGUGUAAAAGAAGUUGAACACAAAUAUGAAUCCAAGCAGUGCCCCAGCUCCUAUCCAGUACCAGUGUGCGUCUGUGGAGAACCCACGAGACUUCAAUACUGUAACUCCAAGGGAUUCUGUUGAAUCGGUAACAUUCUGAAAAAGGGAAAUACAUACAAUCAUCAGUUACUGACACACAUAAAUAAACACAGAUAUUCACAUGGAACAUUCAAGAACUUACUUUGCUCCAACUCUUCCCAAGGAAUUCAUUUACCACUAUUGCAUUCUGUGCAUACAUCAGAGGGGAAGACCAGUAACCCCAAAUCCACCAUUUCUUGACAUUAUCUGCAGCAUUGACCAAAUAAAAAAGGAAACAAAAAUUCAUUAUUAGGGGUUAUGCGCAAGAAGGUUCUAUGCUUCCUAAAAGAAUAUUUCCUCAUCAUACCAUGUGACAGGAUAAAACCACCCGAUGCCAAGAGCAUAAGUAAAGCAAAUGCCCCAAAUGUGUUUGCAACAAUCAUGUUUCUACCAGCUGCUGCUAUAAAUCGAAAUAAUCCAGAUGCCAUCUGAUUAACAAGCAAGAGGAGAAGAUACUGUCUAAACAACCUGCAAUAAGGAGAUUUGUUUAUUCAGCAUUAAUCAUUUUGGAACAGAGAAAACAUGUAAAAGAAAUCUGGAUAAGUUUCUGCAACUUCAUAACUUUUUCACUUUUACCUUUCCACAUUUGGAUCAAAUCCAAUGACAUAGUAAGUGAUGAACACCCAAACAGCAACUUCAACAAAUGUGAUGGGGAUCUUGAGCACCCAUGAUGGAAGAGCAUAUGCCCAUGCAGGAUAGAAGAGUAGGUCUCUUUGCUUGUAAAAUACGGGAAGUUUUGCAAUUGCCAUGGCAAGUUCUGCCAUUCCAUUAAACAUGAUCAUGACAACAGUGAAGAACAAAGCACCGGUGUAAAUGCUUCCGUCAUCUGUUGAAUUUUUGUGCAUCUCAGUUCUUAGGAAGAGUGUCAUUGCAAUCACUGCCAUUACUGCAAGCUAAAAACAGAAAUAGAAAUAAUAAAAUUACGAUCACAUAUAGAAAAUUAAAAGCCAUUGUUACAAGUAACAAUAAUAAUAAUAAUAAUACUCACUUGGGUGAGCUUGAAAAUAUAGACAAAUGAGUUCCUCUUCAUCAGCAAGUACUCUCUUGACAUGUUGGCAUCCAACAGUACCUUCUUUCUAACACCAUACUUCUUUGUUGUCAAAGCAGCUGGGUGGCUUUUGGCCUUGUCAAAUGGUGAUGCCAGCUCAUCUGCUACUUUCCGUCCAAUGUGAAAUGACUGGAAUGCCUCAGCAAAUUCCUUGACCGUGACAAAACUGUAAGGCUCUUCUUUACGUGCCCAAUACUGGGCCUGAUCUUUCCUAGAUGUUACCUGCAAUGAAGUUUAAAGUUAUGUUCUAGCUCAAUUUUUUUUCUUAAAAAAAAUUUAAAAAAAAAAAGAGAGAUGAAGAUAGAAGAUGCCAAAAGCUACAAAGCUAGAUUUGCACUCACUUCUUGCAGAAAGUCUGCCACACCCUUCCUUGCAGGACAUUUGAAGCCCAUGGAUUCAAAAAAUUCAAGCACAUCUUCACGAGGACCCUGAUAAACAAUCUGACUAUCAGAGAGGAGAAUGAUGUCAUCAAAAAGAUUGUAAGUCUCAGGUGCUGGCUGGAGGAGAGAGAUGACAGCAGUCCCGUUGAGAAUGUGGAUGGUUUGCUUGAGAGAAUUGACAAUUUGAUAAGUUGUUGAGCUGUCCAAGCCAGUAGAGAUCUCAUCCAUGAACAGUGCCUUUGAUGGUCCUACCAGCAUCUCACCUAUCAUUCAUACAUUUCACAUAAUUGAAUUAAAUUAAAUUAAUGAACAAAAAAAAAUCUAAUUGAUUUGUUUUUUCAUUUAGUUGGAAACCAAAUUAUCCUGCCUGUUGUGACACGCUUCCUUUGUCCUCCAGAGAUACCCCUUAUCAUCUCAUCUCCUACCAUGGUAUCUGCACAGAUGUCUAGUCCCAGAAUCUGUAGAUUUAAAUGUAAAAAAAAAAAAAAAAAAUUAUGAAUUAGAAUUGGGUUUUCUCACAAAUCUAUAAGCUAUCAUUGAAAGUUUCAUGGUUAUAAUACCUUCAAUGUAUAAUCAGUGACAACAUUUUCCUUCUGACCUUCUGUUGCUGCUGCCUGAAAUAUUGGAAUCCAAUGAUGAAAAUGUCAACCACCAUGCAAGCAACUUCAGUACAUUAAGAAAUUUCAUAGAUAAAAGAUUCUGACAUAGCAUAAAAUUCACAAAUUAGAUUGAUUCAAGCCAUUCAUUUGAGUAAAAAAAGAAAGAAACAAACUCCAGAACAGACAGAACACCGACAAUACAAAGCCAUUUUGCCUAUCUAUGUCAGAAUUCAAAAUUUAAUUUAUGGAAAAGAGUAGUAUCCAUGUUCACUGAAAGCAAAUAGCUCAAUUUUCUGCAGAACUGAUUAAAAUUUCACUAAAAGUAGAUUCUGUCUUACCUUCAUGAGACAUCAAGAUCAGGAUCAGGCUUAUUAUUUGCUGCUUUNNNNNNNNNNNNNNNNNNNNNNNNNNNNNNNNNNNNNNNNNNNNNNNNNNNNNNNNNNNNNNNNNNNNNNNNNNNNNNNNNNNNNNNNNNNNNNNNNNNNACAUCAAGAUCAGGAUCAGGCUUAAUAUUUGCUGCUUUCUCUCUUCUUGACAGCUCUGCUAACAUGUCUGAGGAUGGCAAAAGUAAGAGUCAAUCUCCUAGGCUAUGCAAAUGUCAUAUAACCACAUUCACAACCUGCAAAAAGCAGAGAAAUAAAAAGCAAAGGCAAUGGUUUAGACUAACCAUAUCGAUCUCCAACACCCUGGCAUCUUGCAGAGAAUGCCAAGGUUUCCCUUACAGUCAUUUCUCCUAUAUGGGUAUCAUGUUGGCUGAUAUAAGCUGCAGUUCUCUGGGGUACAAACUCAUUCAUGCUGUGACCGUUGUAUGUCACCCUUCCCGUAACCUAAAGAAGGAAUUUCAGUUUUUAAGUUGGAUAUGAGAUUAAAGAAAUAAAAAAUCAAACAUUCGAUAGAGAAUCGGGGAGUGAUAAUCAUUUUCUUUCAACCUUUAGAUUGGGAUCAAGCUUUCCAGCCAAUGCCAAUAAGAGGGUGGUCUUUCCAGAACUUGGAGGACCUAAAAGCAACGUCAUUCUGCAGAAGAAAAAUAUGCACAAAAAUCAUGAUCAUGGAUCUUCAGGACAUUCUAAAUUUGGAGAACGAAAAAUUCAUUUGAGUUAUCAAUCCAUUUUUAAUUACUAGAAACAAAUUCAUGCUCACCUGCGAGGUUUGAUGAUUCCACUAACAUCAUUGAGAAUAGUGCAUUUCUUCUUUUUACUUGGAAGAAUGUGGACAGCGUUCAGGAUGCCCUUUGGAAAAGAAGGGAAAAUUAGAAUCUAAAAACAAACUUACCUAAAAGAAUACUAAGUACAUAGCUAAUGAUCAGCAUUUGCAUGUAGUUACCUCAAGUUUAUUAAAAAUGAAAUUAUGGAAUGAAGGCAAAGCUCUGCUUCCUACAAAAGCUUCUGCAUCGAUGGUAAGAUGCUCAAAUCUAACUUCAAUUUCGGGAACAUCAACUCCAACUCUGAAAAAUGGAAGAGACAUGAAAACCCAUUAUCAAAAAUUCAAAGGAAGAUGUUGGAUGCGGAGAAAUGUGGGAAACGCCUAUGAGGCAUAUUUCAGGUAAAAUUUUCAAUGUUCAAAAACAAUUGGCAAGGAAUGCAAGAGAGGAGGAGAAAUCUCACCUAUCGAUACGAUUCUUAAGCUUCAACAAGAAUUUCUCAUUGUCCUCUUCGGCAAUUUUUACCAACCUCUCCACUAAAUUCUUCUUUUCCUGAAACCCAAGGUUAUGUAUAUCAAUUUCACUGGCCUCACCCUCUGAUCCCAUCAGCAAACCUUUCCUCAACCGAUUGUAGGUGGGAAGUUUCUCGAGUGCGGCCCAUUUCAAAGCUUCCUCAUCAUCCUCAUCCCUCGAAGAUUGAGAGAAAACAUCCGCACCCGAGUUCCUCCAUAUCGAAGAACCGUUCCUCCGAAAACUACCACUGGCUCUAUAAAUGUCAGCAGUGGCCAUUGCAACCUGAAACGAAAAACCCUCCUGGAAGACCAACCAAAACCCACAAAAACCCAGAACCGUUUCCUCCAAAGUUUGGGAGAGAAGCUCAAAAAUCAGAGAUGCGUCUCCUCCCUCUCUCUUCUCUGCAUAAAAGUACCUUUGUAUUGCUAAUAUUUGAUGCCUAUAGAGUGGAGGGUUUAUAUAGUGAUGGGUAGAGCAGAAAAUGGGGUGGCUUUCAAGUUUUCAAACUUCUUGAUUUCCCGUGACUCUAUUAAAAAAUAAGCGGACAAUUUGAAUAUAUAAGAGGCUGCGCAAUGACCCCAUGAUAUAACGAACAAGGAGAUGCCACCAUUUUUUACCUGUCAAAUUCUUAAAUAAAACACUUCCAGCGUCUCUCAAUAGGGAACGUGAUUUAUUACAAGCUGUCCAACCCGCUACAUCAACUAACUUUGUCUUUUCAACCGUUGGUCCGGGUUGGUUCCAGGUGGACCCAAAUCCGCCAAAACUACAAAUGUAAGUUAUGUUUUGUUUUGUAUUUUUUUAAAAAAAACUGUUGAGUACAUUUCCCCUCCAACUCUCCUACCCCCCACAAACUUGAGUUCUAAAAUUUAAAUAAAUGACUUUUUAUGUUUAGAUAUUAUAAAGAAAAGUUAAGGAAAAACUGCCACAUAUCGUGUCACAUUCUAUAACAAUAAUAGUAAGUUCCAACGGUCAAGUCAAUCAUGGGAAAUAGAAGGUGAAUUUUUUUGUGUGUGUACUUCCUUUAGAGAGGGUUGUUUCGAUUUCUCGUUUGUUGUUGGAUGGAAUUUUGUCAUAGAAACUGAGUUUUUUACAAUUGAAAUCCUUGCACUUGGGGAUUUGGCAUACUUUCAAAUAUCAUGUUUGAAAUCCUUGCACCAUUUUUGACCAUUUUCUUUUGAGUUUACCUUUUCUGGUGUCAGUAGACCAUUGCCUAUGUCAUUUUUCAAGUUUCUUUACGUUUGUGGAUUUUCGUUUUAGUUUCUUUUUUAAUAUGUAUGACAAAGUGGUUUAGAAAUGUAGAAGAUAGAUUAACUCGUGUUUCUAACAUGCAAUCCCUUCCACCUAACCACUUUAAUUACCACACCACCAGUAACACAACCAAUGGAAGAGACACAUGCUGAGUAUAGCCUUGCUCUAGGCCAAGACCAAAGGUUAGGCCAUGGAAGUGCUAAGAAUGAAGAUUCUGCAUACACAAUUUCAGACUUUGAGAGACUAUUUUCAAGCCACAAGGAUCAAUCCACCCUUUUGUAUUAUUUUACCAUAUAAUGUAGUUGGAAUACAAGUCAGACCCCAGAUGGUGCAAUUCUUACACCAAUAUUACGAGAUGGAGGGAGCCUAAUUGUAACACUGACCACUUAAAGCUAGAACUAUUUUCUUUCUCAUUGAAAGAAAAAGCUAAGCAUUAGGGAGACCUAGGAGUAUUAGUUCUUGGUAUGAGUUGCAAAUAGCUUUUCUAAACUGAUUCUUUCCUGCUCAAAAGGUCACAGUGCUAAAGAGGCAGAUUCUGAACUUUUGUUGUAAAGGAAAGAAAGUUUAUAUGAAUGUUGGGAUAGAUUCAAAGAGUUGUUGAUGAGAUGUCCUCACCACAGAUUUGAAAUAUCUUAGAUAUUAGUUUCUUCUUUUUAUGAGGGAACUUCUCUCCAGAUGAAGCGAACAAUAGAAAUUGUGGUGUAGGAACUUCAUGACUCAACAACCAAACCAGGAUUAAGAUUUUUGUAGUAUGUUGCUGAAAAAUCUAGAUCCUAGGACAUUCCAAUAUCCCAACUCCUUUCAGAUUCAGCACAGUAAGCCCCACCUCAAGUGGAGGAAUUUUAAAAUUCAAUACAGAAAAUAAUUUACAAGCGAAAAUGUUUGUGUUAACUAAGACACUUGAGGAGUUGAAAACAAAAAAAGGCAAAGGAAACUAGGACUAUCAAUGAGGUUUCUACCUCAUUUGAUAUGUGUGAAGGACCUCAAAAUAUAGAAAUACAACCUAAACCAGUGCACGUUGUAGGGCAGCUUAGAAGUCAAAAACUCAUCUAAUCUAGAUGUUUUUCUUGUUAAAAGUAUGUCUUUAGCUUCUGUUGCUAGGAUCUAGAGGCUUAGGAAGAAAAUAAUGCACCUAACCUAGUAUUGGGAUAGGGAAGAGAGAGAUCUAGUAUUCCUUAUGUACGUAAGGGCUCUCUUGUGCACCUUUCAGGUGUGUUGUACCAAAUUGUGCACCCACUUAGGCAACUUAAAUUGUGCACCUCUUAAGUCAUGUGUUGGAACAAAUUGCACACCCCUUCUCCAAAGCCACUAGAAUGCCCAAGCAACAUACCUCCUCAAGACUUGAAAUGUGUAACUCUUCCACUAAUAAUAAAGCGCACCCCUAGAGGUCAUUGAAACCCAUGCACUAGUCCUACGUUUGCAAAGGUUGAACACUAGAUAAUUCUUCCAAUGAUUGGUACACUCACCAAAGUAGUGCAUUCAUUCACACCUCAAGUCUUCAAUUAUACUACCAAAACUCACCCCAUGUUGAUUACAAAAAAAAAAAAAAAAGAGGUACAUGUACCAACCCUAAGGUAAUACAUCAAGGGUGAUGAUUAGUUAAUUGUACUUGCACAAACAAGUAUAGUGACAUUGGAAUAGGUGGAACAAGAGCUCAUUUUGCCCAUAAAAAGAGAACUAUGAAUAUACAAGUAGAUUUCUCUUACGAGUAGGAGUAACUUAAAGUGGUUUUAGCUUUUAGUUGGAAUUUUUCAUUUUUUCUUUUUUGGUAACCUACAUAUGGGAGGCCUCAACUUAGAUAACCUUUAGCACUCCAAGGGGUAAGAGGAGUUGAAGUCUCCCAUAUGUAGGGAAUCUCGGAUCACUUUGUUCCCUAUCUUAGGACUAGGUUAGGUGCAUGAUUUUCUUUCUAUUCCACUAGAUCCUAACAAUGGAAGCAAAAUACAUACUUUUUAACAAAAAAGAUAUAAAUUAAUGCAUUUGGGAAACUUUACCUUUGAUUUGGACAUUCCCAAAUUAAAUCCUUUUGGUAAAGAUGAAGUCUCUAAAGUCUCUAGAGAUCUUGUAUACCCACAUUAAUCUUCUAACCUUGAUCCUUGACAUACAAAUGAUGGGUUGUUUAGGAGGUUGGAAGCUAAGACUCUCUCUAUUUGGAUGGUGGAAGACUAAAAGUUAGAAACCCUAACCCCUAAGGAGGUAUUUAUAAGGUUCCCCACUAGGCUUAAAUGACUUAAGCCUAUUAAGGGCUUAAGUCAUUUAAUUUAACAUAAAAAAAGUCCUAAUUAAUUAAUUAAUCCAAUAGUAUUGUUCAACUAAUCAAUUAGCUCAAUCUAAAGAUGUUGUUCACCAACCCAUAUGCAACCUUGUGAAAUUACCAAAAUAUCCUUAUGCACAUAAAUGAAUAAAGAGCUAAUCCAAUCCUCAUAAAUCAUGUCAUUAAGGUACAUGAGCUCGAGUGGGGACCAUUAGGACUUAAAAGAUAGUAGUAACUCCCUAAGAAUCCAAUUCUAAAUUUUAUUUAAUAUCCCAUUACAAAAAAAUCAACUAUAAUCCAGUACUGUAUAUAAAUAACAAUGAAACACUAAGUACUCAUGUUCGUGUCCUACCAUCCAUUGCAUACAGUUUCCUCAUGAAUUGGUAUUUAUAGCCUAAUAAAGUGAAAACUAUCAACCUCUUAAGACUACCUCUAUCAUUCAAUUACAAAUCUUUUUAUUGUGUGAUCAAUUGACAUAUCCUAGCUCAUAAAAAGCUUAAGCUAAGUUCCACUUAAGGAACUACUAUGGUCAUAUAUAGUUUACCUGAACACACAUCCUUAUGAUCACUUAAAAUAACACAUUGUCUCAAAGUUCAUAAGAUAUAUAUCAUGGUGUCUAUCAAGAAAACCUAUUGCUACUGACUUCCAUCAAUAGUGACCCAAUCUAUAAGAAAUAUAUGAUCACUUUAAUAUAUCUUCUAUAAGUCAAAGCCAUUGCUAUUUUGGCAUAAGUUUAGUAUUCUCUCAAGGUUAAAAAAAUAACAUAAUAAAAUAGCUUGGUGAAGUUAUGACAACUUGAUAGCAUUAUGUCAUGACUCACCAUAGGUUCUAUCCAAUAUGUAACCAUACACACUAGUGCAAAACCUUAUCCUAAUGACUAAGACCAACUAUCCCUUCAAUUAGGAAGUAGUACACUACAAUCUCUAAUACGUUGUCUAAGUUUAUUAUGUGAUCAACUAACAUACUCUAACUCCAAGGAGCACAUGUCAAAUUCCACUAAAGCAAUUACUAUGGCCAUAAAUUUCAUGAUCACAUAUCCUUUGAAUCACUCAAGAUGACACAUUGUCUCAAUCCCAUGAGAUAUAAUGGUGUCUCUAUUGAGAAUACAUGUUGCCACCAAUCUCCUUCAAUAAUGACCCAAUCCAUGUAUAUAAUGACCACUUUAGGGUCUUACCCAUAGGUCAAAGCCUCUUGUUGAUUUGGCACAAACUCAAUAUCCUCUCAAGGUUAAAAGUCCAUAUAGUAUAGUAGCUUGGUGAAUCAUGAUAAUUGAUAGCCUUGUGUCAUAAUUCAUUAUAGAUCUUGUUCAAUAUGCAUCACAUACACUAGUGCACUCACCAUGAGAAACUCAUCCUUACGGCCAAGAUAAGUCAUCCCUUCAAUUAGGAGGUGGUACACUAUAGUCUCUAUUGGAUUGCCCAAAUCCAUGAACCAAUUGUGGACAACUUAUCUACUUAUAAGGAACCCAUGACUUGUAUCUUCUAUGCAACUCUUAAUGCACCCAAGUUAUGUACAAUGUAAGAGACAUGGGUUGAAUGCUCAAAUCAAUGUUAAUACACCAAAGCGAUAGCAAAUGGAUAAUUAAGUCUAACUUUGUUACAUCAUGGCUUGUUUUUAUGGGCUUAAUCCCAAUAGUUUUGACUUCUUAUUUACAGUAUUUAGUUUCUAUAAAAGAAAUAGGAAAUUUGCAAAUACAAAAUAUUUCUUAUUGUAGCGGUUAUAAACUAGAAAAAUUGUUCGUUUUACCUUUCAAUAGAAGUGUUUACUCUUCUUUUAUACCAUUUGAUUUAGUUCAUUUCCCAAUUUCUACAAAAGGAAAGUCUUGAUAUUAUGUUUCCUUCAUUGAUGAUUAUACUCGUUAUUAUUGUUUUUAUCUUAUGAAACAUUGUUCUUUUUUUUUUUUUAGUAUUCAUAAUGCCUUUUAAGACUUUGUAAAAACUCAACAUUUUAUUGUUAUCAAGUGCUUUGGGUGUGAUUUCAAUGGAAAGUACACUUCCAAUGUAUUUCAUGAAUUACUUGCUUCACAUGGAACUAUUCACCACACUUCUUAUCCUAGCACUAUAGAGUAGAAUGGUGUUGCUAAAAUGAAACAUAGACACAUUGUUGAAACUACUCAUUUGCUCUUAUUAUCUACAUGUGUUCUUACUAAACCUUUAGUUGCUCAUGAUUUGAAAAGUUGUAACGUUAUGCUCUUGAUUACUUUUCCUUAAGAGUCUUUGGUUGUACUUAAUUAUUUUCUCUUUAAUUAGUCCUCAUGUGGAGCAUACUAAGUUAUCUUCUCAUUAUGUCAUUUGUAUUCUUAUAGGGUAUAGAGCAUACUAAGUUAUCUUCUCAUUCUAUUAUUUGUACUCUUAAGUCAUAUCAUUGCUUUAGCUUUUAUUCAUAAUCUUUCUAAGCAUCUACCCUAUAAAGAAGUUUUUCUUAAUCAUCUUUGGCAAUUGGGUAUGACUAAGAAACUUUCUGUUUUACAUGAGAUUAACACUUAGGAUUUGGUACCUUUACCACUUGGUAAGGGUACAAUUUGUUUGUGUCAUGUCCAUAAAAUCAAAACUAAGUUUGUUGGUUCAAUUAAGUGGUACAAAGCCCGAUUAGUUGCUAAAGGGUUCUUUAAAUACUCAUAUUUUACUUUCCCUAUAUGUUGAUGACAUGAUUAUUACAAGUGAUGAUGUUUAUAGGAUUAUAAUUUUAAAAUUAUAUUUGGAUUUUGAUUGGAGCCAAAAUAUGUGCUCUAAUGACACAUAUUCAAUAUAAUUUGUGCACCAAAGGACACUCAAAUCACCCAACUUGACCUAAAUCAAUGGUAAGGUCUUAGCCAUGAGUUUAACUUAUAUUUUGGAUAUUUAUGUCAGAUUCAAGGAAAGAAAAUGGUGCAAGUUGAAUUACUUUAGAUUUUGAAAGACCAAGAAAGGGUUAAAUAAAAAGAUAAGUGAGUCAAAACUCAUGAACCAUGAGGAAAGUCAAGAAGAGGAUAUCGUGAGUUUGAAAGAUGAGAAAUGACCAUUAUGGAGGAAGAAAGAAGGUAAGAAAACAUGGGAAAUGAAGCAUGAAGCAAGAUUCAACUGCAUGGAAAUUUAGAACUCAAAAUCCGGUGGUAACAUAUACUCUAAAUUUAAGGACAAAUUUGGAGUAGUUACUGGAGUCCAUUUUAGACAUACUAUAUAUUUUUUAGAAUCUUGGGAAUUCAGGAGUCUAACGCUUCAAACAGUAUGCAAAUCAGAGUUGAAAUGAAGAAGUUAUGGUCAUUUGAAGACAAUUGCACAAAGUUGAAGAACCAUUUCGAAAUUCAACUUAUGAAUUCGAAAUGACCCCAAUUUCAAAUUCACCCACUGUCACUUUGAUAUUUCACCUCCUCAACUUAUUAUUUUUUUAAAUUAUUUUUAGGUAAUUAUUUUGUAAUAAGUGGCUAAUGAGAGUGUUUUACAUGUUAGGUUUUGAUGAUAUUAUAUAAACUCUCUUAGUUCUAGGGUUUAGAGAUCUUAGAUCUUUUUUCGGAGAGUUUGACAUUGGAGGUGGAAAAAAAUGAGAACUUUGGUUUAUUUUCUUUUCUUCUUUAUUAAAUAUAUUGUUUUUAGUUCUUUUGAUUCAAAUUAUGGAUUUUUAUCCUAUUAUGGAUUAUGAAUGUGACAUUACCCCCAAGAGAGGCUAAAAAGCCAACUUGGGCCUUGAAGCAUGACAACCUAAGGACUAGGAAAUCUAUAGGGACAAUGGGUAAAUUAUUAUAACAAUGAGAUUAGUUAUUGGUUGGGUGACAAUUUAUUAAUUUUUUAUCCUAUCCUUGCGAGUUAGUUUAAGAAAUGAUACAGUAGGUUAUUACCCGAUACUAGUGAUUCUUGGUAACUCUUGAUCAUUAGUUAUCCUCGUCUUCUUUAUCUUUAUUGCCCCAAAACAAAGUUAUAAGGACUAGAAAGUUUUAAAAAGUCAAAUCGAUAAUCGAUAAUCAAUCUCAUUCAUUUCAUAGUUUUAGGAAUCUGUUUUAAAAAGAAAAAAUUAGGCUUCAGAUGCAAUUUUGAGUUAUAGAAUUCAAGUUGAUCGCGAGCAACCAAAGAUCCCAAAACCUUAAGAUCAUAUUACUUAAAAGACCCAAGAUCCCAAAACCCUAAGAUCAAAUUACUUAAAAGACCCUUGUUUUCUCUAACUUCUAUACCCUAAGUUGGAUUGUGGAAAGCCCCAAACUUGAAUCAAUCGAAUUUAAAAUCAAUAUUUAUUUUGUUAUUAAUUUAAUUUCUUUUUACUUAGUUUCACAUUAUUCACAUAUCAUUUUCCACUUUAGGAUUCAAAUAAAAGUAAUUUAUUUACUCUAGUAUUGACAAAUCCCAUAAGCCAAUCCUUGAGGAUGAUACCCGAAAUACUACAAAAGUCAUAGCAGUUUUUUCUUUGAUCUUUAUGGCCAAAGCUACUACAUAUUAGGCUUACGUAUUUUGGUACAAUAGAGAAGUUCGAUCAGUUUCCUAUUUUGAAAAGAAGAAUUUGGGCUCUCUACCAAACUUUUUAGAUAUUGGUGUAGUUUUUUUCUCCGAAAGGUUAUCUUCUCUCACUCUCUAAGUACAUAGUUGAUAUUCUCAAUUACUCGCCUCAUUAAUACUAAGACUGUUGAUACUCUUCUUGAGGUUAAUGUUCAAUAUUCUUCUUUUGAUGGUAACCCUUUGUCAUACCCUACUUAUAUUGUACUAUUAUUAAUAGCUUAGUCUAUUUCACAAUUAUAUGUUCAGACAUUGGUUAUGUUGUUCACAUUAUUAAUUACUUUGUUAUUUCUCCUAUUAUAGUUCAUUGGGUUGUUGUUAAUAAAAUACAAAAGACAUAUAAAUAAAGUUAAAUGUUAUAUUUUUUUUCAUUUUAUAUAUAUCUUUAUAUUUAAAUAUUAUAAAUGGUCUAUUUAAUAAAAUUUAAAAUAUUAAUAUAUUUAUAUUUCUCUUCAUCAUUUAAUUUGAUAUGUCAAAUAUAAAAAUAAAAUAUUAUUAAAAAAAUUUAAUUAUAUAUAAUUUUAAUUUCUUAUAAUUAUUUAAAAUUUUAUAUAAUAUAUAAAUUAUUAUUUAUGAUGUCAUCGGGACGACCAAGGUCCAACAAUCCGACCGAGGUCCCGACCAUCGAUUCUGAACCAUGAACUAAUAACUUUUCUGAUUCAAUCAUCAAUCCAAUUCUCAAAACAUUGAUCAUAUGAAUUAAUAGUACAAAAAUUCAUGGUCCCACUAUUGAUUUUUUUAAAAAUAAAAUAAAAUUAACCAUGAAAUAUGGGCCCCAUGUUGUUCUUAAAUCUUAAUUAUCAAAUAAAAUGAUGAAAUAUUUUAAAAUUUAUAAUUAUUUAUAUAUUUUUUUAACUUAUUAUAAUAAUUUUUAAUUUUUAACCGUGAUUCAACAAGCAAUCAUUGAAUCAUGAAUCAAUAACUAUUUUGAUUCAAUAACCAAUCCAAUUUUGAAAGCAUUGGUAAAUAUAGGCAUACAACUAUUGGAAAUGACUCCCGACUUUCCAAGGAAGGCCUAAACUUCCCUUUUUUCUUGCUGAAUUCUAAAUUUAAUAGCAUUGCAAACGCUGCAGAUUAAAAACACAGGUCUAGUUUUUUUAUAGUUUCUAAAUUUUCAUCCUUUUAUCGUGUCUUUGGUACUUAGAGCAGAGACUGAAAGUGGAGGCCCAUACUGUUAAGUUGGUAAUCAAGGAUGAAAGAAUAGCUCAAGGUUCUAUUACUGUCUGGAAUUUCAAACUACAUAAAAUUGGGACGACAAAGAAAUUAAAGAAUUUAACAUCCUAACAUCCUACUUACACGAAGAACAAAACCUUUUUUUUUUUCGUCUUACAAUUAAAUGUUGAACUGGAAAGUUUAGAACUUGUGCUCAUGAGUUCUUAUCGCUUUUGGAAGUUAAAUGCCUUAAUGGCAUAGGCAAAGAUGAAUAAGAAAAGCACCACAAACCCAACAACCACAGCUGCAACCACUCCCAGGAAAUCAUGUUUGAAUCCAAAAUAAUCAUCCAAGAAUUGUUUCACCGUUUGAUUAUUCUCAAGUAGUGUGCUCUGUAUAUCUCCAAACUGUGAUGCAACCAAUCCAUACAAAGUCCAUGCAACUGGACAUAUCCAACAGUACCAUCUCCACCACACCGGAAUUCUCUGUAUUCAUCAAGAAAUGCAACAAUACGAGUCAUUUCUAUAUCCAUGUGGUAAGGAAAGUUGCAAUUUAAAGAAUCACAGGUUGAGGCCACUUACGUUUCGUGGGACUAUGAAACCUGAAAAGAGGUUCCAUAAUGUAUAAAAUGUUGCGGCAAUGAUGGAAGCAAUAUGUUGAUUUGGCGUGGCAGCCACAGCCAUCAUGCCAUAGAAGGUGAAGUACAACAAAGUGCAGAACAUGAAGAACAGAUACCAGAAGAAUUUAGUGGCUGUCCAUUCAAAUCCAAUCAUUCCAUAAACUAUAACACCAUACACCACAGCUUGUGCAAAGACAUAUGGAAUCUCAACAAGAGCCUGCAACAAGAGAAGAAAUUUGAUUAUUAAAAGGCAAAACGUAUUACAUAUAUGCAAAGUCCGUAGCAUCAGAAAACUAAUUACCUGUCCAAAGGCAUAUGGCAGGGCUGAAUACAUUCCAGCAGCUCUUUCUCUGUAAAAGACUGUUCGUUCAACUACAAUGACUGGCUGGACCGAUUGGGCGUUCUGAACCCCAAGAAAGAGAACAGCAGCAUACAUAGAACCCAUUGCAUUUAACAGAUCUUGUUGCCUUGUCCUGCCAUUUACCUCAUCAAGUAAAAAUUAAAGUUGAUAUAGAGAAACAUACUGAGUUCUCAAAUUUUUGAACCGACAUCAAAUUACCUUCUGGUGCCCAGAUCCCAGAAAAUUAACCCAAACAUCAAGGCUAUGAAAGUUGUGAAGAGAAAUCUCACUGCCGUGUAUGGUGGGUUCCGCCAGUAUGACCAACGUUGUUUCCAUAAGCAUGCCAAAAAUUGGGUGAAGAAGGGUUGGGAGUAUUGAGUAGCAAAAUAGAGGUCUUUUGUACCAGGGGCAGGUUGGCUCAGUUCUUUAAUUAAAUCUUUGUUUCUCCUGAAACAUAUGCCACUUUUUAGAACAGGUUUCAACAACAAAUUUAAGCUUUUCACGAGAAACAUUAGGAUGGAUGUAUAUGACUUUUCAAUCUUAUAAUGCAAUUAGAUAACCUAUGCUUGAAUCACCUGUAUAGGUCUGAAUUCUUGUAUAUUUCAGUGAAAUCGACCCCCAAAGUUCCUUCUUGUGCUCCGGUGGUAACUUCCAGCAUCCAGGUUGCAGGGUUAUAACCAUCUUUGAUUUUACUGACUCCUUCAAUUCCCUUUAUGAAAGCAAGUGAUAUGUAUUAGUAAGUGCUUAAUAUGAAUUAACUCAAACUGAAGUAUUCACUUCUUAUAGCUUCUACAUUAUCAUGGCAGCUUACCUCAAAAUAAUUUAUCAGAUGGGAAGAAUGUCUACCCAGUGGUCCCACAUAUAUCUCUUGCCCUCCACGCUUCAUCAGGAGCAACUGCAAAUCCAUUUUAAAUAUUUCAGUGCCUAUAUGCAAAGAGCACAGAAGAGAAACUAUAAUUCUAUCCCUUAAUAUUUCCUACCUCAUCAAAGGCCUCAAAUAUGUCAAUACUUGGCUGAUGGAUGGUGCACACAACUGUUCUUCCUGUGUCCACAGUGUUUCUGACUGUUCUCAUAACAAUUGCAGCAGCUCUUGCAUCUAGCCCUGAAGUUGGCUCAUCCAUGAAUAUUAUUGAGGGAUUUGCCACAAGCUCAACUGCAAUAGUCAGCCUCUUGCGCUGCUCAGUUGAGAGGCCAUUUACACCUGGCAACCCAACCAGUGCAUCCCUCAAUGGGGUCAGUUCCACAAGCUCCAUGACUUCCUCAAUGAACAUCUGUAACCAUUAGCAAUGAUUAUAAAUUGUUCAAAAAACGUUGCAAACCAUAGUAGAGAUGGUAAAAAAUUUGAGACUGCUUGUGACUCUUCUGUUAUCAGGCUGUGAAGAGGUUUCCCUAGUCUUACUAAAUGGAUCGGUUAAUAGGUGCAAAUGCUCAAUAACGCUCAUUAGCUUGCAUGAACUUCACCAGAUUGGAUUAAAAGUCAAUGAAAUUUGAACCAGCACUUUUUCCCAGGUGAAGGUCAAUCCAAACUUGAACUGACCUUACCUCAACCAAAUAUGAAAAGUCAAUUUUAGGGCUUUGCUUGUUUAGAGCACUAAAUUGAACAAGAAAAAUAUAGAAACAAUUAAGAAGACUCCUACCUUUCUGGUUUCAGAAUUCACAUCAGAAGGCAACCGCAGCCAAGCUGAGUAGAGCAAGGACUCAUGGACAGUAACAUGAGGAGAGUGGAUGUCAUUCUGCUCACAGUAUCCAGAAAUUCGAGCAAAAGUCUCUUGCUUCUUUGGGUAGCCAGAAAUAGAAAUGUUACCCUCAAUAUAUCCACCAGUUUUCCGACCAGCCAGUACAUCCAUGAGAGUGGUUUUACCAGCACCACUAACACCCAUCAGAGCUGUAAGAACACCAGGCCUGAAAGCACCACUCACCCCCUUCAGAAGCUCCAGUCUGUCUUCAAGGGCACCCUGACUUUUCAUUUCCUGCAAGUUCAUUUCAAACAACUCAGUUCUCAUUUCUGGUUUAUAGUACAUUAUGAAAAAACUUCAGUGCUGCUAAAACAUAUGUCAUCAUUUGAAUAAAUAUGAUGUUACCUCUGGCAUGUCAACUGAGUAUCUAAUAUCAUCAAAAGUGAUAGAAUGUGGUUGGAAUGGAAGAACCAUUCCUUUCUUCUUAUUAUGGUUACCCUCAGCAAUGGCUUCUACCAUAUGCUCUCCCCUCUCUGCAUGUCAAGUUUAAAUUCAGUGAGCCAUAUAAAACAUGUAGUUAAAUGACAAGAAUUGAGUCAUACAAAGGCAUGCAUGCAUGCACCAUGUAUGAGUUUCAUCACCUGUGGUUGCAGUUUUGGCAUUGUCAGACUCUUCUGUUAUAACAGCUUGAGGCUUCUCAAAUGCUGCGCAAUUUGCACAAUGUUAGUACACUAAUCUCAUAUUUUUAGGAGUUUCAAUGCAGAGAAGGUACAGAUACCCACGAUUUAAGUAAUUGAGGCAGAGAGUGUAAAAGAAGUUGAAAACAAAUAUGAAUCCAAGCAGUGCCCCAGCUCCUAUCCAGUACCAGUGUGCGUCUGUGAAGAACCCACGAGACUUCAAUACUGUGAUUCCAAGGGAUUCUGUUGAAUUGGUAACAUUCUGAAAAAUGGAAAUAAGUACAAUCAUCAGUUACUGACACACACAAAUAUUCACAUGGAACAUUCAAGAACUUACUUUGCUCCAACUCUUCCCAAGGAAUUCAUUUACCACUAUUGCAUUCUGUGCAUACAUCAGAGGGGACGACCAGUAACCCCAAAUCCACCAUUUCUUGACAUUAUCUGCAGCAUUGACCAAAUAAAAAAGGAAACAAAAAUUCAUUAUUAGGGGUUAUGCACAAGAAGGUUCCAUGCUUCCUAAAAGGAUAUUUCCUCAUCAUACCAUGUGACAGGAUAAAACCACCCAAUGCCAUGAGCAUAAGUACAGCAAAUGCCCCAAAUGUGCUUGCAACAAUCAUGUUUCUACCGGCUGCUGCUAUAAAUCGAAAUAAUCCAGAUGCCAUCUGAUUAACAAGCAAGAGGAGAAGAUACUGUCUAAACAACCUGCAAUAAGGAGAUUUGUUUAUUCAGCAUUAAUCAUUUUGGAACAGAGAAAACAUGUAAAAGAAAUCUGGAUAAGUUUCUGCAACUUCAUAACUUUUUAACUUUUACCUUUCCACAUUUGGAUCAAAUCCAAUGACAUAGUAAGUGAUGAACACCCAAACAGCAACUUCAACAAAUGUGAUGGGGAUCUUGAGCACCCAUGUGGGAAGAGCAUAUGCCCAUGCAGGAUAGAAGAGAAAGUCUCUUUGCUUGUAAAAGACAGGAAGUUUUGCAAUUGUCAUGGCAAGUUCUGCCAUUCCAUUAAACAUGAUCAUGACAACAGUGAAGAACAAGGCACCCGUGUAAAUGCUUCCAUCUUCUGUUGAAUUUUUGUUCAUCUCAGUUCUUAGGAAGAGUGUCAUUGCAAUCACUGCCACUACUGCAAGCUAAAAAUAGAAAUAAAAAUAAUAAAUUACGAUCAGAUAUACAAAAUUAAAAGCCAUAGUUAUAAUUAGCAAUAAUAAUAAUAAUACUCACUUGGGUGAGUUUGAAAAUAUAAACAAAUGAGUUCCUCUUCAUCAGUAAGUACUCUCUUGACAUGUUGGCAUCCAACAGUUCCUUCUUUCUAACACCAUACUUUUUGGUUGUCAAAGCAGCUGGGUGGCUUUUGGCCCUGUCAAAUGGUGAUGCAAGCUCAUCUGCUACUUUCCGUCCAAUGUGAAAGGACUGGAAUGCCUCAGCAAAUUCCUUGACUGUGACAAAGCUGUAAGGCACAUCUUUACGUGCCCAAUACUGGGCCUGAUCUUUUCUAGAUGUUACCUGCAAUGAAUUUUAAAGUUCAUGUUCUAGCUCUAUUUUUUUCUCAAAAAAAGAAAAAAAAGAAAAGAAAAAGACAGAAGAUAACAAAGCUAGAUUUGCACGCACUUCUUGCAGGAAGUCUGCCUCACCCUUCCUUUCAGGACAUUUGAAGCCUAUGGAUUCAAAAAAUUCAAGCACAUCUUCACGAGGACCUUGAUAAACAAUCUGACUAUCAGAAAGGAGAAUGAUGUCAUCAAAAAGAUUGUAAGUCUCAGGUGCUGGCUGGAGGAGAGAGAUGACAGCAGUCCCAUUGAGAAUGUGGAUGGUUUGCUUGAGAGAAUUGAUGAUUUGAAAAGUUGUUGAGCUGUCCAAGCCAGUAGAGAUCUCAUCCAUAAACAGUGCCUUUGAUGGUCCGACCAGCAUCUCACCUAUCAUUCAUACAUUUCACAUAAUUGAAUUAAAUUAAAUUAAUGAACAAAAAAUCUAAUUUGAUUUGUUUUUUCAUUUAGUUAGAAACCAAAUUAUCCCACCUGUUGUGACACGCUUCCUUUGUCCUCCAGAGAUACCCCUUAUCAUCUCAUCUCCUACCAUGGUAUCUGCACAGAUGUCUAGUCCCAAAAUCUGUAGAUUUAAAUGUAAAAAAAAAAACAAACAAAUUAUGAAUUAGAAUUGGGUUUUCUCAGAAAUCUAUAUGCCAUCAUUGAAAGUUUUAUGGUUCUAAUACCUUCAAUGUAUAAUCAGUGACUACAUUUUCCUUCUGACCUUCUGUUGCUGCUGCCUGAAAUAUUGGAAUCCAAUGAUGAAAAUGUCAACCACCAUGCAAGCAACUUCUGUACAUUAAGAAAUUUCAUAGAUAAAAGAUUCUAACAUAGCAUAAAAUUCACAAAUUAGAUUGACUCAAGCCAUUCAUUUGAGUACAAAAAGAAAGAAACAAACUCCAGAACAAACAGAACUCCGACAUUAAUACAAAGCCAUUUUGCCCAUCUAUGUCAGAAUUCAAAAUUUAAUUUCUGGAAAGAGCAGUAUCCAUGUUCACUAAAAGCAAAUAGCUCAAUUUCUGCAGAGCUGAUUAAAAUUUCACUAAAAGUAGAUUCUGUCUCACCUUCAUGAAGACAUCAAGAUCAGGAUCAGGCUUAAUAUUUGCUGCUUUCUCUCUUCUUGACAGCUCUGCUAACAUGUCUGCACAUGGCAAAAAUAAGAGUCAAUCUUCUAGGCUACGGAAAUGUCAUAAAAUUGCAUUCACAACCUGCAAAAAGCGGAGAAAAUAAAAGCAAGGGCAAUGGUUUAGACUAACCAUAUCGAUCUCCAACACCCUGGCAUCUUGCAGAGAAUGCCAAGGUUUCCCUUACAGUCAUUUCUCCUAUAUGGGUAUCAUGUUGGCUGAUAUAGGCUGCAGUUCUCUGGGGUACAAACUCAUUCAUGCCAUGGCCGUUGUAUGUCACCCUUCCCAUAACCUAAAGAAGGAAUUUCAGUUUUGAAAUUGGAUAUGAGAUUAAAGAAAUAAAAAAUCAAACAUUCCAUAAAGAAUGGAGGAGUAAUAAUCAUUUUCUUUCAACCUUUAGAUUGGGAUCAAGCUUGCCAGCCAAUGCCAAUAAGAGGGUGGUCUUUCCAGAACUUGGAGGACCUAAAAGCAAAGUCAAUCUGCAGAAGAAAAAUAUGCACAAAAAUCUUGAGUAUGGAUCUUCGGGACAUUCUAACUUUGAAGAACGAAAAAAUCAUUUGAGUUAUCAAUCCUUUUUUUACUAGAAACAAAUUCAUUCUCACCUGCGUGGUUUGAUGAUCCCACUAACAUCAUUGAGAAUAGUGAAUUUCCUCUUUUUACUUGGAAGAAUACGCACAGCGUUCAGGAUACCCUUUGGAAAAGAAGGGAAAAUUAGAUCUAAAAACAAACUUACUUAAAAGAAUACUGAGUACAUAGAUAAUGAUCAGCAUUUGCAUGUAGUUACCUCAAGUUUAUUAAAAAUGAAAUUAUGAAAUGAAGGCAAAGCUCUGCUUCCUACAAAAGCUUCUGCAUCGAUGGUAAGAUGCUCAAAUCUAACUUCAAUUUCGGGAACAUCAAUUCCAACUCUGAAAAAAUGGAAGAGUCGUGAAAACCCAUUAUCAAAAAUUCAAAGGAAGAUGUUGUUUGGCUGUGGAGAAAAUGUGGGAAACACUCAUGAGGCAUAUUUCAGGUCAAGUUUUUUUUUUUUUUUCCUCUUUAUGUCCUUCUGUUUUCAAUGUUCAAAAACAAAUGGCAAGGAAUGCAAGAAAGGAGGAGAAAUCUCACCUAUCGAUACGAUUCUUGAGCUUCAACAAGAACUUCUCAUUGUCCUCUUCGGCAACUUUUACCAACCGCUCCACUAAAUUCUUCUUUUCCUGAAACCCAAGGUUAUGGAUAUCAAUUUCACUGGCCUCACCCUCGGAUCCCAUCAGCAAACCUCUCCUCAACCGAUUGUAGGUGGGAAGUUUCUCGAGUGCGGCCCAUUUCAAAGCUUCCUCAUCAUCCUCAUCCCUCGAAGAUCGGGAGAAAACAUCCGCACCGGAGCUCCUCCAUAUCGAAGAACCGUUCCUCCUUAAACUACCACUGGCUCUAUAAGUGUCAGCAGUGGCCAUUGCAACCUGAAACGAAGAACCCUCCUGCAAGACCAAUCAAAACCCACAAAAACCCAGAAAUUUUUCCUCAAAAGUCUGAGAAAGAAGCUCAGAGUUUUGAACCCUGGAGCCCAAAGAAGCUAAAAAUCAGAUACGAGUCCCCUUCCCCCCUUUUCUCUGCAUAAAAGUCUCUACCCUUUGAAUUGGUAAGACUUGAUGCCUUCAGAAUGGAGGGUUUAUAUAGGUGAUGGGUUGAACAGGCCCUCAAGUUUUCGAACUUCUUGGUUUCCUAUGACUUUUCCUUAAAAAAAAUUAGCGUGGAAAUUGAAUAUAUAAGCUGCUGGGUAACGAUUCCAACGACUUUGACCCGUCAAAUUCUUAAAUCAAACACUUCUAGAGUUUCCCAACGGGAGCGCGAUUUGUUUAAAGCUUCCAACCCGCCAAAUGAACUAACUUUUUAAAACACUCAUCUUCUUAUCUCUUUCAGGAAAAUAAAUAAAUAAAUAAAAUUGUGGUCAUAUCAACAAUAAAAAAUAAAUUUAAAAUUUUUUAAAUUUAAAAUAUAAUUAAAAUUAAAAAUAUAAAAAAUAAAAUAUUGACCCUGAUUACAUUUUCAGCGCUUUUUCAUUAUCUAUCUUUUGUUUAUUUGUUUAUUAUCAUUAUUAUAUACUAAAAUUCCCGCAAAACAAAAUUGAAUAUAAAUAAACAUAAAUAAUAAUAAUAAUUGUUAUUAUUAUUGUAUACAAUAGUAAUAAUAACAAUAAUGAUAAAUGAAAAAAAAAUAAACAAAAGAUAGGUAUUGAGAAAGAGUUGAAAAUGCGUUAAGAGCUAACAUAUCAUUUUUAUAAUUUUAGGAUUAAAGUUUUUUUUUAACUUUUUAUUGCAUUUAUUUUUUAAAACUUUCAUUUUAUUGUUUAGGCCAACCAACAAAAUUUUUUUCAAUUUUUUAUUUUUAAUUUUUAAAAAAAGAGAUAAGAAGAUGAGAUGUUAAAAUCAAGAAUGUUUGAUUUAUAUAAUGCAAAAUAUAAAAUUAUUAUGGGAGGAUUUUUCCACAAUGACUUGCAUUCAAUAUUAUAUAAUUAAUAAAUUAAUAAAUAUAUUUACUAGUAAGAUGAUUUUAACAAAUUUAUAAAUAUAUUUAUUAGCAAGAUAAUUUUAUUUAUUAUUAUCAAAUUUUUAGGAGAGAUCAUUAAGAGGAUCUAGUUUUGCAUGAUUUUAAUAUUUGAUCCCUAGUUUUAUUACUAAAUAUGAGAUUAUGGUUCUAGGUAAAAAAAAAUUGCUAAUGUUAGAAAUUUGAAUAUAUAUAUAUAUAUAUAUAUAUAUAUAGGUUAUGUUUGGUUCCUAGAAAAUACUAAAGAAAGAAAAAAAAUGGAAAGAAAAAUAAUUUUUUCAUGUUUGGUUGUCCUAUGAAAAAUAUAAAAAAAAAUCAAAUAUAAUUAAAACUAAUUAAAAAAUUAUGUAUUUUUAAAUUAUUUAAUCUUUAUAUUAAUAAUUUAAAAUAAAUAAAAUGAGUUUGAAGUAACAAAAAAAUAAUUUAUCAACUUUUAAUAUAUUUUUUAUUUUUCUUCACUUUUUAUUUCCUUCUACUUUUCCUUUGUAUUUUCUUUUCCUUACAUUUUCCCUCAAAUUUUCUAGGAACCAAACAUAACCAUAGUAUUUCAACUCGGGGACCCCAACAACCAUAAACAAACCCUAAUUAGUCAACUAACCGAUUUGAUCAAUUUAUUAGUCACUAUGCAUUUAAUGCAUUGAUAGAUGAUCACUUAGACUUAGAUCCUUAAUCAGUUGAGCAAUGAAUUUGACGGAUACUCAACUAGUCAAAGCUUAAACUACUAGAAAAGAGAAAAAUAACAAAUGUCUCUUAAUUUAUCAAGUCUAACCUAUUUAGUCGGUUCCUCAACUCCUCAAUCGUAAAUGGCAUGGUUUAAGGUCUGAAACCUCCAAUAACUUACAUAAACCUUCUUAAAACUUUUCAGGAUAAAUUUAAAAGUAAUUUAGCUCAAGGUUUUAAUUGAAAAUAAGAAAUCGCCCAAUUCUUUGAGACAUAUGCAUAUAUAUAUAUAAAUUAUCUUAAUUUUACACAACAUUUUAGGUUGAUUUAAGUCUUCAAGGAUCCUAAGUCUUCCAUGAUUGCUUGAGCUUUCUUUAGAUUUUCAAUAGUAAACUUAAAAAACUUAAUUUGAUUUAAACUAUUAGUAAUUUUAACUUUAUUUUGUAAUUAUAAAAAACCUAUUAGGAGAAUCGUUGGGCUAAUAGUCUUGAUGUUUGAUCUUUAAGAUUAUUCAAUUCUAAAAAGAAAUGGGAGGGUCAAGGAUUUUUGUUGGUUGAAGGAGAGUGAGAGGGGCUAGCCAUGUCAAAUAGCACACUUUUGAUGCCUUUUAAUAAGAGUUAUUUGGUUAAAUGGGUCAAAAUAACCCCACUAUUUAUAAAUAUAACCCAUCUAUCAAAAAGUUAAAUAAAAAAAAAAACUGUUGAUUAAGACAAAAAUGCCCUUCCUUUUAUUUCCCUCCAACACUUACAACUUCUCAUUUUCUACUUCAUUUAACUUUCUAUAGAACGACUUCUCAUCUUUUCCUUCAGAAACCGUAAAAAAUUUCUCAUCAUUUUCUUCUACUUCAUUCUCUUCUUUUGGUGUACAAAAAGGAAAACUUAUCUUCUAUUCUGCUUCAUUUACAUAACAACUCCUCAUCUUUUAUUUUCUUCUUCUAUUUCAUUCUCUCCAUUUGGUGCAUAGAACAGAAAGCUCAUAUUUUCUUUAGAAGCCCUAGAAAAUUUCUCGUCUAUCAUAUCAUCUUUUGUUUCAUUCUCAAUCCUUAGAAAAAUUAUCUCAUCUCAUUUUAUCAUUUCAUCUAUCCUCUUAUCCUCUCAUUUUUUUGUCCAGUUAUCUCAUAUUGUAUCUUCAAGCACAAUAAAAAAAAAAUAGGUUCAUUGAAGAGUGAUAAAAGAAAAAGGUUAAAAAUGGUGAUAAAAAAAUCAAAAAUCCCAAUUGCGAAGAGAAAAAGCAAAAAAUUGUGACUAUGAACUUAACUGUGGUUAAGUUCUUUAUUAAUGCAACUCAACUAUUGUUAAGUUCAAGUGAAAAUUCCAACUGUGAACUUAACUGUGAUUGAGUUAUUCGUUAAUACAACUCAACCACUAUUAAGCUCAAGUGAAAAUUCUAACUAUGAACUUAACUGUGGUUAAGUUAUUUGUUAAUGCAACUCAACCACUAUUAAAUUUAAAUGAAAAUUCUGACUAUGAACUUAACUCUGGUUAAGUUAUUUGUUAAUGCAACUUAAUAAUAGUUAAGUUUAUAUUAAUGCAAUGACUGUCAACUUAACCAUAAUUAAACUUAACUAAUUAAUUUAUAUGAUAAAACUAAAACAUUAAUUUAAAAUUUCAAUCUAUGAUUCAAAAAAAUUGCUUUAAGCAUAUACAAAAAAAUAGGCUCACAAAUCCCUUCAUGACCCUAUACAAAAAAUUAAAUAAAUAAAAAUGUAGAUACAUAGUUAAAUCAUCCUCAAAAAAAAAAUUCUAUGGUAGCAAUAUUAAAGUGACUUAUGAACUGGUUGUAAGGAAAAUUCUUGGAUGUUGAUAUUCCUCUCAACAAUAUUGACACAACUAUAUUCAUCUCUAGGAUGUAAUGAGAUUGGUCGUUUGCAUGUUUUUUUAUCAUGCCCAUAAUCACCAAAUCUACCACAACAUCGUGUGUGUUUAACCUCUCCACUUGAACAAAUUCUCUCCUUUCUUGGUCUUCCUACUAGUCGUUGACUUUUUAGUGGUAGCACAACUCUACAAUGAAUGUCUUCCGGAAUACAAUACAUAACUCAAUUGGAUCUAGUUGAAGAAUGCGAUACACAACUCUCAUUAAUUCAUGAUAUGAUAUAUUCUUCUUCACCGUAAAGUCUUUACCUUCACUUCCUUUAAAGUGGUAUAUGUUCUCAUCUUAUACCUAAUUCCCUUUAUACAAAAGCAUUAUUCCUACAUCAUCAAUGACUGUAGAAAUAAAUAUUUCAAAUUAUCAUAUUAAGAAUGAAAUAGUACAAUAUAUGAUAUACUUUUAUUGAGUUUCAACUAUAGACUAUGUAAUGAAUCUUGAAACAUAUAUUUAUAUUUUUAUUAAAUAACCCACUACAUAAUAAUAUGUCAACAAUUCAAUCUCAGUUUUCAGUAAAGUUAUAUAAAAAUAAAUUUUUGCUUUGAAUAGCAACACAUAAACUCAACUUAUGUUAAGUUAAACCUAACAAAUAGUAAAAUUUGUUGUUCAAUGCAUCAAUGCAACACUUCCCAUAAAUCAAAUAUCCAAAGGAACAAUAUAUAACUACAAUGGGUAUUAAUCAUGAGCAAUACUAAAACCAUAAUAAAUUUUCAUGCAUGUGAUUUAUUGCUUACCAUCAUUUGACCUUGUCAUAUGGAUAAAUCUUUUCAACUUCUUUUGAAUGAACUUUUCACUUUUUCAUAAUUAAUAAUGGAGUCUCUAUUUUUUACCUACAAUGGUGAAGUGAUAUUUUGAAUUUUUAGAAAAUAGAAAGAAAUAAAAUGAUAAUCUAAAAAAGAAAUUGUUGGGUGCUUACAUUUUUUUUUUUUCAUUUUAUCGUGAUCAAGAAUGAAGAAUAAAUGAAACAAUGGUAAGGACUUAGGCUUGUUCUCUACAGGAAAACAAAAAGAAGCAACCAAUGAUUGAAUAAAAAAAUAAAAACCUAAUCUACUAUAAAAAUAAAAUGAAUUGAAAGUUAUAUUGGAGGGAAAAUGAGGGGUAUUUUUGUCUCAAUCAAGUCAACUUUUUUGCCUUUUUAGGGGUGGGUUAUAUUUGUAAAUAUGAGUGUUAUUUUGACUCAUAUAACCAAAUAACCCUUUUAAUAAGGGUGACCAUGGUUUGAUAACCCUUACUCCUUUCCUUUUGAUUUAUUUUCAUUUCAUGGCCACUUAUUAAGAUGAGUGUUCUUCAAUAGAUUACCGUAUGUUCUUCAAAAUACAUCAUUUCAGCCUGUCUAAGCUUUGAAGAUUUUGUAACUCCAACUUUGAAUCUCUUAGAAGCAUUAAAGAUUCUUAUGCAUCCCCAAAUGAAGAUAGUAGCGGCAAGGAAAGUUUCCUAGUCUAAAAUGAAAUCUAAAGAAGGGACUUUUCCCUUCAUCUUUGAGGUUUGGACAUGACAAAGGCAACAUUUUGCACCAACUUCCUCCUAAAAGAGGUCUGUCCCAGCAAGUUCCUUUUCUUAAGGUCCUAUUGCCUUUUCCUUCAGAAUGUGUUCAACUACCACCUCCAAUGAGGGUUUUUCCUUGUCCUCCCCAUGUCAAGAUAGAUGGAGGGCUUCACUAGAUGCCCCCCCCUCCCCUUCCCCCCAAAUUAGGAAGGUUGUUGCAAGGUUCUCUUAAACGCAUCCUUAAAAAAGUUAUGCACAAUUCUUCUACCAAAGCCAAGAGUCUGUUUGCUUGUGAGUUCACAACUAAAAUAGUAAUUACAUUCUUUUCAAGUCAUUCAGUUUCCUUACUUUGGAUGGUUGUAUGCUUAAUGCUUUCAUCGUUCAUUUGUAGGCUUGCAUGAUUGUAUUUGGGGUCGCAAACCAAGCUGGUCUAUUUCAAGAGAUGCCAUUCUACCAUAAGAAUGAGAUUAAGCACCUUCGUCUUUUGAUGAAUAAGGUGUCCCUUGCACGAGUUCAAGGGUGAAGUCCAUAUUCUUGUGUAUGAGAGAAUUGUCCAAGAUAUUUCAACUUUUGGGUGGAGAAAAUAGUAAAAGAAAGAGGUGGUAGCUGUCUAAACUAACCUUAAUUUCUGCCUUCCAAGCAGAGAAUGAAUCCCUCCAUUGCAAGGUUUCUCAACUUGAUAAAGAACAAAAAAGUUUGGAAGUAGGACAGAUUUGGAUUGAGAUUAGACAUAAAGAUUCAAAACAAGAAAAGUUUGAACAAGAAUCCAGGAUUAGAAAGGCCCUAAUAGGAGGCCAAAGAAAAUGAAAAGAUAAAAUGUAUAUAUAGAAGUUGACUACAAUUUUUAGAAUGACUUAGAAAAGGCUUUCAAUAAUAGCAUAGCAAGGUAACAUCCUAAAAGGCUACAUCCUUUCAAACCAGAUGAAAAUCGACUACAUCUUUUCAAACCAAAUGAAGAUCGAGUCUAUUUAAGAGUGAUUAUGAUUAAAAUGUCAUUAUUCAUAGCAUUUUUAUUACUAGCUUCCAUUAGAAACACUUUUAAAUCUUGGACAUGAGGCUACUAAUAUUCUAAUCGGUAAUCAAGGAUGAAAGAAUUUCAUAAACUUUUAUUAUUGUCUCGAAUUUCAAAUACAAGAAAAUAAAGAUUGUUUUAUUUAAUAUAAUAAGGUGGGGGUUUUUUUCUUUUUUCUUUUUUUACUUAAUUUUAAAUAGAACAUAAAACUAAAUAGUGCUUAGUAGUAUUAAGUUUUAGAUUGUUUAUUUUUAUAAUAUUUUAUUUCUAUUAAGUGUUAAAAAAUAUAGAAAAAAAUCAGCAUAUUACUUUUUCCAUUUAAAAAAAAAACUAAAUAUUUUAGUUUUUUUAUUCAACAAAAAAAUUAUAAUAAGUCAUGAAAAUGUAAAAUAUAUAUAUAACCUAAAGUCUGAAAACAAAUUGCUUUUAGCAAAAAGUUAAAAAAGUAAACACCCUCAAAAUGUUUUUAUGAACUUGCCCAUUCUAAAGAUAUGAGUUCCAAAACAUAAAAUACAUAGAAGAGUCGUUUCUUUUUAGGGAAAAUCAUCUAACCAUACACCAACUACAAAAAAAUAUGAGAUUUUGGAACUUUACUUUUUUCUUUUUAAUUUUAGUGUAAAAUGGGAAAAAAUAUUGUUUAUUCAUGCAUUCCAAUAGUGUUUUCAAAUUUGUUCCACAAUUACUCUCAAAAGUAAAGGACAAAGUACAUACCAAUUUAAUACCACUUGUUAACAAGUACAUGAGUCAUUUAUUUUUAUUAUUUUUCUCACAUCAAGAUAUCUCCCUUACUACUUGUCACGUUUUCACUUUUUUCUUUUUUUUUCUUUUUUCUUUUUUUUUCCUCUCUUGCCACCAUAAUCCAUUGUCACCUAUUAUAGUUUUUAUUAUUAUUUUUCUUUUUUUCCUUUAUAUUCUUUUUAAUAUGCUCGCGCAUUUUCUCAUAAAACUUCUUUAAUUUUAAUUUAUUUUUACUCUCUAAUUUGUCUAUAUUUAUUGAUUUUAAUUAUUUUUUUGACAUAUUAAACUUAAAAUGAUAACAUAUAAUAAAUAAUUAAUAUAACAAAUUAAAUAAAAACAAAAUCUAUAAUGGACAAAAAUGAAAAUAUCAUCCCACAAAUAAUAAUGAUUUUAAAUAUUAAUUAUAAUAAUACAUUUUAUAAAUUAAGGUUUAAAUUUAAAAUUUACAUUUUAUUAUUUAGAAGUUUAUGAUAUAAGAUUUUUUAUAUUAAUACUAAACAAAAGAUUUAUUUAUUUUGUAAAUUCUAUCACAUGUAAAAGUAAAAAUAUCAUUGUAAUGUGUUGGGCUUUGUGGAGCCUAGUUUUGUUUGAUCCGAUUUGACGACCCAACCCGAAUAAUAUUGCAUGGCUUUUUUAAUGGGAGAUUUAUUGAGGCCUGUUGGGCCCGUUUAGCCCAUUGUGGAACCACCUUUUGUAAUUAGGGUUUUUUAGUAUGGUAGGGUUGCCGUGCUAUAUAUAUAGAGAGAAUAUUGUAGCCGCCAGGUUGUACUCUGUAUUCUUUCCUGAUAAUAGUGAUAUCCCUGCAACUUCGUGGACGUAGGCAAAUUGCCGAACCACGUAAAUACUGUUUGUGUGUGAUUGUUUUUCUUUGGCGUGUGUUUUCUCUAAUUUUUUGUUUCUCACAGGUUGGGAAUUUUGUUUAAUUCCCUACAAUUGGUAUCAGAGCCUAGGGUUAGGUUUGAGUGGGAGCAAUGGCAGAGGAAGCAGGAAAGGAGUCUGGAAUAGAAAAGUUUGAUGGCACAGACUUUGCGUAUUGGAGGAUGCAGAUUGAAGAUUAUCUCUAUGGGAGGAAAUUGCAUCUGCCUCUUUUGGGGACAAAACCUGAGAGUAUGAAGGCUGAGGAAUGGGCGCUUCUUGACAGACAGGUUCUAGGAGUUAUUAGGUUAACUCUGUCUAGGUCUGUUGCACACAAUGUUGUAAAGGAGAAGACCACAGCAGAUCUGAUGAAGGCUUUGUCCGGUAUGUAUGAAAAGCCAUCCGCAAACAAUAAGGUGCAUCUGAUGAAGAAAUUGUUCAAUUUGAAGAUGGCAGAGAAUGCAUCAGUAGCACAACAUCUGAAUGAAUUUAAUACAAUCACAAAUCAAUUGUUGUCUGUAGAAAUUGAUUUUGAUGAUGAGAUUCGUGCUCUGAUCGUCUUGGCUUCUUUGCCAAACAGUUGGGAGGCAAUGAGGAUGGCAGUAAGCAAUUCUACGGGAAAGGAAAAGCUCAAGUACAAUGAUAUACGAGAUUUAAUUCUGACUGAGGAGAUUCGUCGAAGAGAUGCAGGUGAAACCUCAGGAUCUGGUUCUGCCCUAAACCUUGAGACAAGAGGUAGAGGUAAUAACAGAAAUUCAAAUCAAGGUAGAUCAAAUUCCAGAAAUUCUAAUCGGAACAGAAGCAAAUCUAGAUCAGGCCAAUAAGUACAAUGUUGGAAUUAUGGGAAAACAGGUCACUUUAAAAGGCAAUGCAAAAGCCCUAAGAAGAAGAAUGAAGAUGAUUCUGCUAAUGCUGUAACAGAAGAGGUACAUGAUGCAUUAAUUCUUGCAGUAGACAGUUCACUUGAUGAUUGGGUUUUGGAUUCAAGAGCUUCGUUUCAUACCACUCCACACCAAGAAAUCAUACAGAAUUAUGUUGCAGGUGAUUUUGGUAAGGUGUAUUUGGCUGAUGGUUCAGCCUUGGAUGUUGUGGGUCUGGGAGAUGUCCGGAUAUCGUUGCCCAAUGGGUCUGUUUGGUUACUGGAGAAGGUUCGACAUAUUCCUGACCUGAGGAGGAAUCUGAUUUCUGUUGGACAACUUGAUGAUGAAGGACAUGCAAUACUAUUUGUUGGUGGUACUUGGAAGGUUACAAAUGGAGCUAGGGUAUUGGCUCGUGGAAAGAAGACUGGCACUCUGUAUAUGACCUCAUGUCCAAGAGACACAAUUGCAGUUGCUGAUGCAAGUACUGAUACAAGCCUAUGACAUCGCAGACUUGGUCACAUGAGUGAGAAAGGGAUGAAGAUGUUGCUGUCAAAAGGAAAACUACCAGAAUUGAAGUCCAUUGAUUUUGACAUGUGUGAAAGUUGCAUCUUAGGAAAGCAAAAAAAGGUGAGCUUCUUGAAAACUGGCAGGACACCGAAGGCUGAAAAAUUGGAACUAGUACACACUGAUUUGUGGGAGCCUUCUCCGGUUGCAUCCCUAGGAGGUUCAAGGUACUACAUCACCUUUAUUGAUGACUCAAGUAGAAAGGUAUGGGUUUAUUUUCUGAAAAAUAAAUCUAAUGUAUUUGUAACUUUUAAGAAGUGGAAGGUCAUGGUUGAGACAGAAACAGGUUUGAAAGUAAAAUGUUUGAGGUCAGAUAAUGGAGGAGAGUACAUAGAUGGAGGAUUCAGUGAGUAUUGUGCUGCACAGGGAAUUAGGAUGGAGAAGACCAUUCCUGGGACACCAUAGCAGAAUGGUGUGGCUGAGCGCAUGAAUAGAACUCUCAAUGAGCGUGCUAGAAGUAUGAGGUUGCAUGCUAGACUACCAAAAACUUUUUGGGCUGAUGCUGUUAGCACUGCAGCUUACCUGAUAAACCGAGGACCAUCAGUUCCCAUGGAGUUCAGACUUCCUGAGGAGGUUUGGAGCAGUAAAGAGGUGAAGUUUUCACAUUUAAAAGUUUUUGGUUGUAUUUCUUAUGUUCAUAUUGAUUCUGAUGCUCGUAGUAAACUUGAUGCAAAGUCAAAAAUAUGUUUUUUCAUUGGCUAUGGUGAUGAGAAAUUUGGCUAUAGGUUUUGGGAUGAACAAAACAGGAAAAUCAUCAGAAAUAGAAAUGUGAUAUUUAAUGAACAGGUUAUGUACAAAGACAGGUCAUCUGUAGUGUCAGAUGUUACAGAGAUAGAUCAAAAGAAAUCUGAGUUUGUCAACUUAGAUGAAUUGACUGAAAGUACUGUCCAAAAAGGGGGUGAAGAAGAUAAGGAGAAUGUAAAUUCACAGGUAGAUCUGAGUACACCUGUAGUUGAAGUUCGCAGAUCUUCUAGGAACAUUAGACCUCCGCAGCGUUAUUCACCUGUUUUAAAUUAUCUCCUGUUGACUGAUGGUGGUGAGCCAGAGUGUUAUGAUGAAGCCUUGCAAGAUGAGAAUUCAAGCAAGUGGGAGUUAGCCAUGAAGGAUGAGAUGGAUUCCCUAUUGGGGAAUCAGACAUGGGAACUAACUGAAUUGCCAGUAGGAAAGAAGGCUUUGCACAACAAAUGGGUAUACAGAAUAAAGAAUGAGCAUGAUGGUAGCAAACGUUACAAGGCCAGAUUAGUUGUUAAAGGGUUCCAGCAGAAGGAGGGCAUUGACUACACAGAGAUAUUUUCUCCAGUUGUGAAGAUGUCAACAAUUAGACUUGUACUUGGAAUGGUGGCUGCAGAAAACUUACAUCUUGAGCAGUUAGAUGUGAAGACAACAUUCCUUCAUGGUGACUUGGAGGAAGACCUUUACAUGAUUCAACCAGAAGGGUUCAUUGUUCAGGGACAAGAGAAUCUAGUCUGCAAACUGAGAAAGAGCUUGUAUGGCCUUAAACAAGCUCCUAGACAGUGGUACAAGAAGUUUGACAAUUUUAUGCAUAGAAUUGGGUUCAAGAGAUGUGAAGCUGAUCACUGUUGCUAUUUUAAGUCCUUUGACAAUUCUUAUAUCAUAUUACUAUUGUAUGGCAAACCUGUAAGGCUCAUUUUUUAGUGUCCAAUACUGCUCCUGAUCUUUCCUAGAUGUUACUUGCAAUGAAUUCAGUUUUCAGAAAGACUAAUUGUGCAUCUUAAUAUGUAAAGCUUAUCUUCUAGCUCGGUUAUAUCUAAAAGAAGAAAAUACCAAAAGCUACAAAGCUAGAUUUGCACUCACUUCUUGGAGGAAGUCUGUCACACCCUUUCUUUGAGGACAUUUGAAGCCCAUUGACUAAAAAAAUUCAAGCACAUUUUCACGAGGUCCUUGAUAAACAAUCUGACUAUCAGAGAGGAGAAUGAUGUCAUCAAAAAGAUCAUAAGUCUCAAGUGGUGGCUGGAGGAGAGAGAUGACAGCAGUCCCAUUGAGAAUGUGGAUGGUUUGCCUGAGAGAAUUCACAAUUUGAUAAGUUGUUGAGCUGUCCAAGCCAGUAGAGAUCUCGUCCAUGAAUAGCGCCUUUGAUGGACCGACCAGCAUCUCACCUAUCAUUCAAACAUUUCUCAUAAUUCAAUUAAAUUAAAUCAAUGAACCAUACAUAUAAAUACAUAUGUAGUUUUUUUCUUCUUCUUUCGGUUAGAAACCAAAUUAUUCAACCUGUUGUGACACGCUUCCUUUGUCCUCCAGAGAUACCUCUUAUCAUUUCAUCUCCUACCAUGAUAUCAGCACAGAUAUCUAAUCCCAGAAUCUGUGGAUAGAAGCAGGUAUAAAGACAAAUAAACAAAGUAUGAGCUAGUAUUGGCUUUUCUUAGAAAUCCGCAUGUCAUCAUUGAAAGUCAUAUGGUUAUAGUACCUUCAUUAUAUGAUCAGUGACCACACUUUUCUUCUGGCCUUCAGUUGUUGCUGCUUGAAAUAUUAGAAACCAGUAAUGACAAUAUUAGAAACCAAUUCUGUUCAGUACAUUAAGAAAUUCCAUGGAUAAAAGAUUUUGCAGUAGAGCAAAAUUCAGGAAUAAGAUCGACUCAAGCCAUUCAAAAGAGUACAAAAAGAAGGGAACAAACUCCAUAAUAGACACAACAUCAAGAAUACAAAGCCAAUUUGCCUAUUUAUGUCAAGAUAUCAAAAUUUUCAUUCUAGGGAAUACAAACAUCCAUGUUCUCCACUAAGAGCAAAUAGAUCAAAUUCCGAAGAACUAGUUAAAAUUUUACUGAAAGUAGCUUCUGUCUCACCUUCAUGAAGACAUCGAUAUCAGGAUCAGGCUUAAUGUUUGCUGCUUUCUCUCUUCUUGCGAGCUCUGCUAACAUUUCUGCAGAUAGCCAAAAUAAGAGUCAAUCUCCUAGCCUAUACAAAUGAGAUAUAACUGCAUUGGCAACCUUCAAAAACAGAGAAAAUAAAAGGCAAAGGCAAUGGCUUCGACUAACCAAAUCAAUCUCCAACACCCUGACAUCUUGCAGAGAAGGCCAAGGUUUCUCGUAUAGUCAUUUCUCCAAGAUGGGUAUCAUGUUAACUGAUAUACGCAGCAGUUCUCUGUUGUACAAACUCAUUCAUGCCAUGACCAUUGUGUCACCCUUCCAGUAACCUAAAGAAGAAAUUCCAGUUUUCAAAUUAGACAUGAGAUAAAACAGCUAAAAUUUGAAUAGUCAUGAUUAUUUUUUUCAUUCAACCUUCAGACUAGGAUCAAGCUUUCCGGACAACGCCAAUAAGAAAGUGGUCUUUCCAGAACUUGGAGGACCCAAAAGUAACGUCAAUCUGCAGAAAAAAAAAUGCACAACAAUUGAAUAUAGAUCUUUGAGUAUAUUCUAAAUUCAAAGGAACUAUUCGUCUGUUUUAUUAAGUAAUCCAUUUUUACACUCGAAACAAAUUCAUACUCUCACCUGCCAGGUUUGAUGAUUCCGCUAACAUCUCGAAGAAUAGUGAAUUUUCUCUUUCUAGUUGGAAGAAUCCGAAGACCAUGCAAGAUAUUCUUUAAAACAGAAGGAAAAUUAUAAACUAUAAGUAUACGUAUCGAAAAGAGUAUUUAUUGCAUAGCUAAUGAUCUGCAUUUGCAUUGUAGUUACCUCAACUUGAUUAAAAAUGAAAUUAAAGAAUGAAGGAAAAGCUCUGCUGCCUACAUAAGCUUCUCCAUCAAUAGUAAGAUGCUCAUAUCUAACUUCAAUUUCGGGAAGUUCAAUCCCAACUCUGAAAAAGUGGAAGAGACAUGAAAACUCAUCAUUAAAAAGUUAAAGAAAGUUGUUUGGUUGGGGAGAAAAUGUAGGAAACACCUAUUGAUUACUACUCAAAAAGUGCUAUUUGAUAGCCUAUAAUUAAUCCUUUUUAACACUUUUGAGUAGUAGUUUAAGCCUUUUAACUCAAUUGGCAUGUUAAGGAUCCUUUAAAGCAAUUUUGAUCACUUUGUGUAAGUUUUGGUGUUUUUGUUAGUAUUUUGAUCACCAAAGCAAGUCAAGACUGAGGAGAGCUAUGAGGAAUCUUGGGCAAAGCUUAGAAUUCAAUUGCCAAGAGUGAAUCCGGAUUGCAAGGAGAAAAAGCAAAGAGAAUCUACCAUGAAGCCUAUUCUUGAUGACAGUCGUAGCAGCCACUUUUGGAGCACUUUCUGAAGUCCAAAUGAUGCAUGCUAUAUACCAUUUCAAAGCUCAGGAAGUCAACAAUCCAAUGCUUCAAACGGUGCACGAUUCGGAGUUGAAACGAAGAAGUUGCAGCCAUUGCAAGUCAAUCACUCUAAAGUGUUGCGGAAUCAGCCUUUUGUUGCGAGAAUUUCGCAGUACUUUUGUACAGAAAGGUGUUUCUCCUUCUGACAAUUCAGGAACCAUGCCGCGAGAAGGGAGCUGGGAACCUCAAGGUGGAAGCCAACUUCGCAGCCUAGUGAAGAUAGCUCGGUGUUGCGAAAUAAUUUCGCAGCCCUCUUGGGUGUCUGCGAAAUUUCGCAGACUUCAUUUUUCACCUGCGAAAUGGCUCCUGAAGCCUCCCGAAACUUGCUACCGACAUUGGGAGAUAUUUUCCAUUAGAUUUUUGUUGUCUAAAUCCCAAAAUACUCCUUGUAAACCACCAAUUACAUGAUUCCUUAGUUUUUAAGUUAGUAAAAAGACUAAAUAUCUUUGUAACAAUUAGUUUUAUAUUGUUUUGAUAUAUAUACCUCUCGGGAGCCUGUUCUCGGAGAGGAGUUCCUUCUGUAACCGUUUGGGUAAGCAAGUAAAGGUCUUUUCUUUCUACUGUCUUACCUUCUCACUUUGUAUUUUCAUUUUAUUUCUAAGUUAUGAAUUCUCUGAGGAGUUUUCCCCAGAGAAUGAGUAACUAAACCUCCAAUUCCUUGGAGCUAAGGUUGCCGGGGAAGGUUCCAAGUGCAAGAAUGCAAAGCUCUGUGGUUUUAGCUAGUAAUGAAGAGGAAGUGAAAUCCUUUAGUGAUUUCAAUGUUUUUAGUUAACUUAAAACACCUUAGAGUCACCUGGGCCAACACUUGGUAAGGCAAGUGAUUUCCAACCAUGGAAAUGCACUAGUUUACCCCUUGCGAGCCUCUGGGAGGUGACUUCAGGGUAGGAUUUUCUAGAAUAGCCAACACUUGGUAAGCUUUUGGACUCUUAGGAGACAUCCAUUAGUUACCUCUUGCGAGCUUUUGACGGGUAAUCCAAGGUUAAAGAUCACCUUGAAUGGUAAGUGCUCGUGAGAGGCAUGAACCAUUGCAAGUUGCAUCAGUGAGAGAAUUAAAGUGAAAUCUAAUUGAAGGAGUCUCUGUACAUCACCGGUUAGAGAAUUGACUCUAAGUUGAAUCUCUAAUGCGAGGAAAUGAACCAUUUGACCAGAGCCGUGUCUUUUGCAUGAGGAACCACCCCGGUGAACCUAAAUCUCCAAGGAAUGUUUUUCUUCCUAAAUUAUUCCAAACUUCUGUUAAGUUAGUUAGUUUAAGUCUCAACCUUUACCAAUCAAAGUUUGUGUUUUAUUUCUUAAGCUAACCGUGAAAUGAAACAAGACCAAUUCACUUGGAAUUGGUAUCCUUGAUUGCUUGUUAGUCAUUCCCAGUGAACGAUCCUAGAGCCACUAUACUAUAGUAGCUUUUUAUUUGCUACCCUAGUGUAUGGUGUUAUAGGUAUAAAUUUUGUUGAUCACUUCCUCAAUCAAGGAGCACCAGCUGAACACAAAUCAGCUGAGACACCAAUUGGGCAUGAAUCACCUAUCAGGCAAACUCACCCAUCCAUACGAUUCUUGAGCUUCAACAAGAACUUCUCAUUGUCCUCUUCAGCAAUUUUUAUCAACCGCUCCACUAAAUUCUUCUUGUCCUGAAGCCCAAGGCUAUGUAUAUCAACUUCAAUGGCCUCACCCUCUGAUCCCAGCAGCAAGCCUUUCCUCAACCGAUUGUAGGUGGGGAGUUUCUCGAGUGCGGCCCAUUUCAAAGCUUCCUCAUCAUCUUCACCCCUCGUAGAUUGGGAGAAAAUCUCGACGUCAGGGGUCCUCCAUCUCAUAGAACCAGCUCUACGAGUUUCAGGAGUCGACAUUGCAAACAGAAAGGAAGAACUCUCCUGCAAAACCAAUAAGAACCCGCCAAAACCCGAACUGUUGAAAUUAUAAUGCGAGGUAAAGUCAAACUAAAAGAAUUUUAGGAAUUUGAUAAAUAUUAAAAAUUAUUAUUUAUUUAGAUUUAUAUGUUAAUUAAGACUUUUGGUAUAAUAGCAAUUGGAGUCUAGAAUAUAAACUCCUUUUUCUCGCUCUUAGUACAAUGUUAUGUCUUGUUGUAUUGCUGCUACUGCAUUGUAAAAAUCAUAUAGAAUGGAAGGUUUAUAUAGUGAUUGGUAGGACAGAAAAUGAAGUGGUUCAAAAGAUUUGAAACUGGUUUAUUUUCUUGUGAUUCUUUAAGUUAUGUUUGGUUUCUAAAAAAGUACUAAGGAAAGAAAAAAAAUGUUAAAAAAAAAAAUGGUUUUCUCAUGUUUAGUUUCAUAAUGAAAAAAUACAAAAGAAAAUAAAAUAUAAUUAAAAUUUGUUAAAAUUUUAUAUAUUUUUAAAUUAUUUAAUCUUUAUAUAAUAGACGAAAAUAAGUAAAAUAACUUUGAAGAAAUAUAUUAAGGUUAUGUUUGGUUCUCGGAAAGUACCAAGGAAAGAAAAAAAAAUGUAACAGAAAAUGGUUUUCUCAUGUUUGGUUUCAAUAUAAUUUUUUAAAAAAAAUUAAAUAUAAUUAAAAUUAGUUAAAAAUUUAUAUAUUUUAAAAUUAUUUAAUUUUUAUAUAAUGAAUGAAAUGAAGUGAAAUGAGUUUGAUGAAACAUAUAAAAAUAAUUUAUUAAUUUAAAAUUUUUUUUUUUCAUUUUUUCUUUCCUUCUACUUUUCCUCUUUAUUUAUUUCUCUCACAUUUUCUCUCAAAUUUUAUGAAAACCAAACAAAGCCUAAAGUAAUUUAUUAAAUUUAAAUCUAUUUUAAUUUUCUUCAUAUUUUUCUUUCUUUCUACUUUUCCUCUUUAAUUUUUUUCCUUCACAUUUUUUUCUCAUAUUUUCCAGGAACCAAACAUAGCCUAGAAAAUUGGUGAGGGAAAUCGACUAUAAAAAAGUUUGCACAACGACUCCAUAAUAAUGUACACAUGCCACCAUUUUUUUUUCCCUUCAACUUCCUAUAUUAAGACUUUCACGGUUCAUAAUUUUUGGUUUCUUACACUUUCUUUAGCAAGUAAAUAGAAAUGUGAAUGAUCGAAUGUUUUGUUAGUUUUUAAAAUAAGAAGAAAUAUAAUACUUAAUUUUAUACAUGUUUUCCGGCAUGUUUGGUAUGUGAGAUAUGAUAGGAUAGAGUAUCUAUAUUCUAUAAUAUCAAAUUCCAUUAAAUGAAAAAUGCAUAUUUUAAAAUAUAAUUUUCAAUGAGAUAUGAUAUAUUUUUUAUAUUAAAUUCAAUCGAUAUGAUAUUGUAAGAUGACAUAUCCAAUGCAUUUCCUAAAAUAAAUUAUUUCCAUAUAUUUUUUAAGAUUAUUAAAUCCAAUGGAUAUAAUAUUAUAAGGUAACAUAUAUAAUGAGAUAGGUAAUGUAACAUUAUGCUUAUAUUUAAUUUGUAAAAUUAAUAAAAAAUAAAAUGGAAUAUAUAUUAUUUUAUAAUAUAUUUUGUAAAUGUUUUUUUAGUUCUUCUAUUUUAACCAUAAAUUUAACUUUAUAAUAAAAAAAUUAUUUUACUAAAUAAGUGAUAAAAUAAAAUAAAAAAUAAUAAAAGAAAAUUAAAUUUAUGAUACAUAAAAUAAUAUAUCUCACUACUUAUCCUAGAAGGAAUAUAAAAAAGCUAUAGAUAAUAUAUUUCACUACUUAUUCUACCAUGUGUUACAUCCAUCCAACCAAACCAUGACCUUACGGAUAUAAAAAAAUUUAACGUUUAAUAGCAUCCACAUUAAUGAAAACAAACAAUUUACUAAUAUAAACUAAACAAUCAAACACUCAAAUGAUAUUUCGCUCUAUUUAGACUAAUGAAAAAUAAACAAUUUAAAUAUUUAAUAACAUUCCACUUUAUUAAGCUUUAAGCUUAGAAUCUUAAAAAAAAAAAAAAAAAAAUACUUUAAAAAUAUUUUUUAGAGUUGUUUCAAAGGAAUGGGAUUAUUUGUUUUUUUUUUCUCAUUUAUGUCAUAAAGCAAAUUAUUUUAAAACUUAAAAUCAAAAUAUAAAAAUUUAUUUUUUAUAUUAAGAUAAAAUUGUCUUAUAAAAAGUAACAAGUUAAAAAACAAAUAAUUUUUAAAAUGACUUAAGUCUUAACACUAUUAAGUAUUAUUUAGAUGUAAGGUUUAUUUAAUUUUAUUUUUUUUUCAAAAAAGCACCACCUUUCAAAUAAGAUUUAAGCAGGUUUAACCUAUUCAAAAUUGCUUGAAAUUUAAGAGGUUAUUUGUUUUUUAAAGUUAAAUCUUAAAGCUAGUUGCUUUAAAAUUUAAGAUAAAAGUAAAUAAAAUAAAAUGAAAACUUUUGUUAUUAAGACAAAAUUUUCUUUUAAAAAUGAUAAACUAAAAAAAUAAUUUGAAAAAUGACUUCCAUCUUAAAGCAACUCUUUUUAUUAGGAUUGUAUCUCUAUCCUAAUUAAAAUUAACAAUCAACUUGAUUUUGAGUAAGAUUAUAUCAAUGUUAACCAACAUUAUUUUCUAAUAAAAGUAUUUGCGAAAACAUAAACACAUUUAUGCUUCAAUAAAUGGAAUACAUUUUUUUAGUAAUAUAACCAUAUUUUAAUUUUGAAAAAAAACAUAUUAGUCUAAUCAUCAAUAUUCAUAAUUGAUAAUAUCAUACAUUAAAAAUUAUUAAUGGUGAAUAACUGAUAUAUAUAUGGAUUAUUAAAGCAACUAUGACCAUACAACCUAUGGAACUUGGUGUAAACUUUUUUGUGGACCUGUAUUUUCUUUGCUUAUUAAAAAAUAAAUUAUUAAAGCAAUAAUGAGCAUAGAAAUUAAUUAAAACAAUAACUAUCACUCAAAUGAAGUAUUAGGCUCUAUUGAUAAUUGUUUUUAAAAACAAUUUUUAGUCUCCAGAAUAAAAAUUAAAAAUUAAAAAUUAAAAAAUAAAAAAACAAGAAAACAAGUUUGAUAAUAGAAAACAAAAACAUUGUAUUUUCAAUUCUUUAAUUGUUUUCACUUUUUUUAAAGGAUUAUUUUUAAAAAAGUCAUACAAAUACGAAGAAUGAUUAAAAAUAAAACACUGUAUAUAAAAAUUAUUUUUAAAAUAUAAGAAACAAGUUAAAAAUAUUUUAGAUUUUUAAAUAGGCUUUUGUUUUAUAAAAAAUCAAACAACAAUUUUCAAAAAUUAUUUUUAAAAAUUGUUUUCAAAAAAACACUUUUCAAAUAGAACCCUAUCCUACCAACUAUAUAUAUACACACACACAAUGCUAAUGAUAUUUAAAAGAAAAACAGUCACAUGAAAAAGGUAAUAAUAUUAGAGACUACAGAAGAACUUACUAUCAGAAAAACAUUGUCAAUAAUACAUGGGAUGAGAAUGAUUUCAUACAGCUACUGAGAUUGUCCUCAAAGUUGUUCUUAAAAAACAAAAAUACUAUAAAUGGUUGGAUCCAACCUUUCAAGGAAACCAAAGCCCUGUUCUUUUUUUCUUUUUUUGAUAAAGAGAUUUUCAUUUUUUUCCUUCUAAAAGGAACAUUCUAUAUAUAGAAUCUAAAGGUAUCAAACUGUGCCUCCAAGUAGUUUGACUGUAAAGUACAAUUCAAUCCAAUGUGUUGAUUGUUCUUUUGGUUUGCUAAUUGAUCAGGCAAUCAAUCUUUCCUCAUGUGGUUUCCAUAUUAUCAUUUUUUCAUCUUUUUCCACAUCAUUUUUAUCCUUUUCCAUAAAUAAAAAAAAUAUUUAGAUAAAUUAUUUCAUUAGCAAUUUGUUGAAGACUUGAAAAUAAAUUAAAUAAGAGAAAUAUUCACAAAUUUUUUACUUAAUUAUUCAUGAUGACAUUAAUAAUGAGAGUAACGUAUAACCAAAUAAGACUAAGAUAGGAAAAAAUGAGACAAAAGAAUUUGUCUCUAAAAGGUAUGAAAAAAUGAGAAUCAAAUAUGAAUUAAGGAGAUAUAGGUAUAAACUUAAUAAGAAAAAUGUUAAUUAUGCUUAAAUCUAUGAAUUUAAGAAAAUCUAAAAUUUUGGCCAUAAUUAUUCAUGAUCACAUCAAAUUUAUAUAUAGGAAUGGUUGAAAAUAAUGAGAGCAAUGCAUAACCAAAUGGUACUAAGAUGGGAAAUAAUGAGACCAAAGAAUUUGUCUUUAAAAGGUAUGAAAAAAUGAGAUUCAAAUACCAAUUAACUAGAUAUAGGUAUAAACUUAAUAGAAGAAAUAUUAAAUACGCUUAAGGUUAUGUUUGGUUUCAAGAAAAUAUUAAGAAAAUAAAAAAAAUAAAGGAAAAUGAUUUUCUCAUAUUUGAUUGUCUUAUGAAAAAUAUAAAAGAAGGUCAAGUAUAAUUAAAAUUAAUUAGAAACUUACGUAUUUUUAAAUUAUUUAAUCUUUAUAUCAAUUAAUUAAAUUAAACAAAAUGAGUUUGAAGUAAUAAAUAAAAAUAAUUUAUCAAAUUUUAAUCUAUUUUUUAUUUUUCUUUACAUUUUCCCACAAAUUUUCGUGGAACCAAACAUAGCAUAAAUGUAUGAAUUUAGGAAAAUCUAAAAUUUUGGCCAUAAUUUUUCAUAAUUACAUCAAAUAUAUAUAGGAAUGGUUGAAAAUAAUGAGAGCAAUGUGUAACCAAAUGAUAUUAAGAAAAUAAUGAAACCAAAGAAUUUGUCUCUAAAAGGUACGGAAAAUGAGAGUCAAAUAUGAAUUAAUGAGAUACAAGUAUAAAUUUAAUAAGAGAAAUACUAAUAAUGCUUAAAUAUGUGAAUUUAAGAAAUUCUAAAAUUUUGACCAUAAUUAUUCUCACAUCAAAUAUAUAUAUAUAUAUAUAUAUAUAUGAAUGGUUGUAAAUAAUGAAAUCAAUGUGUAACCAAAUGGGACUAAGAAAAAUAAUGAAACCAAAAAAUUUGUCUCUAAACAGUACCAAGAAAUGAGAAUCAAAUAUGAAUUAAUCAAAUAUAGGUAAAUUUAGUUAGAGAAAUAUUAACAAUGCUUAAAGAUAUGAAUUUAAAAAAAUCUAAAAUUUUAACCAUAAUUAUUCAUGAUUACAUUAAAUAUAUAUAGGAAGGGUUCAAAAUAAUGAGAGCAAUGUAUAAGCAAACGGGACUAAGAAAAUAAUGAAACCAAAAAAUUUGUCUCUAAAAGGUAUGAAAAAAUGAGAGUAAAAUAUGAAUUAAUGAAAUAUAGGGAUAAAUUUAACAAGAGAAAUAUUAAUAAUGCUUAAAUAUAUGAAUUUAAGAAAAUCUAAAAUUUUUAUAAUAAUUAUUCAUAAUCACAUCAAAUAUAUAUAGUGAUGGGUGAAAAUAAUGAGAUCAAUGUAUAACUAAUAGAGACUAAGAUAGAAAAUAAUAAAACUAAAAAAAUUCUCUAAAAUGUAUGAAAAAAUGAGAGUUAAAUAUGAAUUAACAUAUAUAUAAAUUUAAUUAGAAAAAUAUUGACAAUCUUAAGUAUAUGAAUUUAAGAAAAUCUAAAAUUUUGGCCAUAAUUAUUCAUGAUCACAUCAAAAAUAUAUAGGAACAAUUGAAAAUAAUGAAAGGUAUAAUCAAAUGAGACUAAGAUAGAAAAUAAUGAAACCAAAGAAUUUGUCUUUAAAAGUUACAAAAGAAAUUAAAAAAAAAAAAUCAGAGUCAAAUGUGAAUUAAUGAGAUGUUGGUAUAAAUUUAAUAAGAGAAAUAUUAAUAAUGCUUAAGCAUAUGAAUUUAAGAAAAUCUAAAAUUUUGGUCAUAAUUAUUCAUUAUCACAUCAAAAUAGGACGCUUGAAAAUAAUGAGAGCAAGGUAUAAUAAUACGAGACUAUGAUUAUCAAACUACUUCAAAAUCAAAAUCCUUAAUAGAAUCAAAUCAUCAAGAUGAUGUUAAUUAGUCUUUUUCAAAACAUUGAAGAAAAUCUAAGCCAAAGUUCCAAUGACCAAGAAAUAUGCAUAAAAGAUAGUUGCCCGCCAAAGACCUUAAAUGUAAUCACUAAGGAAUAAGAAUUAAUUUUAGAAUUAUUUAUUAAGGUUCAAGAUUCUUCAAUAAAAACAUAAUUAUGUGAAAUUUGUAAGAAAUCGAUUUCUAAACUAGAAAUGAAAAAAAAAAACUAUAAAACCUUAUAACUUCUAUGAAAUCUUGACAAGAUUUAACUAUAAUUCCCUAAAAAAGUGAUUAUUAAAGAUCUUCAAAAGGAAAUAAGAUGAUGUUAGAAGUUAGAGAAUUAAGACAAUACACCAACAUAUGUUUAACAAACCUUCAAGAACAAAUUAAUUAGAUAGUAAGUAAUAAGAAUUAAUAUAUCCUAAAAUCCUUAUAAGUUAAUGAAGAUUUAUCACACUUAUAUCUCAAUGUUAUAAAUAGGGUCAUCUUUAAAAAAUGCAGUGUUUCCCUAACAAUUGUGAUUAACAAUGAGUUCAUCGCUAAGAUUAAUUGUUGUCUUAAUAGAUUCAAGAGUAGCUUCUUUAUGGCAUGCUAAUAGGUCAAACUUAAGAUUAGCUACAAAUUGUCUAAGGCUCAUGUCAAUAAUCAAGGGAUGCACACAACAUUUAAUUUGGUAUAAGAUUUAAGAGAAGAAAUAUUCUUGGAAUACCCUAUUUAGUUGUCUACCCUAUCACUAGAGUAGAUGGUCAAGGUAUAAGACUAAACUCUUAAAUCAAGAGACUCCUUUUGAAUUUGCAUAUCCUCUAAAAAGAAACCUAAAUAAAUUAAGAUCUUUGAUUAUUUCUAUAAAAAAAAUACAUUUUUUUUAGUUCAAGAAGUUAGAUCUAAGAGAAUUGAAGAACAAUUGGAAGUUAAAAAGACUCAAGAUGCUAUCCAAUAAUUCAAAGAAAAGUUGGUUAGAGAAGCCCAUCCUAAAUUCCCUAAUGUAUUUUGGCAUAGGGAUGAACAUGUUAUAGAACUACCUUACAACCUAGAAUUUAGGGAAAAUAAUAUUCCCACUAAGGCAAGACCAAUUCAAAUUAUUCAAAAACCAUUGAGAUAUUAUGAAAAGGAAAUUUAAGAACUCUUUGAUAAAAAAUUAAUAAAGAAUCUAAAUCUCCUUGAAGUUGUGUAUGCGCAAAUUUCAUGAAGUCUUGCAAAACAACCAAAAACUAUAGGAAAAAUAUAUGUGAUCAAAACUUUAUAUUAAAAUUAAUUGAUUGUGCGGUAUAGACUCAAAUAUAAUAUUCUUUACAAAAGAAUAUUUUCCAUUUGAUUCAUUCACUUUGAUUACAAUCCCAAAGAUGAUGACAAGAGUCUUUUCUUGAUUUUAGAAAAUCAAUCCAAGGCCUAGAGUGGUUUUUUCUUGAAUGAACUUAUUAAAUGGUGAAAAACACGUAUAUGCUUUUAUUGUAUAAAAGUAUAAAACACUUUCACAUUUAAUUUUAAAAUAAUUAUAUAAUGUAAUUAAAAAUAAUAAUACAAAUUAAUUAAUAUAAUAAUUUCAAAAUAAUAAAAUACUAAAGACAUGCAAAUAAAAUUAAAUAUUAUAAUUUUAUUUUCAUUUUAUAUAUAUCCUUAUAUUUAAAUAUUAUAAAUGGUCUAUUUAAUCGAAUUUAAAAUAUUAAUAUAUUUAUAUUUCUCUUCAUCAUUUAAUUUGAUAUGUCAAAUAUAAAAAUGAAAUAUUAUUAAAAAUUUUAAUUAUAUAUAAUUUUAAUUUCUUAUAAUUAUUCAAAAUUUUAUAUAAUAUAUAAAUUAUUAUUUAUGAUGUCACCAAGUCGACCAAGGUCCGACCAGUGAACCAUGAAUUGGUAACUUUUUCGGUUCAAUCAUCAAUCCAAUUCUGAAAACAUUGAUCAUAUGACUUGAGAGUACAAAUAUUCAUGGCCCCACAAUUGAUUUUUUUUAUUAUUAUUUUAACCAUGAAAUGUGGGCCCCCAUGUUGUUCUUAAAUCUUAAAUAUCAAAUAAAAUGAUGAAAUAUUUUUAAAAUUUUAAUUAUUUAUAUAUAUUUUUUCACUUAUUAUAAUAAAUUUUAAUUUUCAACCGCAAUUCAACAACUGGUUCAACCAUUGAAUUAUGAAUCAAUAACUAUUUCGAUUCAACAACCAAUCCAAUUUUGAAAGCAUUGGUAAAUAUAGGCAUAAAACUAUUGGAAAUAACUCCCGACUUUCCAAGGAAGGCCUAAACUUCCCUUCUUGCUUCCUGAAUUCUAAAUUUAAUAGCAUUGUAAACGCUGCAGAUUAAAAACACAGGUCUAGUUUUUUAUAGUUUCUAAAUUUUCAUCCUAUUAUCAUGUCUUUAUGUCUUUGGUACUUAGAGCAGAGAUUGAAAGUGGAGGCCCAUACUGUUAAGUUGGUAACCAAGGAUGAAAGAAUAGCUCAAGGUUCUAUUACUGUCUGGAAUUUCAAAUUACAUAAAAUUGGGACGACAAAGAAAUUAAAGAAUUUAAUAUCCUAACAUCCUACGUACACAAAGAACAAAACCUUUUUUUCAUCUUACAAUCAAAUGUUGAACUGAAAGGUUACAUACAUAAAAUAACCAACCAUCCUUGAAGAACUUGUGCUCGGAAUGACUUCUUAUCGCCUUUGGAAGUUAAAUGCCUUAAUGGCGUAGGCAAAGAUGAAUAAGAACAGCACCACAAACCCAACAACCACAGCUGCAACCACUCCCAGGAAAUCAUGUUUGAAUCCAAAAUAAUCAUCCAAGAAUUGUUCCACCGUUUGAUUUUUGUCAAGUAGUGUGUCCUGUAUAUCUCCAAACUGUGAUGUAACCAAUCCAUACAAAGUCCAUGCAACUGGACAUAUCCAAUAGUACCAUCUCCACCACACCGGAAUUCUCUGUAUUCAUCAAGGAAGAAAUGCAACAAUAUGAGUCAUUUCUAUAUCCAUGUGGCAAGGAAAGUUGCAAUUUAAAGAAUCACAGGUUGAGAGCACUUACGUUUCGUGGGACUAUGAAACCUGAAAAGAGGUUCCAUAAUCCAUAAAAUGCCGCAGCAACGAUGGAAGCAAUAUGUUGAUUUGGCGUGGCAGCCACAGCCAUCAUGCCAUAGAAGGUGAAGUACAACAAAGUGAAGAACAUGAAGAACAGAUACCAGAAGAAUUUAGCGGCAGUCCAUUCAAAUCCAAUCAUUGCAUAAACUAUAACACCAUACACAACAGCUUGUGCAAAGACAUAUGGGAUCUCAACUAGAGCCUGCAACAAGAGAAGAAAUUUGAUUAUUAAAAUGCAAAACAUAUUAUACAUAUACAAAGUCUAUAGUGUAAGAAAACUAGUUACCUGUCCAAAGGCAUAUGGCAGGGCUGAAUACAUUCCUGCAGCUCUUUCUCUGUAAAAGACUGUUCGUUCAACUACAACAACUGGCUGGACCGAUUGGGCGUUCUGAACCCCAAGGAAGAGAACAGCAGCAUACAUAGAACCCAUUGCGUUUAACAGAUCUUGUUGCCUUGUCCUGCAAUUUACCACGUCAAGUAUAAAUUAAAGUUGAUAUAGAGAAACAUACUGAGUUCUCAAAUUUUUUAACCGACAUCAAAUUACCUUUCGGUGCCCAGAUCCCAGAACAUUGUCCCAAACAUCAAGGCUAUGAAAGUUGUGAAGAGAAAUCUCACUGCCGUGUAUGGUGGGUUGCGCCAGUAUGACCAACGUUGUUUCCAUAAGCAUGCCAAAAAUUGGGUGAAGAAGGGUUGGGAGUAUUGAGUAGCGAAAUAGAGGUCUUUUGUACCAGGGGCAGGUUGGCUCAGUUCUUUAAUUAAAUCUUUGUUUCUCCUGAAACAUAUGCCACUUGUUAGAACAGGUUUCAACUACAAAUUUAAGCUUUUCAUGAGAAACAUUAGGAUGGAUGUAUAUGACUUUUCAAUCUUAUAAUGCAAUUAGAUAACAUAUGGUUGAAUCACCUGUAUAGGUCUGAAUUCUUGUAUAUUUCAGUGAAAUCGACCCCCAAAGUUCCUUCUUGUGCUCCGGUGGUAACUUCCAGCAUCCAGGUUGCAGGGUUAUAACCAUCUUUGAUUUUACUGACUCCUUCAAUUCCCUUUAUGAAAGCAAGUGAUAUGUAUUAGUAAGUGCUUAAUAUGAAUUAACUCAAACUGAAGUAUUUACUUCUUAUAGCUUUUACUUUAUCAUGGCUGCUUACCUCAAAAUAAUUUAUUAGAUGGGAAGAAUGUCUACCCAGUGGUCCCACAUAUAUCUCUUGCCCUCCACGCUUCAUCAGGAGCAACUGCAAAUCCAUUUUAAAUAUUUCAGUACUUGUAUGCGAAGAGCAUAGAAGAGAAACUAUAAAUUCUUUCUAUCCCUUAACAUUUCCUACCUCAUCAAAGGCUUCAAAUAUGUCAAUACUUGGCUGAUGGAUGGUGCACACAACUGUCCUUCCUGUGUCCACAGUGUUUCUGACUGUUCUCAUAACAAUUGCAGCAGCUCUUGCAUCUAGCCCUGAAGUUGGCUCAUCCAUGAAUAUUAUUGAGGGAUUUGCCACAAGCUCAACUGCAAUAGUCAGCCUCUUGCGCUGCUCGGUUGAGAGACCAUUUACACCUGGCAACCCAACCAGUGCAUCCCUCAAUGGGGUCAGUUCCACAAGCUCCAUGACUUCCUCAAUGAACAUCUGUAACCAUUAGCAAUGAUUAUGAAUUGUUUAAAAAACGUUGCAAACCAUAGUAGAGAUGGUAAAAAAUUUGACACUGCUUGUGACUCCUGUUAGCAGGUUGUGAAGAGGUUUCCCUAGUCUUACUAAAUGGAUCGGUUAAUAGAUGCAAAUGCUCAAAAACACUCAUUAGCUUGCAUGAACUUCACCCAAUUGGAUUAAAAGUCAAUGAAACUUGAACCAGCACUUUUUCCCAGGUGAAGGUCAAUCCAAACUUGAACCUGACCUUACCUCAACCAAGUAUGAAAAGUCAAUUCUAGGGCUUUGCUUGUUUAGAGCACUAAAUUGAACAAGAAAAAUAUGGAAACAAUUAAGAAGACUCCUACCUUUCUGGUUUCAGAAUUCACAUCAGAAGGCAACCGCAGCCAAGCUGAGUAGAGCAAGGACUCAUGGACAGUAACAUGAGGAGAGUGGAUGUCAUUCUGCUCACAGUAUCCAGAAAUUCGAGCAAAAGUCUCUUGCUUCUUUGGGUAGCCAGAAAUAGUGAUGUUACCCUCAAUAUAUCCACCGGUUUUCCGACCAGCCAGUACAUCCAUGAGAGUGGUUUUACCAGCACCACUAACACCCAUCAGAGCUGUAAGAACACCAGGCCUGAAAGCACCACUCACCCCUUUCAGAAGCUCCAGUCUGUCUUCAAGGGCACCCUGACUUUUCAUUUCCUGCAAGUUCAUUUCAAACAACUCAGUUCUCAUUUCUGGUUUAUAGUACAUUAUGAAAAAACUUCAGUGCUGCUAAAACAUAUGUCAUCAUUUGAAUAAAUAUGACUUUACCUCUGGCAUGUCAACUGAGUAUCUAAUAUCAUCAAAAGUGAUUGAAUGUGGUUGGAAUGGAAGAACCAUUCCUUUCUUCUUAUUAUGAUUAGCCUCAGCAAUGGCUUCUACCAUUUGCUCUCCCCGCUCUGCAUGUCAAGUUUAAAUUCAGUGAGCCAUAUAAAACAUGUAGUUAAAUGACAAGAAUUGAGUCAUACAAAGGCAUGCAUGCAUGCACCAUGUAUGAGUUUCAUCACCUGUGGUUGCAGUUUUGGCAUUGUCAGACUCUUCUGUUAUAACAGCUUGAGGCUUCUCAAAUACUGAGCAAUUUGCACAAUGUUAGUACACUAAGCUCAUAUUUUUAGGAGUUUCAAUGCAGAGAAGGUACAGAUACCCACGAUUUAGGUAAUUAAGGCAGAGAGUGUAAAAGAUGUUGAAAACAAAUAUGAAUCCAAGCAGUGCCCCAGCUCCUAUCCAGUACCAGUGUGCGUCUGUGAAGAACCCACGAGACUUCAAUACUGUGACUCCAAGGGAUUCUGUUGAAUCGGUGACAUUCUGAAAAAUGGAAAUAAGUACAAUCAUCAGUUACUGACACACAUAAAUAAACACAAAUAUUCACAUGGAACAUUCGAGAACUUACUUUGCUCCAACUCUUCCCAAGGAAUUCAUUUACCACUAUUGCAUUCUGUGCAUACAUCAGAGGGGAAGACCAGUAACCCCAAAUCCACCAUUUCUUGACAUUAUCUGCAGCAUUGACCAAAUAAAAAAGGAAACAAAAAUUCAUUAUCAGGGGUUAUGCACAAGAAGGUUCUACAUUUCCUAAAAAAAUAUUUCCUCAUCAUACCAUAUGACAGGAUAAAACCACCCAAUGCCAAGAGCAUAAGUAAAGCAAAUGCCCCAAAUGUGUUUGCAACAAUCAUGUUUCUACCGGCUGCUGCUAUAAAUCGAAAUAAUCCAGAUGCCAUCUGAUUAACAAGCAAGAGGAGAAGAUACUGUCUAAACAACCUGCAAUAAGGAGAUUUGUUUAUUCAGCAUUGAUCAUUUUGGAACAGAGAAAACAUGUAAAAGAAAUCUGGAUAAGUUUCUGCAACUUCAUAACUUUUUAACUUUACCUUUCCACAUUUGGAUCAAAUCCAAUGACAUAGUAAGUGAUGAACACCCAAACACCAACUUCAACAAAUGUGAUGGGGAUCCUGAGCACCCAUGUGGGAAGAGCAUAUGCCCAUGCAGGAUAGAAGAGAAGGUCUCUUUGCUUGUAAAAGACAGGAAGUUUUGCAAUUGCCAUGGCAAGUUCUGCCAUUCCAUUAAACAUGAUCAUGACAACAGUGAAGAACAAAGCACCCGUGUAAAUGUUUCCAUCAUCUGUUGAAUUUUUGUGCAUCUCAGUUCUUAGGAAGAGUGUCAUUGCAAUCACUGCCAUUACUGCAAGCUAAAAAUAGAAAUAAAAAUAAUAAAUUACAAUCACAUAUACAAAAUUAAAAGCCAUAGUUAUAAGUAGCAAUAAUAAUAAUAAUACUCACUUGGGUGAGUUUGAAAAUAUAAACAAAUGAGUUCCUCUUCAUCAGCAAGUACUCUCUUGACAUGUUGGCAUCCAACAGUUCCUUCUUUCUAACACCAUACUUUUUGGUCGUCAAAGCAGCUGGGUGGCUUUUGGCCCUAUCAAAUGGCGAUGCAAGCUCAUCUGCUACUUUCCGUCCAAUGUGAAAUGACUGGAAUGCCUCAGCAAAUUCUUUGACUGUGACAAAACUGUAAGGCACAUCUUUACGUGCCCAAUACUGGGCCUGAUCUUUUCUAGAUGUUACCUGCAAUGAAUUUUAAAGUUCAUGUUAUAGCUCUGUUUUUUUCUAAAAAUAAAAAAAGGGAAAAAGAUAGAAGAUACCAAAAGCUACAAAGCUAAAUUUGCACUCACUUCUUGCAGGAAGUCUGCCACACCCUUCCUUGCAGGACAUUUGAAGCCCAUGGAUUCAAAAAAUUCAACCACAUCUUCACGAGGACCCUGAUAAACAAUCUGACUAUCAGAUAGGAGAAUGAUGUCAUCAAAAAGAUUGUAAGUCUCAGGUGCUGGCUGGAGGAGAGAGAUGACAGCAGUCCCAUUGAGAAUAUGGAUGGUUUGCUUGAGAGAAUUGAUGAUUUGAUAAGUUGUUGAGCUGUCCAAGCCAGUAGAGAUCUCAUCCAUGAACAGUGCCUUUGAUGGUCCGACCAGCAUCUCACCUAUUAUUCAUACAUUUCACAUAAUUGAAUUAAAUUAAAUUAAUGAACAAAAAAUCUAAUUUGAUUUGUUCUUUCAUUUAGUUAGAAACCAAAUUAUCCCACCUGUUGUGACACGCUUCCUUUGUCCUCCAGAGAUACCCCUUAUCAUCUCAUCUCCUACCAUGGUAUCUGCACAGAUGUCUAGUCCCAGAAUCUGUAGAUUUAAAAGUAAAGAAAAACAAACAAAUCAUGAAUUAGAAUUGGGUUUUCUCAGAAAUCUAUAUGCCAUCAUUGAACGUUUUAUGGUUCUAAUACCUUCAAUGUAUAAUCAGUGACAACAUUUUCCUUCUGACCUUCUGUUGCUGCUGCCUGAAAUAUUGGAAUCCAAUGAUGAAAAUGUCAACCACCAUGGAAGCAACUUCAGUACAUUAAGAAAUUUCAUAGAUAAAAGAUUUUGACAUAGCAUAAAAUUCACAAAUUAGAUUGACUCAAGCCAUUCAUUUGAGUACAAAAAGAAAGAAACAAACUCCAGAACAGACAGAACACCGACAAUACAAAGCCAUUUUGCCCAUCUAUGUCAGAAUUCAAAAUUUAAUUUCUGGAAAAGAGCAGUAUUCAUGUUCACUAAAAGCAAAUAGCUCAAUUUCUGCAGAGCUGAUUAAAAUUUCACUAAAAGUAGAUUCUGUCUCACCUUCAUGAAGACAUCAAGAUCAGGAUCAGGCUUAAUAUUUGCUGCUUUCUCUCUUCUUGACAGCUCUGCUAACAUGUCUGCACAUGGCAAAAAUAAGAGUCAAUCUUCUAGGCUACGGAAAUGUCAUAAAAUUGCAUUCACAACCUGCAAAAAGCAGAGAAAAUAAAAGCAAAGGCAAUGGUUUAGACUAACCAUAUCGAUCUCCAACACCCUGGCAUCUUGCAGAGAAUGCCAAGGUUUCCCUUACAGUCAUUUCUCCUAUAUGGGUAUCAUGUUGGCUGAUAUAGGCUGCAGUUCUCUGGGGUACAAACUCAUUCAUGCCAUGGCCGUUGUAUGUCACCCUUCCCAUAACCUAAAGAAGGAAUUUCAGUUUUGAAAUUGGAUAUGAGAUUAAAGAAAUAAAAAAUUAAACAUUCCAUAAAGAAUGGAGGAGUAAUAAUCAUUUUCUCUCAACCUUUAGAUUGGGAUCAAGCUUGCCAGCCAAUGCCAAUAAGAGGGUGGUCUUUCCAGAACUUGGAGGACCUAAAAGCAAAGUCAAUCUGCAGAAGAAAAAUAUGCACAAAAAUCUUGAGUAUGGAUCUUCGGGACAUUCUAACUUUGAAGAACGAAAAAAUCAUUUGAGUUAUCGAUCCAUUUUUUACUAGAAACAAAUUCAUUCUCACCUGCGUGGUUUGAUGGUUCCACUAACAUCAUUGAGAAUAGUGAAUUUCCUCUUUUUACUUGGAAGAAUGCGCACAGCGUUCAGGAUACCCUUUGGAAAAGAAGGGAAAAUUAGAUCUAAAAACAAACUUACUUAAAAGAAUACUGAGUACAUAAGUAAUGAUCAGCAUUUGCAUGUAGUUACCUCAAGUUUACUAAAAAUGAAAUUAUGGAAUGAAGGCAAAGCUCUGCUUCCUACAAAAGCUUCUGCAUCGAUGGUAAGAUGCUCAAAUCUAACUUCAAUUUCGGGAACAUCUAUUCCAACUCUGAAAAAAAUGGAAGAAUCAUAAAAACCCAUUAUCAAAAAUUCAAAGGAAGAUGUUGCUUGGCUGUGGAGAAAAUGUGGGAAACACUCAUGAGGCAUAUUUCAGGUCAAGUUUUCAUUUUUUUUCCUCUUUAUGUUCUUCUGUUUUCAAUGUUCAAAAACAAAUGGCAAGGAAUGCAAGAAAGGAGAAGAAAUCUCACCUAUCGAUACGAUUCUUGAGCUUCAACAAGAACUUCUCAUUGUCCUCUUCAGCGACUUUUACCAACCGCUCCACUAAAUUCUUCUUCUCCUGAAACCCAAGGUUAUGGAUAUCAAUUUCACUGGCCUCGCCCUCGGAUCCCAUCAGCAAACCUCUCCUCAACCGAUUGUAGGUGGGAAGUUUCUCGAGUGCGGCCCAUUUCAAAGCUUCCUCAUCAUCCUCAUCCCUCGAAGAUCGGGAGAAAAUAUCCGCACCGGAGCUCCUCCAUAUCGAAGAACCGUUCCUCCUUAAACUACCACUGGCUCUAUAAAUGUCAGCAGUGGCCAUUGCAACCUGAAACGAAGAACCCUCCUGCAAGACCAACCAAAACCCACAAAAACCCAGAAAUCUUUCCUCAAAAGUCUGAGAAAGAAGCUCAGAGUUUUGAACCCUGGAGCCCAAAGAAGCUAAAAAUCAGAUACGCGUCCCCUUCCUCCCUUUUCUCUGCAUACCUUUGAACUGCUAAUACUUGAUGCCUUCAGAAUGGAGGGUUUAUAUAGGUGAUGGGUUGAACAGACCCUCAAGUUUUCUAACUUCUUGGUUUCCUAUGACUUUUCCUUAAAAAAAAUUAGCGGGGAAAUUGAAUAUAUAAGCUGCUGGGUAACGAUUCCAACGACUUUGACCCGUCAAAUUCUUAAAUAAAACACUUCUAGAGUUUCCCAAUGGGAACGCGAUCUGUUUAAAGCUUCCCACCGGCCAAAUGAACAAACUUUUUCCUUCCAACUGUUGGGUCCAGGAAGGUUCCUAGUGGACCCAAAUCCUCCAAAACUAUAUAUAUAUAUUUGGCAUUUUUUUUAACGGAUUAAAUACAUUUUUCCCGGCUUUUGCACAUAUGUCUUCUGACGACUUUACGGAAAAUCCUUGGAGAAUUGUCCUUCUAGACGUUCUAAAACGGUAAUGUUUUGGUCAAACGGAAAGUCAACCAUGGAAAAUAAAGGUUUAACAGAUAGAUAACAAUGAUGUUUUUUUUUGUGCGCAUACCCUCUGACCUCACGAACACGCACGUUUCUAGAUUUCCUUGACCUUGUGAACACGCACGUUUCUAGAUUUCCUUUACCUUAUGAAUACGCACGUUUCAAUCUAUAGUAAUGAGUACGAGUAUAGAUUACUUUAAGUGGAAAAAUUUUCUAAAUGCUCAAGAGUUUGAUAAUAAUUUUAUAUUUCACAUUAUAUAAAUCAAACUUCCCUUUUAAAACACUCAUCUUCUUAUCUCUUUCAAAAAAAAAAAAUUGAGUUGAUAUCAACAAUCAAAAAUAAAUUUAAAAAUUUUUAAAUUAAAAAUAUAAUUAAAAUUUAAAAUAUAUAAAAAAAAAUAUUCACCCCAACUACAUUUUCAACGCUUUCUUAUUAUAUAUAUUUAUAAAUCCCAAAGAUUAUCUCAAUUUUAUUUUUAUAUUUUGACCUCAAUUUUGUUAAUAAAUUUUAAAUCUUAAUAACAUGUGUUUUUUUGGCCCACUCACCCUUUAAUUUUAAUUUUUAUUAUUUUAUAUUUUUUUAUUUUAUUAUUAUUAUUACUUACUACUACUACUAUUAUUAUUAUUAUUAUUAUUAUUAUUAUUAUUAUUAUUAUGUUUUAUUUUAUUUUUUUAUUUUUUUCUUUCUUUUCUCUCUCCUCUCUCUUCUCUCUUCCUACUCUCCAACUACCCCACCCACUGUCUCUCUCUCUCCUCCCAUACCCCUCAUCCCACAACCAUACCCCGAUUACCCCCCUCCUCCUCCUCCCAUUCAUUCUUCUACUAUGGCUGGCCUCCCAUUCCCCUUUCUUUUUUUUUUUUCUUUUUUUUCUUUCUUCUGCUUCUCACCCUAGGACACACGCACAGCCGGCCCAUUUUUCCCCCAUUCUCACCGGAUUCCAGAUAUUUUUCCUCUUCUCGGCUGACUCCCACAGUAGUCAACAACCCUAUCUCCCCACUCCGUUUCUCAGCUCUUUCCCCAUUUUUCCUUCACUCCACAGACGACCAUAGCUGGCUCCCCAGUUUUCUUGAUUUUUUUUAUUUUUAUUUAUUUUUAUUUUUAUUUUGGCUACCCAAACACCACAUCUCGUCGACCCCGAUUCUCUUCUUCCUAUUUUUUCUCUCAUUUUCUCCAUUUUUUUCUCAUCUCUCUCCUUACUCACUCUCACAUGAUUGGAGCCCCCCAUUUUCUUCUUCCCCAUUUUUCAUUUUUGUUCUCUAUCCAAACACCCACUUGCAGAGACACAGGCUGACCCAUUUCUUCUCUUCCAUUUUUAUUUUUAUUUUUUAGUAUCUCCCUUUUUUUUAUUAUUAUUAUUAUUAUUAUUAUUAUUAUUAUUAUUAUUUGUUUUUGUCUUUCAAAAACACCAUCAACCCUCAUUGCGCCGGUCGGCGACCCCCUCUCAUUUCCUCUCAUUCCGUCACUUUCCUAUCCCACUCACUUUCCAUUACUAUUAUUAUUGUUAUUAUUUUUUAUUUGAUUUUAUAAAUAAAAUUGAAUAAUGAUAAAUAAAAUUGAAUAUAAUAAUAAUUGUUAUUAUUAUUGUAUAUAAUAAUAGUAAUAACAAUGAUAAAUAAAAAAUAAAUAAAUAAACAAAAGAUAAAUAUUGAGAAAGAGUUGAAAAUGCAUUAAGAGUUAACAUAUAUAUCAUUUCUAGGAUUAAAGUUUUUUUUUUUUUUUUUACUUUUUAUUGUAUUUUUUAUUUUUAAAAUCUUUUAUUUUAUUGUUUAGGCCAACCAACAAAAUUUUUAUUCAAUUUUUUUUAAAAGAGAUAAGAAGAUGGGAUGUUUUAAUCAAGAAUACUUGAUUUAUAUAAUGCAAAAUAUAAAAUUAUUAUGGGAGGAUUUUUCCACAUUGACUUGCAAUCAAUAUUAUAUAAUUAAUAAAUUAAUAAAUAUAUUUGUUAGUAAGAUAAUUUUAAUAAAUUUAUAAAUAUAUUUAUUAGCAAGAUAAUUUUAAUAAAUUAAUAUGAGAAAUCAAUUUUAUGAUAAUUUUAUUUAUUAUUGUCAAAUUUUUAGUAUCUAAAUUUUUAGGAGAGAUCAUUAAGAGGAUCUAGUUUUGCAUGAUUUUAAUAUUUGAUCCCUAGUUUUAUUACUAAAUAUGAGAUUAUGGUUCUAGGAAAAAAAAAAUUCUAAUGUUAGAAAUUUGAAAAUAUAUAUAUAAUUACUAGUCAUUAUGCAUUUAAUGCAUUGACAGAUGAUCACUUAGGCUUACAUCCUUAAUCAGUUGAGCAAUCAAUUUGACGGAAACUCAACUAGUCAAAGCUUUAACUACUAGAAAAGAGAAAAAUAACAAAUGUGUCUUGAUUUAUCAAGUCUAACCUAUUCAACAGAUUCCUCAACUCCUCAAUCGUAAAUGGCAUGGUUUAAGGUCUAAAACCUCCAAUAACUUACGUUAACCUUCUUAAAACUUUUCAAGAUAAAUUUAAAAGUAAUUUAGUUCAAGGUUUUAAUUGAAAAUAAAAAAUCGUCCAAUUCUUUGAUAUAUGUAUAAAUGAUCUUAAUUUUACACAACAUUUUAGGUUAAUUUAAGUCUUCAAGGAUCCUAAGUCUUCCAUGAUUGCUUGAGCUUUCUUUGGAUUUUCAAUAGUAAACUUAAAACUUAAUUUGAUUUAAACUAUUAGUAAUUUUAACUUUAUUUUGUAAUUAUAAUUAAAAAAACCUAUUAGGAGAAUCCUUGGGCUAAUAGUCUUGAUGUUUGAUCUUUAAGAUUAUUCAAUUCCAAAAAGAAAUGGGAGGAUCAAGGAUUUUUGUUGGUUGAAGGAGAGUGAGAGGGGCUAGCCAUGUCAAACAACACACUUUUGAUGCCUUUUGAUAAGGGUUAUAAUUGGUUAAAUUGGUCAAAAUAACCUCAAUAUUUGCAAAUUUAACCCACCUAUCAAAAAGUUAAAAAAUAAAAAUAAAUAAAUUGUUGAUUGAGACAAAAAUGCCCUUCCUUUUAUUUCCCUCCAACACUUACAACUUCUCAUCUUCUACUUCAUUUAACCUUCUACAAAAAAAACUCAUCAUCUUUUUCUUCAAAAACCAUAAAAAAAUUCUCAUCAUUUUCUUCUACUUCAUUAUCUUCUUUUGGUGUAUAGAAAGGAAAGCUUAUCUUCUAUUCUGCUUCAUUUAUAGAACAACUUCUCAUCUUUUAUCUUCUUAUUUAUUUCAUUCUCUCCAUUUGGUGCAUAGAACGGAAAGCUCAUCUUUCCUUUAGAAGCCCUAGAAAAUUUCUCGUCUAUCAUCUCAUUCUCUAUUUCAUUCCCAAUCCUUAGAAAAAUUAUCUCAUCUCAUUUUAUCCUCUAGUCUAUCCUCUUAUCCUCUCAUCUUUUUGUCAAGGUAUCUCAUAUUGUAUCUUCAAGCACGAUAAAAAAAUAAGUUCAUUGAAGAGUGAUAAGAGAAAAAGAUUAAAAAUGGUGGUGAAAAAUCAAAAAUCACAAUUGCGAAUAGAAAAAGCAAAAAUUGUGACUAUGAACUUAACUGUGGUUAAGUACUUUAUUAAUGCAACUCAACUAUUGUUAAGUUCAAGUGAAAAUUCCGACUAUGAACUUAACCGUGGUUGAGUUAUUUGUUAAUGCAACUCAACCACUAUUAAGCUCAGGUGAAAAUUCUAACUGUGAACUUAACUGUGGUUAAGUUAUUUGUUAAUGUAACUCAACCAUUGUUAAAUUCAAGUGAAAAUUCUGAUUGUGAACUUAACUUUGGUUAAGUUAUUUGUUAAUGCAACUUAAUAAUAAUUAAAUUUAUAUUAAUGCAAUGACCGUUAACUUAACCAUAAUUAAACUUAAUCAAUUAAUUUAUAUGAUAAAACUAAAACAUUAAUUUAAAAUUUCAAUCUAUAAUUCAAAAAAAUUGCUUUAAGCAUAUACAAAAAAAUAAGCUCACAAAUCCCUUCAUGACCCUAUAUAGAAAAAUAAAUAAAUAAAAAUGUAGAUACAUAGUUAAAUCAUCCUUAAAAAACAAAUUCUAUUGUAGCAUUAUUAAAGUGACUGAUGAAUUGGUUGUAAGGGAAAUUCAUGGAUGUUGAUAUUGCUCUCAACAAUAUUGACACAACUAUAUUCAUCUCUAGGAUGUAAUAGGAUUGAUCGUUCGCAUGUUUUUCGAUUAUGCUCAUAAUCACCACAUCUACCACAACAUCAUGUGUGCUUAACCUCUCCACUUGAAUGAAUUCUCUCCUUUCUUGGUCUUCCUACUGGUCGUCAACUUUUUAAAGGUAGCACAACUCUACAAUGAAUGUCUUCCUGAAUGCAAUACACAACUCUCAUUAAUUCAUGAUAUGAUAUAUUCUUCUUCACCAUAAGGUCUUUACCUUCAUUUCCUUUAAAGUGGUAUAUGUUCUCAUCUGAUACCUAAUUCCCUUUAUACAAAAGCAUUAUUCAUACCUCAUCAAUGACUGCAAAAAUAAAUAUUUCAAAUUAUCAUAUUAAGAAUGAAAUAGUACAACAUAUGAAAUACUUUUAUUAAGUUUCAAUUAUAGACUAUGUAAUGAAUCUUAAAACAUAUAUUUAUAUUUUUAUUAGAUAACCCACUACAUAAUAAUAUGUCAACAAUUCAAUCUUAGUUUUCAAUAUAGUUAUAUAAAAAUAGACUUUUGCUUUGAAUAGCAACACAUAAACUCAACUUAUGUUAAGUUAAAUCUAAAAAAUAGUAAAAUUUGUUGUUCAAUGCAGCAAUGCAACACUUCCCAUAAAUCAAAUAUCCAAAGGAACAAUAUAUAACUACAAUAGGUAUUAAUCAUAUGAGCAAUACUAAAACCAUAAUAAUUUUUCAUGCAUGUGAUUUAUUGCUUACCAUCAUUUGACCUUGUCAUAUGGAUAAAUCUUUUUAACUUCUUUUGAAUGAACUUUUCACUUUUUCAUAACUAAUAAUGGAGUCUCUAUUUUCUACCUACAAUGGUGAAGUGAGGUUUUGAAUUUUUAGAAAACAGAAAGAAAUAAAAUGAUAAUCUAAAAAAGAAAUUGUUGGUUGCUUACAUUUUUUUUUUUCAUUUUAUCGUGAUCAAGAAUGAAGAAUAAAUGAAACAAUGGUAAGAACUUAGGCUUGUUCGCUACAGGAAAACAAAGAGAAGGAGCAACCAAUGAUUGAAUAAAAAAAUAAAAACCUAAUCUACUAUAAAAAUAGAACAAAAGGGAAAGUUAUAUUGGAGGGAAAAAUGAGGGGUAUUUUUGUUUCAAUUAGGUCAACUUUUUUGCCUUUUAAGGGGUGGGUUAUAUUUGCAAAUAUGGGUGUUAUUUUGACUCGUAUAACCAAAUAAACCUUUUAAAAAGGGUGACCAUGGUAUGAUGACCCUUUCUCCUUUCCUUUUGGUUUAUUUUCAUUUCAUGGCCACUUAUUAAGAUGAGUGUUAUUCAAUAGAUCACCGUAUGUUCUUCCAAAUAAAUCAUUCCGACCUGUCUAAGCUUUGAAGAUUUUGUAACUCCAACUUGGAAUCUCCUAGAAGCAUUAAAGAUUCUUAUGCUUCCCCAAAGGAAGAUAAUAGCUACAAGGGAAGUUUCCUAGUCUAAAAUGAAAUAUAAGAAGGGACCUGUCACUUCAUCUUUGAGGUUUGGACAUGAUGGAGGCAACAUUUUGUUUGGUUGGGGAGAAAAUGUAGGAAACACCUAUCAGGCAAACUCACCUAUCCAUACGAUUCUUGAGCUUUAACAAGAACUUCUCAUUGUUCUCUUCAACAAUUUUUAUCAACCGCUCCACUAAAUUCUUCUUGUCCUGAAGCCAAAGGUUGUGUAUAUCAACUUCAAAGCCCUCACCCUCUGAUCCCAGCAACAAACCUUUCCUCAACCGAUUGUAGGUGGGGAGUUUCUCGAGUGCAGCCCAUUUCAAAGCAUCCUCGUCAUCCUCACCCCUCGUAGAUUGGGAGAAAAUCUCGACAUUAGGGGUCCUCCAUCUCAUAGAACCAGCUCUACGAGUUUUAGGAGUCGACAUUGCAAGUAGAAAGGAAGAACUCUCUUGCAAAACCAACAAGAACUUGGCAAAACCCGAACGGUUGAAAUUAUAAUCCGAGCUAAAGUCAAACUAAAAGAAUUUUAGGAAUUUGAUAAAUAUUAAAAUUGUUAUUUAUUUAGAUUUUUAUGUUAAUUAAGACUUUUGGUAUAAUAGCAAUUGGAGUCUUGGUACAUUGGUUUAUUAUAAGUUAUCAUGUUGAAAAGAAAAAAUGCAAUAAAGUAUUAUUUUAGCAAAAAUAUUAUUAAUACUCAAUUGUGUGGGUUCCAACUGAAACCUUUCCAAAGAAUAUAAACUCCUUUUUCUCUCUCUUAGUACAAUGUUAUGUCUUGUUGUAUUGCUACUACUGCAUUGUAAAAAUCAUAUAGAAUGGAAGGUUUAUGUAGUUAUUGGUAGGACAGAAAAUGAAGCGGUUCAAAAGAUUUGAAACUAGUUUAUUUUCUUGUGAUUCUUUAAGCUAUGUUUGGUUUAUGGAAAGUAGUAAGGAAAGAAAAAAAAGUGUUAAGAAAAAUGGUUUUUUUAUGUUUAGUUUCAUAAUGAAAAAUAAAAAAGAAAAUAAAAUAUAAUUAAAAUUUGUUAAAAAUUUAUAUAUUUUAAAAUUAUUUAAUCUUUGUAUAAUAGUCGAAAAUAAGUAAAAUAACUUUGAAGAAAUAUAUUGAAGUAAUUUAUUAAAUUUAAAUUUAUUUAAAUUUUCUUCAUUUUUUUUUCUUUCUACUUUUCCUCUUUAUUUUUUUUCCUUCACAUUUUUUCUCAUAUUUUUUGGGAACCAAACAUAGCCUAGAAAAUUAGUGAGGGAAAUCGACUAUAAAAAAGUUUGUGCAAUGACUCCAUAAUAUUGUACGCAUGCCACCAUUUUUUUUUUCCUUUCAACUUCCUAUAUUAAGACUUUCACGGUUCAUAAUUUUUGGUUUCUUACACUUUCUUUAGCAAGUAAACAAAAAUGUGAAUUAUUGAAUGUUUUGUUAGUUUUUAAAAUAAGAAAUAUAAUACUCAAUUUUAUACAUGUUUUCAGGCAUGUUUGGUAUGUAAGUUAUGAUAGGAUAGAGUAUCUAUAUUCUAUAAUAUCAAAUAUGCAUUAAAUGAAAAAUGCAUAUUUUAAACUAUAAUUUCAAUGAGAUAUGAUAUAUUUUUUAUAUUAAAUCCAAUAUGAUAUUGUAAGAUGACAUAUCCAAUGCAUUUCCUAAAAUAAAUGAUUUCCAUAUAUUUUUUAAGAUUAUUAAAUCCAAUGGAUAUAAUAUUCUAAGGUAACAUAUCUAAUGAGAUAGGUAAUGUAACAUUAUGCUUAUAUUUAAUUUGUAAAAUGAAUAAAAAAUAAAAUGGAUUAUAUAUUAUUUUAUAACAUAUCUUCUAUUUUAACCAUAAAUUUAACUUUGCAAUAAAAAAAAAUAUUUUACUAAAUAAGUGAUAAAAAAUAAAAAAAUAAUAAAAGAAAAAUAAAUUUAUGAUACAUAGAAUAAUAUAUCUCACUACUUAUCCGAUGUAGAAGGAAUAUAAAAAAGAUAUAGAUAAUAUAUAUCACUACUUAUUCUACCAUAUGUUCCAUCCACCCAACCAAACCAUGACCUUACGAUAUAAAAAAAUUAAAGUUUAAUAGCAUCCACAUUAAUAAAAACAAACAAUUUACGAAUAUAAACCAAACAAUCAAACACUCAAAUGAUAUUUCGCUCUAUUUAGACUAAUGAAAAAUAAACAAUUUAAAUAUUAAAAAACAUUCCACUUUAUUAAGCUUUAAGGUUAGAAUCUUAAAAAAAAGUUGCUUUAAGAAUAUUUUUUAGAGUUAUUUCAAAGGAAUGGAAUUAUUUGUUUUUUUUUUUUUUUCAUUUAUGUCGUAAAGCAAAUUAUUUUAAAAUUUAAAAUCAAAAUAUAAAAAUUUUAUUUUUUAUAUUAAGAUAAAAUUGUCUUAUAAAAAGUAACAAGUUAAAAAACAAAUAAUUUUUAUAAUGACUUAAGUCUUAACACUAUUAAGCAUUAUUUAGAUAUAAGGUUUAUUUAAUUUUUUUUUUUAUAAAAAAAUACCAUCUUUCACAUAAGAUUUAAGUAGGUUUAACCUAUUCGAAAUUGCUUGAAAUCUAAGAGGUUAUUUGUUUUUUAAACUUAAAUCUUAAAGCUAGUUGCUUUAAAAUUUAAGAUAAAACUAAAUAAAAUAAAAUAAAAUAAAAACUUUUGUUAUUAAGACAAAAUUUUCUUUUAAAAAUGAUAAACUAAAAAGAUAAUUUGAAAAAUGACUUCCAUCUUAAAGCAACUCUUUUUAUUAGGAUUCCAUGUCUAUCCUAAUUAAAAUUAAUAAUCAACUUGAUUUUGAGUAAGUUUAUAUUAUUGUUAACCGACAUUAUUUUUCAAUAAAAGCAUUUGCGAAAACAUAAACACAUUUAUGCUUCAAUAAAUGGAAUACAUUUUUUAGUAAUAUAACCAUACUUUAUUUAAAAAAAAAAACAUAUUAGUCUAAUAAUCGAUAUUCAUAAUUGAUAAUAUCAUAUAUUAAAAAUUAUGAACGGUGAAUAACUAAUAUAUAUGGAUUAUUAAAGUAACGAUGAGCAUACAACCUAUGUAACUUGGUGAAAACUUUUUUGUCCAUCUGUUUUUGCUUUGCUUAUUAAAAAAUAAAUUAUUAAAGCAAUAAUGAGCAUAAAAAUUAAUUAAAACAAUAACUAUCACUCAAAUGAAGUAUUAUAGGCUCUAUUGAUAAUUGUUUUUAAAAACAAUUUUUAUUCUCCAGAAUAAAAAAACAAUGAAACAAGUUUGAUAAUAGAAAACAAAAAACAUUUUAUUGUUUUUUUUUAUAAAAAAAAGACAUUGUUUUUUCAAUCCUUUAAUUGUUUUCACUUUUUUUAAGGAUUACUAAAAAAAAUUAACCAAAUGAUUAAAAAUAAAACACUACAUGUAAAAAUUAUUUUAAACCAUAUUUAAAAAUAUAGAAAAUAGGUUAAAAAUAUUUUAGAUUUUUAAAUAGACUUUUGUUUUAUAAAAAAUCAAAUAACAAUUUUCAAAAAUUAUUUUUAAAAAUUGUUUUCAAAAAAACAUUUUUCAUAUAGAACCCUAUCCUACCAACUAUAUAUAUAUAUAUAUAUAUAUAUAUUCACACAAUGCUAAUGCUAUGAAAAGGUAAUGAUAAUAGAGAGUAGAGAAGAACUUACUAAAUUGAAGAUCGAACAAGUCUUAGAAAAACAUUGUCAGUAAGACAUGGGAUGAGAACGAUUUCAUAUAGCUACUGAGAUUGUCCUCAAAGUUACAGCUAGUAAAAUUGUCCUCAAAGUUGUUCUUCAAAAACAAAAAUACUAUAAAUGGUUGGAUCCAACCUUUCAAGGAAACCAAAGCCUUUUUUUUUGAUAAAGAGAUUUUUUUUUUCCCUUCUAAAAUGAACAUUCUAUAUAUAGAAUCUGAAGGUAUUAAACUGUGCCUCCAAGUAGUUUGACUGUAAAGUAAAAUUCAAUCCUAUGUGUUGAUUGUUCUUGUGGUUUGCUAAUUGGUCAGGCAAUCGAUCUUUCCUCAAGUGGUUUCCAUAUUAUCAUUUUUCAUCUUUUUCCUCAUCAUUUUUAUCCUUUUCCAUAAGUAAAAAAAUAUUUAAAUAAAUUAUUUCAUUAGCAAUUUGUUGAAUACUUGAAAAUAAAUUAAAUAAGAGAAGUAUUCACAUAUUUUUUACUUAAUUAGUCAUGAUGACAUUAAUAAUGAGAGUAAGGUAUAACCAAAUAAGACUAAGAUAGGAAAAAAAUGAGACCAAAAAAUUUGUCUCUAAAAGGUAUGAAAAAUUGAGAAUCAAAUAUGAAUUCAGGAGAUAUAGGUAUAAAUUUAACAAUAAAAAUGUUAAUUAUGCUUAAAUGUAUGAAUUUAAGAAAAUCUUAAAUUUUGCUCAUAAUUAUUCAUGAUCACGUCAAAUUUAUAUAUAGGAAUGGUUGANNNNNNNNNNNNNNNNNNNNNNNNNNNNNNNNNNNNNNNNNNNNNNNNNNNNNNNNNNNNNNNNNNNNNNNNNNNNNNNNNNNNNNNNNNNNNNNNNNNNAGCAAUGCAUAACCAAAUGGUACUAAGAUAGGAAAUAAUGAGACCAAAGAACUUGUCUUUAAAAGGUAUGAAAAAAUAAGAUUCAAAUACCAAUUAACUAGAUAUAGGUAUAAAUUUAAUAGGAGAAAUAUUAAAUACGCUUAAGGUUAUGUUUGGUUCCAGGAAACUAUUAAGAAAAGAAAAAAAAAUAUAAAGGAAAAUUAUUUUCUGUUUGAUUGUUUUAUGAAAAAUAUAAAAGAAAAUCAAAUAUAAUUAAAAUAAACAGAAUGAGUUUAAAGUUAUAAAUAAAAAUAAUUUAUCGACUUUUAAUUCUUUCGUAUUUUCCCACAAAUUUUCAUGGAACCAAACAUAGCAUAAAUGUAUGAAUUUAGGAAAAUAAAAAAUUUUGGCCAUAAUUUUUCAUCAUUUCAUCAAAUAUAUAUAGGAAUGGUUGAAAAUAAUGAGAGCAAUGUAUAACCAAAUGAUAUUAAGAAAAUAAUGAAAUCAAAUAAUUUGUCACUAAAAGGUACUGAAAAUGAGAGUCAAAUAUGAAUUUAUGAAAUACAAGUAUAAAUUUAAUAAGAGAAAUCCUAGUAAUGCUUAAAUAUGUGAAUUUUAGAAAUUCUAAAAUUUUGACCAUAAUUAUUCUCACAUCAAAUAUAUAUAUAUAUAGGAAUUGUUGAAAAUAAUGAAACCAAAAAAUUUGUCUCUAAAAAGUACCAAGAAAUGAGAAUCAAAUAUGAAUUAAUCAAAUAUAAGUAAAUUUAGUUAGAGAAAUAUUAACAAUGCUUAAAGAUAUGAAUUUAAGAAAAUCUAAAAUUUUAACCAUAAUUAUUCAUGAUUACAUUAAAUAUAUAUAGGAAGGGUCGAAAAUAAUGAGAGCAAUGUAUAAGCAACUGGGACUAAGAAAAUAAUGAAACAAAAAAAUUUGUCUCUAAAAGGUAUGAAAAAAUGAGAGUAAAAUUAUGAAUUAAUGAGAUAUAGGGAUGAAUUUAACAAGAGAAAUAUUAAUAAUGCUUAAAUAUAUGAAUUUAAGAAAAUCUAAAAUUUUGGUCAUAAUUAUUCAUAAUCACAUCAAAUAUAUAUAGUGAUGGGUGAAAAUAAUGAGAUCAAUGUAUAACCAAAUGAGACUAAGAUAGAAAAUAAUAAAACUAAAAAAAUUCUCUAAAAUGUAUGAAAAAAAUGAGGUUAAAUAUGAAUUAACAUAUGUAAAAAUUUAAUUAGAAAAAUAUUGACAAUCUUAAGUAUGUGAAUUUAAGAAAAUCUAAAAUUUUGACCACAAUUAUUCAUGAUCACAUCAAAUAUAUAUAGGAACGGUUGAAAAUAAUGAAAGGUAUAAUCAAAUGAGACUAAGAUAGAAAAUAAUGAAACCAAAGAAUUUGUCUUUAAAAGUUACAAAAAUAAAAAAAAAUGAGAGUCAAAUGUGAAUUAAUGAGAUGUUGGUAUAAAUUUAAUCAGAGAAAUAUUAAUAAUGCUUAAGCAUAUGAAUUUAAGAAAAUCUAAAAUUUUGGUCAUAAUUAUUCAUUAUCACAUCAAAAUAGGACGCUUGAAAAUAAUGAGAGCAAGGUAUAAUCAUACGAGACUAUGAUUAUCAAACUACUUCAAAAUCAAAAUCCUUAAUAGAAUCAAAUCAUCAAGAUGAUGUUAGUCUUUUUCAAAACAUUGAAGAAAAUCUAAGCCAAAGUUCCAAUGACCAAGAAAUAUGCAUAAAAGAUAGUUGCCGACCAAAGACCUUAAAAGUAAUCACUAAGGAAUAAGAAUUGAUUUUAGAAUUACUUAUUAAGGUUAAAGAUUCUUCAAUAAGAACAUAAUUAUGUGAAAUUUGUAAGAAAUCGAUUUCUAAACUAGAAAUGAAAAAAAAACUAUAAAACCUUAUAACUUCGAUGAAAUAUUGACAAGAUUUAACUAUAAUUCCCUAAAAAAGUGAUUAUUAAAGAUCUUCAAUAGGAAAUAAGAUGAUGUUAGAAGUUAGAGAAUUAAGACAAUGCACCAACAUAUGUUUAACAAACCUUCAAGAACAAAUUAAUUAGAUAGUAAGUAACAAGAAUUAAUUUAUCCUAAAAUCCUUAUAAGUUAAUGAAGAUUUAUCACACUUAUAUCUCAAUGUUAUAAAUAGGGUCAUCUUUAAAAAAAUGCAAUGUUUCCCUAACAAUUGUGAUUAACAAUGAGUUCAUCGCUAAGAUUAAUUGUUGUCUUAAUAGAUUCAAGAGUAGCUUCUUUAUGACAUGCUAUUAGGUCAAACUUAAGAUUAGCUACAAAUUGUCUAAGGCUCAUAUCAAUAAUCAAGGGAUAUGCACACAACAUUUAAUUUGGUAUAAGAUUUAAGAGAGAAAUAUCCUUGGAAUACCCUUUUUAAUUGUCUACCCUAUCACUAGAGUAGAUGGUAAAGGUAUAAGACUAAACUCUUAAAUCAAGAGACUCUUUUUGAAUUUGCAUAUCCUCUAAAAAGAAACCUAAAUAAAUUAAGAUCCUUGAUUAUUUCUAAAAAAAUAUAGGCUAAGGAUAAUCAUAUCAAUUUUUUAGUUCAAGAAGUUAGAUAUAAGAGAAUUGAAGAACAAUUGGAAGUUAAAAAGACUCAAGAUGCUAUCCAAUAAUUCAAAGAAAAGUUGGUUAGAGAAGUCCAUCCUAAAUUCCCUAAUGUAUUUUGGCAUAGGAAUGAACAUGUAAUAGAACUACCUUACAACCUAGAAUUUAGGGAAAAUGAUAUUCCCACUAAGGCAAGACCAAUUCAAAUGAUUCAAAAACCAUUGAGAUAUUAUGAAAAGGAAAUUUAAGAACUCUUUGAUAAAAAAUUAAUAAAGAAUCCAAAUCUCCUUGAAGUUGUGUAUGCGCAAAUUUCGUGAAGUCUUGCAAAACAACCAAAAACUAUAGGAAAAAUCUAUGUGAUCAAAACUUUAUAUUGAAAUUAAUUGAUUGUGCGGUAUAGACUCAAAUAUAAUAUUCUUUACAAAAAAAUAUUUUCCCUUUGAUUCAUUCACUUUGAUUACAAUCCCAAAGAUGAUGACAAGAGUCUUUUCUUGAUUAUUUUAGAAAAUCAAUCCAAGGCUUAGAGUGGUUUUUUCUUGAAUGAACUUGUUAAAUGGUGAAAAACACGUUUAUGCAUUUUCUCAUACUUGCAGGGAGAUUUUAUAAUAAUAAUAAAAAAAUUCUUUGUAAAGCUUUUUUUCCUAUGUGAAGUCCUUUUGCCAAUCUCUCUUUUCCUUGAAAGAAGUCACCUUUAUUUAUAGGUGAAGAUAGGAAAUUAAAUUUUGAAUUUCAAGAUUUGAUUACUUCAUUCAAGGAAUUUGGUUCCUUGAUUAUUUUCAUAACUUUUCUCCUUCCUCACUAAAGUUUUGUCAACAAGAUAAUAUCUAUUAUUUGGUUGGAGAUUUUUGUUCCCCUUUUUUUAGGAAACUUGUUAAAAAGAGAAUAUCUAUUUCUACUUCUCUUCGAUUAGAAGACUUAAUUUCAUAGUCUUCCAAAUUUUACUACGUGUUACCUUCAAAGUUGCAUGCCACAUGUCUAAUGACUUGUCAAGCCUAAAUUUUGUUGAAAUAUGAAGUUACAAUUUUGAAGUCCGAUUUAAUGGUAAUUUAAUCCACUAAAAAUUUGGAUAGCUACAAAUUUCUCUAUUGUUUAUGUUAAAAAACAAACAAAAUUUGAAAGAGGAACACCUAGGCUUGUGAAUAAUUACAAACCCCUUAAUGAAGCCUUAAGAUGGAUUAGGUAUCAUAUUCCAAAUAAGAGAGACCUUCUUCAAAGAUUAGUUAAUUAGUCUAGGAUAUUCUUUAAGUUUGACGUGAAAUCAAGCUUUUUUGGCAAAUCCAGAUCAUAGAAAAAAAACAUGUAUAAAACAACUUUUACAAUACCAUUUGGACAUUAUGAAUGGAAUUUAGUAUCAUUUGGUAUUAAAAAUGUCCUCUCAUAAUUUCAAAACAUUAUGAGGCAACUGUCCUAAUGAUGAACUCAUUGUUAAUUACAAUUGUUAGGAAAAUAUUUCAUUUUUGAAAGAUGAUCCUAUUUAUAACAUUGAGAUACGAGUCUGAUAAACCUUCAUUGACUUUUGAGGAUUCUAAGAUAUCUUGAUUUUUAUUACUUAAGAUCUUAUUAAUUUGUUCUUGAAGGUCACUUAAACUUAUAUUGGUGUAUUGUCUUAAUUCUUGAACCUCUAUGUGUGCGUGCGUGCGUGUUCUCAUAACAAUUGCAGCAGCUCUUGCAUCUAGCCCUGAAGUUGGCUCAUCCAUGAAUAUUAUUGAGGGAUUUGCCACAAGCUCAACUGCAAUGGUCAGCCUCUUGCGCUGCUCAGUUGAGAGACCAUUUACACCUGGCAACCCAACUAGUGUGUCCCUCAAUGGGGUCAGUUCAACGAGCUCCAUGACUUCCUCAAUGAACAUCUGUAACCAUUAGCAAGGAUUAGAAAUUGUUUGAACCGGCACUUUUCCCCAGAGUGAAGCUCAACCAAUUUUGGGAUGAUGCACACUAAGCAAGGCUUCCAAAAUUCUGAACAAUCAAAGCAAGUGAUUCUACAAUUCAAAGCAUAACUGCUUCAUUUGGAUAUGAUCAUCAGGAUACCACUGUAUGAGCACCAAACUUUCUUUCAUUGAAUGAGUUGAAUACUAGGAAAACUGAACUACUUCUCUUCAUGGGUCCAACAUAUCAGUAGAAAUGGGAUCUGAAAGCGCAGACAUGGAACCGCUGGAAAUAACUCUGAACCUUCUGAAGAAGGCCACAACUUCCCUUUUUGAUAACUCAAGUCUAAAUUUAAGAGCAUUGCAAACCCUGCCCCUGGUACACACUUUGUUGGCUUUGAAACCAAACUAUUUUCAUGUUGAUACCGUGUCUUUAUGAUUUCGGCUACUUAAAGCAGCUACCAAAAGUGGAGCACCAUACUGGUAAGUUGGUAAUCAAGAUGAAAGGAUUGCAUAAGGCUAUAUUAUUGUCUUGAAUUUCAAAUUUUAAAUUACAAAAAAAAUUAGGAGAAAACAAAAUACAAUAAAAUUGGGAGAAAACAAAAUACAAGAAUUUAACAAGAUAAAUACUACCCGCUAUGACACUCUCUAACAGCCUAGACAUAGACCAAAACUUUUAUUCAUCUGUGAAGAACUUGUGCUGUUAUCGCCUUUGGAAGUUAAAUGCCUUAAUGGCAAAGGCAAAUAUAAAUAAGAAAAGCACCGUAAACCCAACAAUCACAACUGCAACCACUCCAAGGAAAUCAUGUUUGAAUCCAAGGUAGUCAUCCAAGUAUUGUUUCACUGUUACAUUUGAGUCAAGUAGUGUGUCCUCGAUAUCUCCAAACUGUGAUGUAACCAAUCCAUACAAACUCCAUGCAACUGGACAGGCCCAAUAGUACCAUCUCCACCACACAGGAAUCCUCUGUAUUCAUCAUGUAAGAAAUGCAACAAAAUGAGAUCGUUUCUGUAUCCAUGUGCUAAAGAAAGUGGCAAUUUAAAGAAUUAUGGGUUGAGAGCACUUACAUUUCGUGGGACUAUAAAACCUGAGAAGAGGUUCCAUAAUGUAUAAAAUGCUAAGGCAACGAUGGCAGCAAUAUGUUGAUUUGGUGUGGCAGCCACAGCCAUCAUGCCAUAAAAGGUGAAGUACAGUAAGGUGAAGAACAUGAAGAACAGAUACCAGAAGAACUUAGCAGCUGUCCAUUCAAAUCCAAUCAUUGCAUAAACUAUAACACCAUACGCCACAGCUUGUGAAAAGACAUAAGGUAUCUCAACUAAAGCCUGAAAGAAGAGAUGAAAUUUGAUUAAUAAAACCCAUAAAGUAUUAGAGAUAUACGAAGUCUAUAGCAUAAGAAAACUAAUUACCUGUGCAAAGGCAUAUGGCAUGGCUGAAUACAUUCCUGCAGCUCUUUCUCUGUAAAAGACUGUCCGUUCAACUGCCACGACUGGUUGCACCGAUUGGCCAUUCUGAAACCCAAGGAAGAGAACAGCGGCAUACAUAGAGCCCAUUGCAUUAGAUAUAUCUUGUUGUCUUGUCCUGCAUUUGCCAAUGUGAAGUAAAAAUUAAAGUUGAUAUGGAGAAGCAUACUGAGUUCUCAAAAUUCUGAACUGACUUCAAACUACCUUUUGGUGCCGAGAUCCCAGAACAUUGUCCCAAACAUCAAGGCUACGAAAGUUGUGAAGAAAAAUCUCACUGCCGUGUAUGGUGGAUUUCGCCAGUAUGACAAACGUUGUUUCCAUAAGCAUGCCAUACACUGGGUGAAGAAGGACUGGGAGUAUUGAGUAGGGAAAUAGAGGUCCUUAGAACCAGGGGUAGGUUGGCUCAAUUCUUUAAUUAAAUCUUUGUUUCUCCUGAAACAUAUGCCACAUCUUAGAAAAGGCUUCAACAACAAAUUCAAGCUUGCAUGAUGAACUUUGAAAUGGCUGUAUAUGACAUUUCAAUAUCAUAAAGCAUUCAGAUAUCCUAUAGUUGAAUCACCUGUAUAUGUCUGACUUUUCGUAUAUUUCGGUGAAAUCCACCCCCAAAAUUAAUUCUUGUGCAGAAGCGGUAACUUCCAACAUCCAAGUUGCAGGGUUAUAACCAUCUUUGAUUUUACUUACUCCUUCAAUUCCCUUAAUGAAAGCAAGUCACAUGUAUUAGUAAGCACUUUAUAUGAAUUAACUUAAACUAAAGUAUUUGCUGCUUAUAGCUUUUAAUUUAUCAUGGAAGUUUACCUCAAAAUACUUUAUCAGAUGGGAAGAAUGUCUACCCAGUGGUCCCAUAUAUAUCUCUUGCCCUCCACGCUUCAACAGGAGCAACUGCAAACCCAUUUUGAAUAUGUCAGUACUUAUAUGCAGGAGAGCAUAGAAGAGAAUAAAUCCUUUCUAUCCAUUAACAUUUCCCACCUCAUCAAAGGCAUCAAAGAUGUCAAUACUUGGCUGAUGGAUGGUGCACACAACUGUUCUUCCUGUGUCCACUGUGUUCCUGACUGUUCUCAUAACAAUUGCAGCAGCUCUUGCAUCUAGCCCUGAAGUUGGCUCAUCCAUGAAUAUUAUUGAGGGAUUUGCCACAAGCUCAACUGCAAUGGUCAGCCUCUUGCGCUGCUCGAUUGAGAGACCAUUUACACCUGGCAACCCAACUAGUGCACCCCUCAAUGGGGUCAGUUCCACGAGGUCCAUGACUUCCUCAAUGAACAUCUAUAACCAUUACCAAAGAUUAGAAAUUGUUUGAACCAGCACUUUUCCUCAAGAGUAUAGGUCAAGCCAAACUUGAACCUGACCAUAGCUCAACCAAGUUUGAAAAAUCAAUUCUAGGGCUUUGCUUGUUCAGAGCACUAAAUUCAAUAAGAAAAAUGUGGAAACAACACAGAAAACUCUCACCUUUCUUGUUUCAGCAUCCACAUUAGGAGGCAAUCGCAGCCAAGCUGAGUAGAGCAAGGACUCAUGGACAGUAACAUGAGGAGAGUGGAUGUCAUUCUGCUCACAGUAUCCAGAAAUGCGAGCAAAAGUCUCUUGCUUCUUUGGGUAGCCAGAAAUGCUGAUGCUACCCUCAAUAUAUCCACCAGUUUUCCGACCAGCCAAUACAUCCAUGAGAGUGCUUUUACCAGCACCACUAACACCCAUCAAAGCUGUAAGAACACCAGGCCUGAAAGCACCACUCACCCCCUUCAGAAGCUCCAAUCUGUCUUCAGGGACACCCUGACUUUUCAUUUCCUGCAAAUUCAAUUCAAACAACUUAGUUCUCAUUUUUGGUUUAUUAGUGCUGAUAAAACAUGUACAUUAUUUGCAUUAAUAUGAAGUUACCUCUGGCAUGUCAACUGAGUAUCUAAUAUCAUCAAAGGUGAUAGAAAGUGGUUGGAAUGGAAGAACCAUUCCUUUUUUGUUGUUACGUCUCGCCUCAGCAAUGGCUUCUGCCCUCACAGAAGAGGAUACGGAUGAGAUACUUCGCCCAAUUUCCUCUCCACUCUCUGCAUGUUAAGUUUAAAUUUAGAGAGCAAUAUAGAACAUGGGGUUAAAUGACAAGAACACAGGCACACAAAGGCAUGCAAGCACCAUGUAUGAGUUUCAUCACCUGUGGAUGCGGUUUGGUCAAUCGAGCCUUUUCUAUGGGACGAUAACUCAAUCUUUCCUUCAGUUUUGGCAUUGUCGGACUCUACUGUUAUAACAGCUCGAGGCUUCUCAAAUGCUGCACAAUUUGCAAAAAUCUUAAUACACUAACCUCCAAUAAUUUAGGAGUUUCAAUGCAGAGACGGUAAAGAUACUCACGAUUUAGGUAAGUCAGAGCCACAGUGUAACAGAAGUUGAAGACAAAUAUGAAUCCAAGCAGUGCCCCAGCUCCUAUCCAGUACCAGUGUGCCUCCGUGAAGAACCCACGAGCCUUCAAUACUGCUACUCCAAGGGAUUCUGUUGAAUUGGUAGAAGCAUUCUGAAAAAUGGAAAUACAUUCAAUCAUCAGUGACUGACACACAUAAAUAAACACAAAUACUCACAUGCAAAAUCCAAGAACUUACUUUGCUCCAACUCUUCCCAAGGAAUUCAUUUACCACUAUUGCGUUCUGUGCAUACAUCAUAGGGGAAGACCAGUAACCCCAAAUCCACCAUUUCUUGACACUUUCUGCAGCAUUGACCAAAUACAAAAAGAAAACAAAAAUCCAUUAUUAGUGUUUAUCAACAAGAAGGUUCUACAUUUCCUGAAAAUUUCUUUCCUCCUUAUACCUCGUGACAGGACAAAACCACCCAAUGCAAAGGGCAGAACUAAUGCAAAUGACCCAAAUGUGUUUGCAACAAUCAUGCUUCUACAAGCUGCUGCUAUAAAUCGAAAUAAUGAAGAUGCCGUCUGAUUAAGAAGCAAGAGGAGAAGAUACUGUCUAAACAAUCUGCAAUAAGAAGAUUUGUUUAUUGAGCAUAGAUCAUUUUGGAACAGAGAAAACAGGUGAAACAAAUCUGGACAAGUUUCUGCAACUUCAUAAGUUUUUAACUUUUACCUUCCCACAUUUGGAUCAAAUCCAAUGACAUAAUAAGUGAUGAAUACCCAAAGACCAACUUCAACAAAUGUGAUGGGGAUCUUGAGGAACCAUGAGGGAAGAGCAUAUGCCCAUGCAGGAUAGAAGAGCAGGCCUCUUUGCUUGUAAAAGACAGGAAGUUUUAGAAUGGUCAUGGCAAGUUCUGACAUUCCAUUAAACAUGACCUUCAUGACAGUGAAGAACAAAGCACCAGUGUAAAUGAUUCCAUCUUCUGUUGUGUUUUUGGGCAUCUCAGUUCUUAGGAAGAUUGUCAUUGCAAUCAUUGCGACUAUUGUGAGCUAAAAGCAGAAAUAAAAAUAAUAAAUUACGAUCAAAUGUACAAAAUUAAAAGCCAUUGUUAUAAGUAACAACAAUAAUAAUACUCACUUGGGUGAGCUUGAAAAUAUAGACAAAUGAAUUCCUCUUCAUCAGCAAGUACUCUCUUGAGAUGCAAGCAUCCAACAGUUCCUUCUUUCCAACACCAUAUUUUUCAGUUUUCAAAGCAGCCGGGUGGCUUUUGGUCUUGUCGAAUGGAGUUGCAAGCUCAUCUCCUAGUUUCCGUCCAAAGUGAAAUGACUGGAAUGCCUCAGCNNNNNNNNNNNNNNNNNNNNNNNNNNNNNNNNNNNNNNNNNNNNNNNNNNNNNNNNNNNNNNNNNNNNNNNNNNNNNNNNNNNNNNNNNNNNNNNNNNNNAUCUUUAUGUGCCCAAUACUGCUNNGAUCUUCCUAGAUGUUACUGCAAUCAAUUUUAAAAUUCGUGUUCUAGCUUGGUUUUUUCUAAAGAAGGGAAAAAAUGAGAAGAUGCCAAAAGGUACAAAGCUAUUAGCACUCACUUCUUGUAGGAAGUCUGCCACACCCUUCCUUUCAGGACAUCUGAACCCCAUGGAUUCAAAAAAGUUAAGAACGUCUUCACGAGGACCCUGAUAAAUGAUCCGGCUAUCAGAGAGAAGAAUGAUGUCAUCAAAAAGAUCGUAAGUCUCAGGUGCUGGCUGGAGGAGAGAGAUGAGAGCAGUCCCAUUGAGAAUGUGGACGGUUUGCCUGAGAGAAUUUACGAUUUGAUAAGUUGUUGAGCUAUCCAAGCCAGUAGAGAUCUCAUCCAUGAACAGUGCCUUUGAUGGUCCAACCAGCAUCUCACCUAUCAUUCAUAUAUUUUCAAAUAAUUGAACUAUAUUAGAUUAAUGAACAAAAAAUAUCUUCUUCUUCUUCUUUUUUCCUUUUUCAUGUUAGAACACAAAUUAUCCUACCAGUUGUGACACGCUUCCUUUGUCCUCCAGAGAUACCCCUCACCAUUUCAUCUCCUACCAUGGUGUCUGCACAGAUUUCUAGUCCCAGAAUCUGUAAAUUUAAGUGUAAAUGAAAAUAAACAAAUUAUGAGUUAGAACUGGGUUUUCUCAGAAAUCUGUAUUCCAUCAUUGAAAGUUUUAUGGUUAUGAUACCUUUAGUGUAUAAUCAGUGAUCACAUUCUCCUUCUGGCCUUCAGCUGCCGCUGCCUGAAAUGUUAGAAACCAAUAAUGAAAAUCUCAACAACCAUUAAAGUUAGUUUGGUACAUCAAGAUAUUCCAUGGAUAAGAUCGACAGAACAUCAAGAAAACAAAGUCAAUUUGCAUAUCUAUGUGAGAGAUCAAAAUUUUCAUUCUAGAGAAGACAAGUGUCCAUGUUCUCCACGAAAAACAAAUAGCUGAUCAAUUUCACAAAGUAGCUUCUGUCUCACCUUCAUGAAGACAUCGAUAUCAGGAUCGGGCUUUAUAUUUGCUGCUUUCUCUCUUCUUGAGAGCUCUACUAACAUGUCUGCAGAUAGCCAAAAUAAGAGUCAAUCUCCUGGCCUAGGCAAAUGUCAUACAACUACAUCCACAACCUUCAAAAACAAAGAAAAUAAAAGUGAAGGCAAUGGUUUAGACUAACCAUAUCGAUCUCCAACACCCUGGCAUCUUGCAGAGAAGGCCAAGGUUUCCCGUACAGUCAUUUCUCCUAUAUGGGUAUCAAGUUGGCUUAUGUAGGCGGCAGUUCUCUGGGGUACAAACUCAUUCAUGCCAUGACCGUUGUAUGUCACCCUUCCCGUAACCUAAACAAGAAAUUUCAGUUUUCAAAUUGGAUAUGAGAUUAAAGUGCUAAAAAUUGCAUCAAAGAAGAAAAGCAAUAAGAGUUUUUUUUUUUUUUUUUUCCAUUCAACCUUUAGACUGGAAUCAAGCUUUCCGGACAAAGCCAAUAAGAGAGUGGUCUUUCCAGAACUUGGAGGACCCAAAAGCAACGUCAUUCUGCAGAAAAAAAAUUAUGCACAAAAAAUUGAGUAUUGAUCUUCAGGGCAUUCUAAAUUUGAGAAAGGAAAAAAUCAUUUGAUUUAUCAAUCAAUUUUUUACUAGAAAUAAAUUCAAAUUCUCACCUUCCGGGUUUGAUGAUUCCGCUAACAUCAUGAAGAAUGGUGAAUUUCUUCUUUCUACUUGGAAGAAUUCGAAGAGUGUUCAAGAUAUCCUUUAAAACAGAAAGAAAAAUUAUAAUCUAAAAACAAACUUUCCCAAGAGAGUACUUAUUGAUUAGCUAAUGAUCUGCAUUUUCAUUUUAGUUACCUCAAUUUGAUUAAAAACAGAAUUAAUGAAUGAAGGCAAAGCUCUGCUUCCUACAUGAGCUUCUGCAUCAAUGGUAAGAUGCUCAAAUCUAACUUCAAUUUCGGGAAGAUCAAUCCCAACUCUGAAAAAUGGAAGAGCCACGAAAACUCGUUAUUAAAAAGUCAAAGGAAGAUGUUGUUUGGUUGCAAAGAAAAUAUAGGAAACACUAUCAGGCAUACUUAAGAUGAAUUCUUUCUUUUCCACUGUUUUCAAUGUUCAAAAAGAGGCAAGGAGCGCAAGAAAAGAAGAGAAAUCGCACCUAUCCAUACGAUUCUUGAGCUUCAACAAGAACUUCUCAUUGUCCUCUUCAGCGAUUUUCACCAACCGCUCGACUAAAUUCUUCCUUUCCUGAGGCCCAAGGUUGUGUAUAUCAACUUCACUGGCCUCACCCUCUGAUCCGAUCAGCAAACCUUUCCUCAGCCGAUUGUAGGUGGGAAGUUUCUCGAGGGCAGCCCAUUUCAAAGCUUCCUCAUCAUCCUCAUCCCUUGAAGAACGGGAGAAAACCUCCGCACCAGAGUUCCUCCAUAUGGAAGAACUGUUCUUCUUGAAACUACCACUGGCUCUACGACCACUGGCUGUAUAAAUUUCAGCUGUUUCCAUUGCAACACGAAACGAGGAACCCCCCUGCAAAACUAACCAGAACCCACCAAAACCCAGAAAUUUUUCCAAAAAAUCAGGAGAAGCCCAAGUUUUGAUCUCUGGAGCUGAAAAAAACUCAGAGAUGGGUGUCCUCCCCUCUUUUCUCUAUGCACUUUGUAGUGCUAAAACCUUGUUCUAUGUUAGAAAACCAUGAGGAAUGGAAGGUUUAUAUACUGGUUCGAAGGACAGAAUCAGAGGCGGCCUAAAAGUUUCAAAUUCUUAUUUUAACAUUUUCACAAUUCUCCACUAUCUUGUUUGUCAAGUAAAUGGAAAAGUGAAUUAUUAAAUGUUGUCCUAACCGCAAACUAACUAACUUUCCCGGGCCAAACUAACUAAAUUCCAAAUGUAAAACAUUUAUGGCAUCUUGUUUAUACUCUUGUUUAAUGAUAUGAUACUUUCGGUUUAGUUUGCCUGAAUUAAAAAUGUAAGUUAAUUUUUAACAUUUCAUUUAUAACCUAAUUUAAUGUUGAUAUAUUGAAUUUGGAUUACUUCUUUUAAUCUCAGAAUUUAUUAAGAUUAGAUCGGAGUUGAGUUAAUAGGCCUCGAGUUAAUUUAAAUUAUAUUCAAGGAAAGAGUUAAGUAAACUUUAAUAAGUGAAUGAUGAAAUUUUUUAUUUCUAAAUUAUAUGUAAUAUAAUCAAAUAUAUGUCUCGUUAUUACGAGUUUACAAGUAACCCAAUAGGCAUAAGAAUUAUUGAAGGUUGGCCCAACAGCCCCUUUUGACCCUUCAAAUGACUGCCCUUGUCAUUUUCAGCUUUACUCACCCUUGUCAACCAGCAAGCAACUCACUAGGAAUAGGAAUUAUCAAAUUAAGUAACUUUGCCACAAGCAGCCCCAACCCCACCCCCAAACCCCCAAACCCCCACCCCCCACCCCCCACCCACCACCCAACAUAUUUUUUUGGCAAUUUUUGUUAAAUCUAAUUUAAUAUUUUGAUAUUUGGAUUACCUAAAUUAGAAAUGUAAGUUAAUUUUUAGAAAUUUGUUUGUAGUCUAAUUUAAUGUUGAUUAAACUCGAGUAAGUUUAAAUUAGGAUUAAAUCUAUUUAAGGAUGGUGUUAAACAAAUGAGGAAACCUAAACCUUAAUUAAGUGGGUUAUUAGAAAAAAUAUUAUGGUAUUAAUUAUUUCAUGAAUUUGUAUAUCUUAAAAUUAGUUAAUAAUACCCCUCAUUAUUAUUCAAUAAAAGUGGCCAAUUCUAUGGUAAAGAAUAAAAAUAUUAAAAACAUUAGUAAAAGAUGUUUUAGACUUUACUAAAAAAAUAAGUUAAAAGACUUUUUCAAAAGAAUUUUAAAAAGUAUUUAAACUCCCCGCUAAGAUAUUUUAAUAAAUCAUUUUUUUUUUUACCAAGUCAAUGGAAAUUUGAAUUAUUAAAUGUUAUCUAACUACUAGAUAAAUUAAUAAGUUGUUUGACAAUUAUUUUUUGAGAACUAUUUUUUUAUUUUAUCUUUAAGUUGUUUUCACUUAUUUUUUAAAAUUUGUUUUAAAAAAUAACUAUACAGAAAAAUGAUUAAAAAUAAAGUACUAAAUAUAAAAAAAAUCAUUUUUAAAAAAUAUUAAAAACCAUUUAAAAUAUUUUAAAUUCUCAAAUAAACUUUUGUUUUAUAAAACAUUAAAAAAUAAUUUUUAAAAACUGUUCUUAAAAACUAUUUUUCAAAAUUAUUUUUUAAAACAAUUACAAAAUGGAUCCUAACUUUAUUUGCCUGAGUGCAAAUCUACCUAAAUUGUAAAUGUAAAAUACUUUUUUGGCAAUUUAUUUAUAAUUUAAUUUUAAGAUUCCAUACUUUGGGUUUUGAAUUACCACUUUUAAUCUCCCAACUUUUUAGAGUAGGAUUGGAUUAGCUGAAUUUGACUCUGCUUAGAGUUAGGUCCCGGGUGGUUUUCGACUGGCUCAUACUCUCCUAAAUUAUAAAUGUAAGUACAUUUUUUGGUACAUUUCCUUUUCUUUUUUUUUUUUUUAAAAACAAAAUAUCUUAUAUGAAAAAAAAAAAAAGGAAUUCUUGUAUAAAAGCUAGUUAUAUACCUUGUAUAAAAAUUUAAGUAAUUUUACUUCCACAAAUUUUCUAGGUUUUGAAAAGAAUUUUUAGAAAUACAAGGUAAAUUUUACCUUUUUAUAUAAAAGUUCUUAUAUUUUAUAUAGAAAUUCUUAUUUUUAAAAAUAAAAAAUGUACCUAAUCACCACCUAAAUUAUUUUUCACCAUUUUUUUAUACUAUAAUCUAAUGUUUAUGAUCGAAAUCUAGUGUUUGUAGUUAAGUUUGUAUUGAAGUUUAGUCAACAUAUUCAUGGAUGAAGCUAAACUAAUGACAGAAACUUUAUUUAAGUGAGCAAUUAGAACAAUUAUGAGGGUAAUAAAUAAUUGAUAAAUUUUCAAAAUUUAAAAUUUGUUAACAAUUCCCCUCAUUAUUAUAAAAAAUAUAUAUACAAUUAUAGAGGUUAAUUAUAAAAAAGAAAGAAAAUAUAUGAUAUAUCAAACUGAAUAAAAAUAAUAUCAAACAUAUUGGUAAAAAUAUUUUUGUUUUUCAAAAAAAAAACAUCCAAAAAAUUAAAAGGUUUUUUUUCAAAAGAAUUAAAAAAUAGUUAAAAUUUUCAAUAAGAAAUUUCUAAUAAUUUUGUUUUAACAAAAAUAGAAAAUCAACAAUUCCACUUAUAAAUUUCUUCUAUUUUUCAAAUAGCUAAAGAUAAAUUGAGUGAGGAAACUAUUUUUUUUAUGAAGUAUAUAUAAUAUAGUAAAAAUAUCAUAUUAAGUUAUAUAAUUUUUAUAAUUAAAGUUAAAUUCAAAUUCUCAUAAUAUAGUCAUUAUAUGAGAUUUGAUAUGAUGAUAUUUAUAAAAUCGAUGAGAUUGAUAUUCAAAUAUUUCUUUUUAAAACAUACUGAUUUAACUCUACAAGUGGUACCACCACCCAUAUAAAUUAAUAUUAAUUACAAACUUCCAUAAUACAAAUCAUUGCAUAGGAUUAGAUUUAUUAAAAAUUAAAUAACAUAUAAAUUUAUAUAGCUUUGUAGUAAAUUCUAAAUUAGUGAUUAUUUCAUUAAAUCUAAAAAAUAAAAGUAAAAUGACCAAAUCAAUCUGCAAAAAAUUCACCACUCAAAAUAAUUUAAUAAAAUGUCAAAUACUAAUAGAAUUUUUUGAGGGAUGAGGUUUAGAAAAAUCAAAUUUAGCUUUUUCUAUUUGAAAAAACCUCAUUUUCAAGGGAAGACAUUAUUAAAUCCUCCUUGAUGAUGGUAAAGUUAGGGAAAGAAAAAGAAACAACAAAUCUUAAUAUGAUGUUUCAGGGAACCCUAUCUUCAAUGAAUCAAACUAGUUUUAUGGGGCCUAAUUGACUGGAAGUUCUUAUUUUCAUUUGUCCAAAUAAAGAAAUAUUCAGAAACUGAAAAUCUUCUUUCCUAUCACAGUUCUGAACAAUCAAAGCAACUAUUAAUAAAAAAAAAACACUCAGAAUAUGACAGAUUUUGAACUAAAUAUCAUCUCGAUUCACCUACUCAAGAAAUUUGAUGAGUUUUUGAGCUUGGAAGAGUCAGGUCAAAUCCACAUGUCUGCAAAUUUGGAAGGCAGUGAUUCUACAAUUCAAAGCAUAACUGCUUCAUUUGGAUAUGAUCAUCAGGAUACCACUGUAUGAGCACCAAACUAUUUACAUUGAAUGAGUUGAAUACUAGGAAAACUGAACUACUUCUCUUCAUGGGUCAAGCAUAUCAGUAGAAAUGGGAUCUGAAAGCGCAGGCAUGGAACUACCUCUGAACUUUCUGAAGAAGGCCAAAACUUUUCUUUUUGUUAGCUCAAGUCUAAAUUUAAGAGCAUUUUAAACCCUGCCCCGUCAUACACACUUGUUGGUUUUGAAACCAUACCAUUUUCAUGCUGAUACCUGUCUUUAUGGUUUCAGCUGCUUAAAGCAGAGACUGAAAGUGGAGCACCAUACCGGUAAGUCGGUCAUCAAGAUCAAAGGAUUGCUGGUCACACUAGACAGGCGAAGCAGGUUGAGAAAUGCAUAGUUGUCGAAGGACAAAUUGCAUCCAGGUAAUUUCAGCGACAGUAAUAGGAAGACCAUGAUAUUCGGACUCAGCACUACUUCGUGAGAUAACUCUUUGUUUGGUAGACGACCAUGACACCAGAUUGGAGCCAAGGAAGAUGUAAUAGCUGCUAGCGCUUCCACGAUCGUUUGGGAAUUAUGCCCAAUCCGCAUCUGUGUGGGAUUGGAUGUCCAGAGAGGACGAGGGAUGCAGUAUCAGUCCGUGGGGGGUGGUGCCUUUAAGGUACCUGAGGAUCCUUUUUACACCAAGCCAGUGCAUGGUGGUGGGACGAGCCAUGAACUGACAUGCUUUAUUGGCUGCAAAUAAGAGAUGAGGCCUGGUGUUGGAAAUGUAUUGGAGGGCUCCCACUAUGCUGCGGUACAAUAAGACAUUCGAAAUGGUUCUCCAUCAGACUCAGAUAGGGUUGUGCCAGUGGCUCCAGGUGUGGUAGUAGGCUUGGAAUCCAACAUAGUCGUUCAAGUGAGAAGAUCACAGAUGUACUUAUGCUGAUUGAGAUGUUGUAAUGCAUUGGCAUGAGUGACCUCUACACCCAGAAAGUAGUUAAUAUGACCAAGGUCUCUAAGGGCAAAUGUUGUUUUGAGAUAUUGCAAAAAUGAGAACACCUGAGGAGGAUUGCUGCCUGUAAUUAAUAUACCGUCAACAUAGAUUAAAAGGAGUAUGGUAGCAAUUGAUGUAUGAAGGAAGAACAGAGAAUUAUCAGCCUAUGAACAAGUGAAGCCCCAGCUGAGAAGUGCUGUUCGAAGUCUGAGAAACAAGGCAUGAGGGGCCUGCUUGAGGCCAUAUAAAGCUUUGUUCAAGCGACAAACAUGAGAUGGAUAUUGCGGAUCUACAAAAUCUGGAGGCUGCUGCAUGAACACUUGCUCACGGAGGUCGCCAUUGAGGAAGGCAUUUUAAUUUGGACAUCCAGUUGUCUAAUUGGCCAACCAGAGGAGAGAGCUAUGGUGAGGACUAUGCGAAUGGUGGAUGCCUUGACUAUUGGACUGAAUGUUUCGAAGUAAUCUAGCCCAUGUGUUUUGCAACACGGCGAGCUUUGUAGCGAUCAAUGGUCCCAUCUGGUUUAUAUUUGGGUUUAUAGACCCAUUUGCAACCAAUGAUAUGUCCAUGUUGAGGAGCUGGAGCAAGAGUCCAGGUGUUGUUGCGGAUGAGGGCAUUGUAUUCAGAUGUCAUAGCUUCUUUCCGGUUGGAAUUUUUGAGUGCUUGGUGAUACGUUCGAGGUUCAAUGAUUUUCGGUGCAAAGAACAAUAUGGGUUUGAGGUUACCAAUUUUUUAUCGAGUGAGCAUGAGGUGGGUGUUAGCUGGUUUGGUGAAGAGAGUCUUGGACUGUAAUGCUAAAAGUGAAGAGUUAGUAAAUGGUGCCUGAAUAAUGGAGGGAAUAAAGUGGUUAAAGAAGGAAGGACUGGUUAUAGCUAGUUGGGGAAUGGGUCGUUCACGGGACUGGGUGGUGGUGGAUGAGAAAAGGGUUGGGAAAUGAUGAAGAGGGCUGGAAUAAGGAAUAGCUGAGUGAGGGCUUGAGGACAGGAUGGGAGAGGGCUCGAAGAGUGGUUAUAUUUGAAAUGAGAAGAUGGUUUCAUUGAAAACUACAUGACGGGUGAUGUAGAGGCGACUGGAUAAGAGGUCCAUGCAUAUGUAGCCUUUCUAAAAUGAGCUAUAACCCAGAAAUACACAUUGGACUAAUCGAUAUUGGAGCUUAUGGUUAUUGUAUGGUCGAAUGUAUAGGUAGCAAAGACACCCCAAAUACUUUAGACAUUGUAUAAUCUGGAGGAUGGCCAAAUAGAACUUGGAAAGGGGAGUUAAGAUUUAGGAUUUUGGUAGGUAGUCUGUUAAUAAUAAAUGUUGCAGUUUGGAAGGCAUACAACCAGAACUUCAAGGGUAAAGAGGCUGUGGCUAAGAGGGUUAGCCCGUUUCAACAAUGUGGUGUAUUUUACAUGCAGACCUGCCAUUUUACUCCGGAGUGUGGGGACAUAAACAUCGGUUUAUAAUUCCUUGUUGAGUAAGGAAGGGAGCGAAGGCCCUAAACUCUCCUCCAUUGUCCUAUUGGAGGCAUUUGAUUGUGGAACCAAACUGUUUCUCUACUAGAAUUUUAAACUUCAUGAAUGUAGGUAAGCUUGAUCCUUAGUGUGUAAGGGAUACGGCCUGGAAAAUCUUGAACAAUCAUCAACAAAUAACAAGAAAUAUCGAGCACCAAUAGAGGCUGGAAUGGGUGACGGUCCCCAAAGAUUAGUGUGUAUAAGAUCAAGGAUAUUAGAAGCUUUAAUUGGACUCAGAAAGUGAAAAUGGUAAUUUGUGGCUUUUUCCAUAUUGACAAGCAGUACAUAUAGUAGAAUUAUUGGUUUCAAGAGUUUGAGAAUGUUUGCAACAGGAUGUCCCAGCCUAGCAUGCCAGAGAGUAAACUGCUCAGUUCUUGUGGUAGACGCAGGAGUGUGAGACGCAGUUGUGAGGAAGGUUGAGGAUGACCUUGGUGUUAUGAAGUUCAUACGGAACUUAUAGAUACCAUUUUCAAGAUUGUCGUGGAGUAGAGUUUUCUUCAUGAGGUGGUUCUUCACAAGAAAGGGACGAGGAUAAAAGUCAAAGAAAGAAUUAUUGUCAUGGCAGAAUUUUGAGACGCUCAUAAGAUUUUGGCAAGUUUGGGAACAUGAAAUACUUUGUUUAACUGAAAAGUCUUAAAUGAAGUAGGUAGGAAUUUAGAACCAAUAAGAAGAUAGGAAGCCUCUUACCAUUGCCAAUGAUGACUAUAACUAGAAAUGGGAUCUGUAAGUGCAGGCAUAGAACCUCUGAACAUUCUGAAGAAGGCCAAAACUUUUCUUUUUGUUAGCUCAAGUCUAAAUUUAAUGACAUUUCUCUCAUACACACUUGCUGGUUUUGAAACCAUACUAUUUUCAUGCUGAUACCUGUCUUUAUGAUUUCAGCUGCUUAAAGCAGAGACUGAAAGUGGAGCACCAUACCGGUAAGUUGGUCAUCAAGAUGAAAGGAUCGCAUAAGGUUAUAUUAUUCUCUUGAAUUUAAAAUUUCAAAUCACAUACAAAUGGGAGAAAACAAAAUACAAGAAUUUGACAACAUAAAUAUUACCUCCUCAUAGCAGGGCUAUCGAUACUCUCUAACAGCCUAUACAUAGAACAAAACCAUUUUUUCAUCUUUGAAGAACUUGAGCUUUUAUCGCCUUUGGAAGUUAAAUGCCUUAAUGGAAAAGGCGAAGAUAAAUAAGAAAAGCACCGCAAACCCAACAAUCACAGCUGCAACCACUCCCAGGAAAUCAUGUUCGAACCCAAAAUAGUCAUCCAAGUAUUGUUUCACUGUUACAUUUGUGCCAAGUAGUCUGUCUUCGAUAUCUCCAAACUGUGCUGUAAUCAAUCCAUACAAAGUCCAUGCAACUGGACAUGCCCAAUAAUACCAUCUCCACCACACAGGAAUCCUCUGCAUUCAUCAUGGAAGAAAUGCAACAAAAUGAGACAGUUUCAUAUCCAUGUGCUAAACAAAGUUCCAAUUUAAAGAAUUAUGGGUUUAGAGCACUAACAGUUCCUGGGACGAUAAAACCGGAGAAGAGGUUCCAUAAUGCAUAAAAUGCUACAGCAAUGAUGGCAGCAAUAUGCUGAUUUGGUGUGGCAGCCACAGCCAUCAUGCCAAACAAGGUGAAGUAUAAUAGGCUGAAGAACGUAAAAAAAAAAUAUACCAGAAGAACUUAGCAGUUGUCCAUUCAAAUCCAAUCAUUGCAUAAACUAUAGCACCAUAAACCACAGCUUGCGAAAAGACAUAUGGUAUCUCAACUAAAGCCUGAAACAAGAGAUGAAUUUUGAUUAAUAAAACGCAUAAAGCAUUAGAUAUAUACAAAGUCUAUAGCAUAAGAAAACUUGUUACCUGCGCAAAGGCAUAUGGCAUGGCUGAAUACAUUCCUGCAGCUCUUUCUCUGUAAAAGACUGUCCGUUCAACUACCACGACUGGCUGCACCGAUUGGCCUAUCUGUAACCCAAGGAAGAUAACAGCAGCAUACAUAGAGCCCAUUGCAUUAGAUAGAUCUUGUUGCCUUGUCCUGCAUUUUCCCAUGUGAAGUAAAAAUUGAAGUUGAUAUGGAGAAGCAUACUGAGUUGUCAAAAUUCUUAACUUAAAUCAAAUUACCUUUGGGUGCCGAGAUCCCAGAACAUUGUCCCAAACAUCAAGGCUAUGAAAGUUGUGAAGAAAAAUCUCACUGCCGUGUAUGGUGGAUUGCGCCAGUAUGACCAACGUUGUUUCCAUAAGCAUGCCAUACAUUGGGUGAAGGACUGGGAGUAUUGAGUAGGGAAAUAGAGGUCCUUAGAACCAGGGGUAGGUUGGCUCAAUUCUUUAAUUAAAUCUUUGUUUCUCCUGAAACAUAUGCCACAUCUUAGAAAAAGCCUCAACAACAAAUUCAAGCUUGCAUGAUGAACAUUGAGAUGGCUGUAUAUGACAUUUCAAUAUCAUAAAGCAUUCAGAUAUCCUAUAUUUGAAUCACCUGUAUAUGUCUGAGUUUUUGUAUAUUUCAGUGAAAUCCACUCCCAAAAUUAAUUCUUGUGUAGAAGUGGUAACUUCCAACAUCCAGGUUGCAGGGUUAUAACCAUCUUUGAUUUUACUUACUCCUUCAAUUCCCUAAAUGAAACCAAAUUAAUCCUUCAUAAUGUACCAAAUUUUAUAAAGGAAGUACUAAAUUUUGUCAAGGACGUACCAAAUUUUUUAAAGGAUGUACCAAUGUUGCCAAAGUCCGUUAUGAGGUGGGGAACGACCUUCAAUAACUUCCUGAAGGUCUCCAAAUGAAGAAAUGGACUAUGGAAAUGGAGAUAAGUGUUCCAUUAGCUCAAGGAUUGGAUGUAUUAAAUUUUCUCAAUGAUGUACCUAGGGUUCCAAAGUCCAUUUCGGAGUAGGGAACGAUUUCCAAUCACUUCCCAAAGAUCCCUAAAGGAAUAAACAGACCAUGAGUAAUAAGAUAGAGAUUUCAAUAGCUCAAGUAUGUACCAAAUAUUUUUAAGAAUAUACAAAAUUUUAUAAAGGAUGUACCAAGAGUGCCAAAAUUUGUUUCGAUGUGGGGAAUGACCUUCAAUCACUACCUAAGGGUCCUCAAAGGAUAAUAUGGACCAUGGGAAGAUAGAUAAGGGCUUGAUAGCCUGAGGAUUGGAUGUACCAAAAUUUCUUAACGAUGUACCAAAUUUCCUUAAGGAUGUACCUAGGGUUCCAAAGUUCGUUUCUAAGCAGGGAACGACCUCUAAUUACUUCCUAAAGAUCCCUAAAGAAAUAAACAAACCAUGGGUAAUAAUAUAGAGGUCCUGGUAGCUCAUGGAUUGGAUGUACAAAAUUGUUUUAAGGAUGUGCCAAAUUUUAUAAAAUAUGUACCAAAUUUUAUAAAUGAUGUACCAAAUUGUCUUUAGGAUGUACCUUGGGUUCCAAUAUCAGUUUUAGAGUGGGGAAUAACCUCUAAUUCCUUCUCAAGGGUCCCCAAAUGAAUAUAUGAACCAUGAAAAUGAAAAUAGCGGUUUUAGUUCCUCUAAGAAUUGAUAUACCUAGGAUCCCAAAGUUCUUUUUGGGGUGGGCAAAAACCUCCAAUUACUUAUCAAGGGUCUUAAAAGAAUAUAUACACCUUGAUAAGUAUGAUAGUGUUUUCGGUUUUCCUAAGCAUUAAUUUACCUAUAUUUUUUAAGGAUGUACCUAUUUUUAUUAAAUUAAUAUAAAAGGCUAAAUUCAAUUUUUUAUGAAAAAUAUAUUUUCUUUUAUAUUUUAUUUUAAUUAAAAAUUAAAGAUUUUAACCAAAAAAAAAAAAUUAGAUCCAUAAUCAAUUUAAAAUCAUAAGAAAAAUGAUAUAAGCACCGUCACUUAUUGUGAUUUUGAUAUGAUAAAUUUAAAAUGAAAAUUAAAAGAAAAAUAAUGUAAAUAAUAAAAUAGUAUUACAAUGAUAUUUUUACUUUUACAUGUGAUAGAAUUUACAAAAUAAAUAAAUCUUUUGUUUAGUUUUAAUAUAAAAAAUCUUAUAUCUAAAUAAUAAAAUGGAAUUUUUAAAUUUAAACCUUAAUUUAUAAAAUGUAUUAUUAUAAUUAAUAUUUAAAAUCAUUGUUAUUUGUGGGAUAAUAUUUUCAUUUUUGUACAUUAUAUAUUUUGUUUUUAUUUAAUUUUUUAUAUUAAUUAUUUAUUAUACAUUAUCAUUUUAAGUUUAAUAUGUCAAAAAAAUAAUUAAAAUCAAUAAAUAUAGACAAAUUAGAGAGUAAAAAUAAAUUUAAAUUAAAUUAAAAAAUGCACGAGCAUAUUAAAAAGAAUAUAAAGGAAAAAAAGAAAAAUAAUAAUAAAAACUAUAAUAGGUGAUAAUGGAUUAUGGUGGCAGGAGAGGAAAAAAAAAAGUGGAAAUGUGACGAGUGGUAAGGGAGAUAUAUUGAUGUGAGAAAAAUAAUAAAAAUAAAUUACACAUGUACUUGUUAACAAGUUGUAUUAAAUUGAUGUAUACUUUGUCCUUUACUUUUAAGGGUAAUUAUGGAACAAAUUUGAAAGCACUAUUGGAGUGCAUGAAUAAACAAUAUUUUUUCUCAUUUUACACCAAAAUUAAAAAGAAAAAAAGUAAAGCUCCAAAAUCUCAUAUUUUUUGUAAUUGGUAUAUGGUUAGAUGAUUUUCCCUUUUUUUUAAGCUUGGGAUCAAAUGUGGAACCGAAGGUUGGACCCAUACACAUUAAGCAACCAUCUUUGAAAAACUUGUCCUCUGCACAUCUUAUCAUGUUUGGAAGUUAAAUGCAUUAACGGAAAAAGCAUAGUUCAAAGUCGCAAUAUCGGUUAUUGACUCGGAAAGUCAUGAGGCAUAUCAGUAUCGAUGUCUCGCUUCGAUAUCAGGUGAUACGUAAAAUAAGAUAAUUAAAAUUUUCAAAAAAUUAUAAAAUUAUUAUAUAAAUUAAAAAAUAAUAUAUAUAUCUAUAUAUAUAUAUAUAUAUAUAUAUAUAUAUAUAUAAUUAAUUAAAUAAACUAAAAAUUUUAAUAAAACAAAUUUUUUUCACAUUUAGCUCAAAGUUAUUUGUGAUAAUAUUAAAAUUUGAGGAUUUAAUUCUCACUUUGCCAUAUAAACACUUUAAUUUAUCAUUAAAUCUCAUAUAUACCUUUCAUAUCAUUUUACUUUAGCAAAUCGGGUACUCAAUUCUCUUAAUAUGUUAUUAUUAAAUCAUAUUAAAGUGUUUAUAUGAAAGGUAUUUUCCAUGUAAAUUGGGACUCAAUUCUCCAUGUAAAUCCGUAUAAAAGAUAGUUUUUUACUUUACUAAUUUGAGCUCCCAAUCUCCCACUCUCGCCACCGUUGCUGUCAAGACCCAUAACAGACCUCCCAAUCUCCCACCCUCACACGCCACCAUGCCGUCAAGACCCACAAUAAACGAUACCACCUGCAAUUGUAAAUUUGCAACCAUGUAAGACCUAACAUGGGAAGGGGAGCAAUCUGAUUGUGAGGGGGUUGUCUUGUCGACGUCGCCGAUGAAAGAUUCAGUCCACUUAACGAGUCACCACCGUCGACACCAAAGCUCCACCCUCUGGUGAUGCUCGAUUUUGAGGAAAAUCAGGUAAGUAAAUCCUAAAUCAUGUCCUCAUCCUUCGGUGGUUUCUCCACUUAUUUCCGAACAAAUCACGGUUUGGGUUUUUUUCUUCGUCUUCUUUGAUCUUCUCAUUAAUGGUUUAAAAUUUCAGAAUAGGUGUUUUCUUUUGAAAGGGCAAUGUUUGAUUAUUAUUUUUUUUAAUUUUAUGAAAAUUUUGAAAAUUCUUUGUAACCUCACCGAGUCAACCAAGUUAACUUGGAAACUCAGACAAGUCAAUCGAGUCUAACCGAUUCCCAGCCGAGUUCAUGCAUUAUACUGUAUCUGGUAUCAGUCUCGUCGCGGCAAGUAUCGAGGCAGAUACGACUUGGCUGAGUCAUACCGGACUCAGCUGAUACUUUGAACCCUGGGCAAAAGUGAAGACAACGAAGAAGAGCAAGGUAAAGCUAGUUAACAACCACAACUGCAAUCACUCCCUGGAAAUCAUGCUUAAAUCCAUAAAAAUAAUCCAAGUAUUGUACCACGGUUACAUUUCUAUCUGUUAGCAUCUCCUCUACAUCACCAAACUGUGAUGUAAUCAUUCCAUACAAGGUCCAUGCAACUGGAAAUAUCCAAUAGUACCAUCUCCACCACACAGGAAUCCUCUGGAAUCUAUCAGGGAAGAAAUGCAACACAAUGAAUCAUUUCUAUAUCCUUAUGAUAAUGUAAUUUGGAUUUGAGAAACAAUUAUAUAUGGGUUGAGAGUGCUUACGGUUCGUGGGACUGUAAAGCCUGAAAAGAGUUUCCACAAUCCAUAAAAUGCAGCACCAGUGACGGUAGCAACGUGUUGAUUCGGUGUAGCAUCCACAGCCAUCAUGCCAUAGAAGGUGAAGUACAACAAGGUGAAGAACAUGAAGAAGAGAUGUCAGAGGAACUUAGUGGCCAUCCAUUCAUAUCCGAUCAUUAAAUAAACUAUAAGACCAUAUACAACAGUUGUACAAAGAUAUAUGGGAUCUCAACAUAAGUCUGCAACAAGAGAUGAAAUUUUAGUAGGAAAUGACAUAAAAGUAAUACAGAUCUGCAAUGUCUAUAGCAUAAGAAGACUAGUUACCUGUGCGAAGGCAUAUGCCAUGGCUGAAUACAUUCCUGCAUCUCUUUCUCUAUAAAAGACUGUUCUUUCAACUACGACUGGCUUCACGGAAUGCGGAAUUUUGAAUCCCAAGGAAGAUAACAGCAGAAAACAUAGCACCUAUUGCAUUAUCCAAAUCUAUUGACCUUUUUCUGCAUUUUACAAUGAAGGUAUAAGUUAAAGUUGAUUUAGAGAAACGUAUGAAUUGGACUGACUUCCACUUACCUUCUAGUGCCGAGAUCCCAGAACAUUGUCCCAAGCAUCAAGGCUAUGCCAACUGUGAAAAGAAAUCUCACUGCAGUGUAUGGUGUGUUGCGCCAGUAUGACAACCGUUGUUUCCAUAAGUUUGCCAUGCGUUGGGUGAAGAAGGGUUGGCAGUAUUGAGUAGGGAAAUAGUGCUCCUUUGAACCGGGGGCAGGUUGGCUCAGUUUUUCAAUUAAAUCUUUGUUUCUCCUGAAACAUAUGCCACAUGUAAGAAAUGGCUUAAACAACAAAUUUAAGCUUUCAUGAGAAACCUAUAGUUGAAUCACCUGAAUAGGUCGGAAUUUUUGUAUAUUUCCUUGAAAUCAACCCCCAAAAAUACUUCUUGUGCUGUAGUGGUAACUUCCAACAUCCAAGUUGCAGGGUUAUAACUUUCUUUGAUUUUUACUGACUCCUUCAAUUCCCUUCACAAAAGGAAGUCAUAUGCAUCAGUAAGCACUUGAUAUGAAUUAACUCAAACUAAAGCAUCACUGCCAAUUAUUUUUGCUAUAUGCCAUGGCAACUUAACUCAAAAUACUUUAUCAAUUGGGAAGAAUGUCUACCCAGUGGUCCCACUUAUAUCUCUUGUCCUCCGUGCUUCAUCAGGAGCAACUGCACACCCAUUUUAAAUAAUUCAGUACUUAUCUGCCAAGGAUUAACAAGAGAAACCAUAAAUUAUUUCUGUCCACGAAAAAUUCCUACCUCAUCGAAGGCUUCAAAUAUGUCAAUACUUAGUUGAUGGAUGGUGCACACAACUGUUUUUCCUGUGUCCACUGUGUUCCUAACUGUUCUCAUAAUAAUUGCAGCAGCUCUUGCGUCUAGCCCUGAAGUUGCCUCAUCCAUGAAUAUUAUUGAAGGAUUUGCCACAACUCAACAGCAAUAGUUAGCCUCUUAUGCUGCUCAGUUGAGAGACCAUUCACACCUGGCAACCCAACCAGUGCUCCCUUCAAUGGGGUCAGUUCCAUGAGCUCCAUGACUUCGUCAAUGAACAUCUGUGACCACUAGCAAGGAUUAGAAAUUGUUUAAAAAACAAUGCAAAAUAAAAAAAAUAAAAAAGAAAAAAGAAAAAAUUCACACUGCUUGUGAUUCUUUUCUAAUAGCAGGUUGUGAACUUUGUCUUGUCUUGUUAAACCAAUCAGUUAAUUGAUGGAAAUGGCUCUUUUAUGCUUAAUAACACUUGCUUGCAUGAACUUCACCCAAUUGGAUUCUAGGACAAUGAAAUUUCGACCAACAUUUUUCCUUAGGUGAAGGUCAAGCCAAACUUGAACCUGAUCUUAGCCCAACCAAGUCAAGUUUGAAAAAUCAAUUCUAAAUAGGCUUAGCUUGUUGAGAGCGAUAAAUUGAAUAAGAAAAAUGUGGAAACAAGGAAACUCACCUUUCUGGCAGCAGAAUCCACAUCAGAAGGUAACCGCAGCCAAGCUGAGUAGACCAAGGACUCAUAGACAGUAACAUGAGGAGAGUGGAUAUCAUUCUGCGCACAGUAUCUAGAAAUUCGAGCAAAAGUUUCUUUCUUCUUUAGGUAGCCAGAAAUGGUGAUGUUACCCUCAAUAUAUCCACCAGUUUUCCGACCAGCCAGUACAUCCAUGAGAGUGAUUUUACCAGCACCGCUAACACCCAUCAGAGCUGUAAGAACACCAGGCCUGAAAGCACCACUCACCCCCUUCAAAAGCUCCAAUCUGUCUUCAAGGACACCCUAAUUCUUCAUUUCCUGCAAGUUCAAUUCAAACCACUUAGUACUCAUCUGCAGUUAAAACGUGUAUAUUGUUUGCAUAAAUUUGACAUUACCUGUGGCAUGUCAACUGAGUAUCUAAUAUUAUCAAAGGUGAUUGAAUGUGGUUGGAAUGGAAGAAGCGUUCCUUUUUUCUUGUUCUGGUUAGCCUCAACAACAGCUCUAGACCUCACAGCUGCAGAUGAGAUAACUUGCCCUCUUUCCUCUAGUCUCUCUGCAUGUUGAGCUCAAAUCUAAUUAGCCAUACAAGUUAAAAUGACAACAUAGGCACACAAAGGCAUGCAUACACCAUGUAUGAGUUUCCACCUAUGGAUGCAGUUUGGUCAAUAGAGUCAGUCUUGUCAUUAAUUCUCUUACUCUUCUAUUAUAAAAGCUUGAGGCUUAUCAUAUGUUGCAAGAUUUGUACAAAUUUUAAUAAACUAGAUCCAAUUCUUAUGAGUUCAAAGCAGAGAAGAUAAAGAUGCUCACGAUCUAGGUAAGUGAGAGCCAUAGUAUAACAGAUGUUGAAGUCAAUCAGGAAUCCAAUCUGUGCCCCAACUCCUAGCUAGUACCAGUAUGACUCUGUGAAGAAACCGUGAGACUUUAAUAUUGCGACUCAUAGGGAUACUUUUGAAUUUGUAGAUACAUUCUGAAAAAAAAAAAAAUUGUUCAAUCAUCAGCCAACUUUUGCAGACUGACAUAAGUAAACACAAAUAUUCACAUGGAAAAUUCAAGAACUUACAUGUCUCCAACUCUUCGCGAGGAAUUCAUUUACCAUUAUUGAGGUCUGUGCAUACAUCAGAGGGGAAGACCAGACACCCCAUUUCCACCAUUUCUUGAUAUUUUCUGCAGUACUCACCAAACACAAAAAGGAAACAAAAAAAUCAUUGUUAGGGUUUAUGCAGAAGAAGGUUCGACUUUUCCCAAAAAAAAAAAAAAAAAACUUGCCUCAUUAUACCUCGAGAUAGGACAAAACCACCCAAUGCGAAAAGUAGAAGUGUUGCAAAUGACCCGAAUGUGUUUGCAACAAUCAUGUUUCGACCGGUUGAUGCUAUAAGUCGGAAUAAUGCAGAUGCCAUCUGAUUAACAAUCAAAAGAAGAAGAAGAUACUGUCUAAACAACCUGCAAUGAGAAGAUUUGUUUUAUAGAGAAAACAUGUGAAACAAAUUUCGACAAGUUUCUACAAAUUCCUAACUUGUAACUUUUACCUUUCCACACAUGGAUCCAAUCCGAAGACAUAAUAAGCAGAGAACACCCAAACACUAACUUCACAAAAUGUGAUUAGGAUCUUGAGAAUGAUUGUGGGAAGAGCAUAUGUCCAUGAAGGAAAGAAGAAUAGGUCUCUUUGCUUGUAAAAGACAGGAAGUCUAACAAUGGUCAUGGCAAUUUCUGAUAUUCCAUUAAACAAGAUCAUGAUCACAGUGAAAAACAAAUAACCAAUGUAUAUGAUUCUGUUGAAUGACAUGUCCUAGGAGUCGUUGACAUGGAGCUGAGUAGAUUGAAGUGGAAGUAGUCAAAUAAGUUAGUCAUGUGGAAGAUUUACCUAUUCCUUAGGAAGUAUUUGUUGGUUUGUUUCUAUUUUUUAGGAAGUAUCUAUAAGUAGCAAGUUUGUUGCUAUUUUUUAUGUUUUUCUUUUUUAAGCUAGCUGUAUAAAUAAGUGUUUUAAAGCUUAAUAAAAAAUUACUUCAGAUUCCUCAACGUUCUAUUGCUUCCUGAGAGUUUCUACACUUUGUUUCUAUCAAAACCCACAAAUUGUAUCAGAGCCAGGUUCUUGAGUAACCUGUGAGCCGAUGCACCACCAUCUACCCUAUUUACAGAAAGUAUCCAGAAUGACCUCAGAAGCUUCAUUGAAUGCACUAGCACCUCUAGUGUUUGAUGGAAUAAAUUAUCAAGUGUGGGUUGUUCGUAUGGAAGCCUACCUUGAUGCUAGUGAUCUGUGGGAAGCUGUUAGUGAGGAAUAUGAAGUUCCUCCCCUAUCCGACAAUCCAACUAUGGCUCAAAUAAAACUACACAAUGAGAGGAGGCAAAGGAAAUCAAAGGCAAAAGCUAGUCUAUUUACAGUUGUCUCAUCUACAAUUUUCACCAGAAUCAUGACACUGAAGACAACAAAUGAAAUAUGGAACUUCCUGAAUAAGGAAUAUGAAGGAAAUGAACGAGUCAAAGGUAUGCAAGUGCUGAACUUGAUUAGAGAAUUUGAGAUGCAAAUGAUGAAAGAAUCAGAAACAAUCAUGGAUUACUCAGACAGACUUCUUAGUAUUGUUAACAAAGUAAGACUUCUUGGUACUAACUUUUCUGAUUUUAGAAUAGUUUAGAAAAUUUUUAUAACAGUUCCUGAAAAGUUUGAGACUACAAUAUCAUCUCUAGAAAACUCAAAAAAUGUGUCAAGUAUCACCUUGGCAUAGCUGUUGAAUGCAUUACAGACUCAAGAACAAAGGAGGUUAAUUAUGAGACAAGAAGGAUCUGUGGAGGGUGCAUUUCAGGCCAUAUCUCAGUACAAGAAAGAGAUGCAAAGCAACAAUAACAGAAGCAACAACACUCAAAAGUUUCCACCAUGUCCUUACUGUAAAAAAUCCAAUCAUCCACAAAAAAGGUGUUGGUGGAGGCCGGAUGUAAAAUGUCACAAGUGUGGUCAGCUAGGGCAUGUGGAAAGGAUAUGCAAAUCUCAACAGCAGCAAGGAAAAGUUAAGGCUGUUGUGGAAGAACUUCAAGAUGAGCAACUGUUUGUGGUAUCAUGCUUUGCCACUAGCAGCUCCCUAGAAACUUGGCUUAUAGACAGUGGUUGUACAAACCAUAUGACUUGUGAUCAAGGGCUCUUUAAGGAACUUGACAAGACUGUUACUUCCAAAGUUAGAAUUGGAAAUGGAGUAUAUUUUGCAGUAAAAGGAAAAGGAACAGUGGCAAUUGAAGGCCACACAAGUUUGAAAUUAAUCUCUAAUGUCUUAUAUGUUCCUGAGAUUAAUCAAAAUCUGUUGAGUGUUGGUCAACUACUGGAAAAAAACUAUAAGGUAUUUUUUGAGGACGGUCAUUGCAUGAUUGCUGAUGCACAAGGCAAAGAGGUAUUUAUAGUCCAAAUGAAAGACAAAAACUUUUUCUUGGAUUUGAUGCAAGAAGAACAGGUUGCAAUUCACAAAGAAGAAAACAAUACAAUGCUUUAGUAUAGGCUUUUGGGGCACUUUCAUCAUACCGCCCUUCUCUUUAUGAAGAAGAACGAUCUUGGAGAAGGCUUGCCUGAAUUAGAGGUGAAGCCUCCUACUUGUGUGGCCUGUUGGUAUGGGAAACAAACAAGACUUCCUUUCCCACAAAACAAGGCCUGGAGUGCUACUCAGAAGUUGUAAUUAGUACACACUGAUGUGGGAGGACCUCAGAGAACACCAUCACUGAAUGGUAGUAAGUUCUAUAUUGCUUUCAUUGAUGAUCACACAAGAAUGUGCUAGAUUUAUUUCAUGAAAUUUAAAUCUGAAGUUGCUAACAUCUUUUGGAAGUUUAAAGCUUAGGCUGAAAAUCAAAGUAAAUGUAAAAUGCAAGUGAUCAGGUCUGAUAAUGGAACUGAAUACACCUCGGAGAAAUUUAACAAAUUUUGUGAGGAUGCAGGCAUUGAGCACCAGCUUACAACACCUUAUACCCCUCAACAAAAUGGAGUUGUUGAGAGGAAAAAUAUAACACUUAUGGAAAUGACAAGGCGUUUGCUACAUGACAAAGGGCUACCAAAAAAAUUCUAGGCUGAGGUUACACAUACAUUAGUCUUUCUGCUGAAUAGACUGCCAACAAAAGACUCCAUUUGAAGCAUGGUAUGGCUAUAAACCAAGGCUGCAAAAUUUAAAACAUUUGGUUGUCUUUGUUUCUCUUUUAUUCCACAUGUUAAGAGAGACAAAUUGGAUAAGAAAGCAAAAGCUGGGAUCUUUAUAGGCUAUAGCUCAAUAUCAAAGUCCUAUAGAAUCUACCUUCCAGAAAACAACAAAGUAAUAGUUAGCAGAGAUGUCAAAUUCUUCAAAUCAGAAAGUUGGAGUUGGGAGAAUGAUAAGAAGCUUGUGUUUAAAGAGAAUCUUGAGUUCUAAAAUGACCUUAAGUUUCAAGAGAAGAAUGAAAAUAUUGAUGAUGAACCUAUCAAGGGAACCAGAUCACUCUCUAACAUCUAUCAUGGGUGCAAUGUUGCUAUAAUGGAGCCUACAAGGUAUGAAGAAGCUGCAGUUGAUAAAAAAUGGAUGGAUGCAAUGAAGGAUGAGCUUAUAAUGAUUGAAAAAAACCAAACUUGGGAGCUAGUGGACAAACCAACACACAAAAUGGCAAUUGGAGUCAAGUGAGUUUAUAGAACCAAACUCAAUUCUGAUGGUUCUAUAAACAAACACAAGGCAAGACUAGUUGUCAAAGGAUAUGCUCAGAUGUUUGGGGUGGAUUUCUCUAAGACUUUUACCCCAGUUGCUAGAUUGGACACUAUAAGAAUGUUGUUGGCUCUUGCUGCUCAAAAGGGUUGGAAUAUACAUCAGAUGGAUGUCAAAUUAGCCUUCUUGAAUGGAUACUUGGAGGAAGAAAUUUUUGUGGAGCAGCCUGAAGGUUUUAUUGUUCAAAGAAUGGAGGAGAAAGUAUAUUUGUUGAAAAAGGCCUUGUAUGGUUUAAAACAGGCACCAAGGGCCUGGUACAGCAGGAUUGAUUCACCUUUGUUAGGCUUAGGCUUUACAAAAAGCCUAAGUGAAUUUACUCUAUACUUCAGGAAGGUUUGUGAUGAAACACUUGUGGUAUCUUUAUACGUUGAUGAUCUACUUAUGACAGGAAGCAGUAUGGAGCAAACUGACAAUUUCAAAAAGAAAAUGAAGGAUGUUUUUGAGAUGACUGAUCUUGGGAGGAUGACAUUCUUUCUUGGCAUGGAGAUACAACAAAAGCAGAAUGAGAUGUUCAUAUGUCAACAGAAAUAUGCCAAAGAAAUCCUGAAAAAGUUCAAGAUGGAAUAGUGCAAUCCAAGUGCAACUCCAAUGAAUCAAAAUGAGAAGUUUUGCAAAGAAGAUGGAGCUGCAAAAGUUGAUGAAAGGCUUUACAGGACCAUUAUCGGGUACUUGAUGUACCUAAAGACAACUAGACCAGAUAUUAUGAAUGCUGUAAGUUUACGCUCAAGGUACAUGCAUUGUGAUAGUGAAAUUCACUUCCAAACAGCAAAAAUAAUUGUUAGAUAUGUCAAGGGUACAAUUGACUAUGGUCUGAGGUUUUGUCAAGUUAAAAACUUUACUCUCCAUGGUUAUUCAGAUAGUGAUUAGGCAGGUUGUGUUGAUGACAUGAGAAGUACUUUAGGUUAUUGUUUCAGCAUUGGUUCUACUAUUUUUUUCAUGGUGUUCCAAAAAGCAAGAAGUCAUAGCUCAAUCCACAGUAGAAGCAAAAUAUGUAGUUGUUGCUAUUGUUGUGAAUCAAGCUCUCUAGAUCAGGAAAUUGAUGGCUGACUUGUUUAUGGAGCAAAAGAAAAACACACAAAUACUCGUAGACAACCAAGCUGCAAUUUCAAUUGCAAAUAAUCCGGUGUUCCAUGGCAAAACAAAACAUUUCAAGCUGAAACUUUAUUUCCUAAGAGAGGUACAGAAGGAGGGAGAAAUACAGUUGGUCUACUGCAAAACAGAGAGUCAAAAUGCUGAUAUCUUAACCAAGCCACUUCCCAAAGCUAGAUAUGAGUUCUUGAGGCAAAGGCUUGGAGUCUACAGUUCCAGAGACAAGGAGGAGUGUUGAAUGACAUGUCCUAGGAGCUACUGACAUGGAGCUGAGUACAUGGAAGUGGAAGUAGUCAAAUAAGUUAGUCAUGUGGAAUAUUUACCUAUUCCUUAGGAAGUAUUUGUUGGUUUGUUUCUAUUCUUUAGGAAGUAUCUAUAGGUAGCAGGUUUGUUGCUAUUUUUUUUAUGUUUUUUUGUUUUAAGCUAGCUGUAUAAAUAAGUGUUUUGAAGCUUAAUAAAAAAUUACUUCAGAUUCCUCAAUGUUUUGUUGCUUCCUGAGAGUUUCUACACUUUGUUUCUAUCAAAACCCAUAGAUUCCAUCUUCCAUUGAACAUUUGUGCAUAUGAGUUCUUAGGAAAAGUGUCAUUGCAAUGAGUGCCAUUAUUAUGAGCUAAAAACAUAAAAGAAUAAAUAAAUUAGGAUCGCAUAUUCAAAAUUAUAAGCCAUCAUCGUAAGUAACAAUAAUAAUAACACUCACUUGGAUGAGCUUUAAAAUAUAGACAAAUGAGUUCCUCUUCAUCAGCAAGUGCUCUCUUGAGAGGUAAGCAACCAACAAUUCUUUCUUGCUAAUUCCAUACUUUUUGGUUGUCAAAGCAGUUGGAUGGCUUUUGGCCUUGUUAAUUGGAGUUGCAAGCUCUUUUGCUAGUUGCUCUCCAACAUGAAAUGACUGGAAUGCCUCAACAAAUUCCUUCGCUAUGGCAAACCUGUAAGGCUCAUUUUUUAGUGUCCAAUACUGCUCAUGAUCUUUCCUAGAUGUUACCUGCAAUGAAUUCAGUUUUCAAAAAGACUAAUUGUGCAUCUUAAUAUGUAAAUCUUAUCUUCUAGCUUGAUUUUAUCUAAAAGAAGAAAAUACCAAAAACUACAAAGCUAGAUUUGCACUCACUUCUUGGAGGAAGUCUGUCACGCCCUUUCUUUGAGGACAUUUGAAGCCCAUUGACUAAAAAAAUUCAAGCACAUUUUCACGAGGUCCUUGAUAAACAAUAUGACUAUCAAAGAGGAGAAUGAUGUCAUAAAAAAAAUCACAAGUCUCAAGUGGUGGUUGGAAGAGAGAAAUGACAGCAAUCCCAUUAAGAAUGUGGAUGGUUUGCCUGAGAGAAUUCACAAUUUGACAAGUUGUUGAGUUGUCCAAGCCAGUAGAGAUCUCGUCCAUGAAUAGCGCCUUUGAUGGACCGACCAGCAUCUCACCUAUCAUUCAAACAUUUCUCAUAAUUAAAUUAAAUUAAAUCAAUGAACCAUACAUAUAAAUACAUAUGUAGUUUUUUUCUUAUUCUUUCGGUUAAAAACCAAAUUAUUCAACCUGUUGUCACACGCUUCCUUUGUCCUCCAAAGAUACCUCUUAUCAUUUCAUCUCCUACCAUGAUAUCAGCACAGAUAUCUAAUCCCAGAAUCUGUGGAUAGAAGCAGGCAUAAAGACAAAUAAACAAAGUAUGAGCUAGUAUUGGCUUUUCUCAUAAAUCCGUAUGUCAUCAUUGAAAGUCAUAUGGUUAUAGUACCUUCAUUAUAUGAUCAGUGACCACACUUUUCUUUUGGCCUUCAGUUGCUACUGCCUGAAAUAUUAGAAACUAGUAAUGACAAUAUUAGAAACCAAUUCUGUUCAGUACAUUAAGAAAUUCCGUGGAUAAAAGAUUUUGCAAUAGAGCAAAAUUCAGGAAUAAGAUCGACUCAAGCCAUUCAAAAGAGUACAAAAAGAAGGGAACAAACUCCAGAAUAGACACAACAUCAAGAAUACAAAGCUAAUUUGCCUAUUUAUGUCAAGAGAUCAAAAUUUUCAUUCUAGGGAAUACAAACAUCCAUGUUCUCCACUAAAAGCAAAUAGAUCAAAUUUAGAAGAACUGGUACAAAUUUUAUUGAAAGUAGCUUCUGUCUCACCUUCAUGAAGACAUUGAUAUCAGGAUCAAGCUUAAUGUUUGAUGUUUUCUCUCUUCUUGCGAGCUCUGCUAACAUUUUUGCAGAUAGCCAAAAUAAGAGUCAAUCUCCUAGCCUAUACAAAUGAGAUAUAACUGCAUUGGCAAUCUUCAAAAAUAGAGAAAAUAAAAGGCAAAGGCAAUGGCUUCGACUAACUAAAUCGAUCUCUAACACCCUGGCAUCUUGUAGAGAAGGCCAAGGUUUCUUGUACAGUCAUUUCUCCAAGAUGGGUAUCAUGUUGACUGAUAUACGCAGCAGUUCUCUAUUGUACAAACUCAUUCAUGCCAUGACCAUUGUAUGUCACUCUUCUAGUAACCUAAAGAAGAAAUUCCAGUUUUCAAAUUAGACAUAAGAUAAAACAGCUAAAAUUUGAAUAGUCAUGAUUAUUUUUUUCAUUCAACCUUCAGAUUGGGAUCAACAGUUUGGCGACCCGACCCAAAUAAUAUUGCAUGAUUUUUUAAUGGAAGAUUUACUGAGGCUUGUUGGGCCCGUUUAGCCCAUUGUGGAACCACAUUUUGUAAUUAGAGUUUUUUAGUGUGGUGUGGUUGUCGUGUUAUAUAUAGAGAGAAAAUAUUGUAGCUGCAGUAGUUGUACUCUGUAUUUUUCCCUGAUAAUAGUGAUAUCCCUGCAACUCCGUGGACGUAAGCAAAUUGUCGAACCACGUAAAUACUGUCCUAUGCAUGUGAUUGUUUUUUUUUCUUUGGCGUGUGUUUUUUCUAUUUUUUGUUUCUCACGGGUUAGGAAUUCGCCUUAAUUCCCUACAACUGGUAUCAGAGCCUAGGGUUAGGUUUGAGUGGGAGCAAUGACAGAGGAAGCAGGAAAGGCAUUUGGAAUAGAAAAGUUUGAUGGCAUAGACUUUGCGUAUUGGAGGAUGCAGAUUGAAGAUUAACUCUAUGGGAAGAAAUUGCAUUUGCCUAUUUUGGGGACAAAACCUGAGAGUAUGAAGGUUAGGGAAUGGGUGCUUCUUAACAGAUAGAUUCUAGGAGUUAUUAGGUUAACUCUGUCUAGGUCUAUUGCACACAAUGUUGUAAAGGAAAAUACCACAGCAGAUCUGAUGAAGACUUUGUCUGGUAUGUAUGAAAAGUCAUCCGCAAACAAUAAGGUGUAUCUGAUGAAGAAAUUGUUCAAUUUGAAGAUGGCAGAGAAUGCAUCAGUAGCAUAACAUCUGAAUGAAUUUAAUACAGUCACAAAUCAAUUGUUGUCUGUAGAAAUUGAUUUUGAUGAUGAGAUUCGUGCUCUGAUCGUCUUGACUUUUUUUCCAAACAGUUGGGAAGCAAUGAGGAUGGCAGUAAGCAAUUCUACAGGAAAGGAAAAGCUCAAGUACAAUGAUAUACAAGAUUUAAUUCUGGCUAAGGAGAUUCGCCGAAGAGAUGCAGGCGAAACCUCAGGAUCUAGUUCUGCCCUAAACCUUGAGACAAGAGGCAAAGGUAAUGACAGAAAUUCAAAUCGGGGUAGAUCAAAAUCCAUAAUUCUAAUCGGAACAGAAGCAAAUCUAGAUCAAGCGAACAAGUAUAAUGCUGGAACUGUGGGAAAAUAGGUCACUUUAGAAGGCAAUGCAAAAGUCCUAAGAAGAAGAAUGAAGAUGAUUCUGCUAAUGCUAUAACAGAAGAGGUACAGGAUGCAUUACUUCUUGCAGUAGACAGUCCACUUGAUGAUUGCGUUUUGGAUUCAGGAAUUUCGUUUCAUACCACUCCACACCGAGAAAUCAUACAGAAUUAUGUUGCAGGUGAUUUUAGUAAGGUGUAUUUGGCUAAUGGUUCAGCCUUGGAUGUUGUGGGUCUGGGAGACAUCCAAAUAUCAUUGCCCAAUGGGUCUGUUUGGUUAUUGGAGAAGGUUCGACAUAUUCCUGACCUGGGGAAGAAUCUGAUUUCUGUUGGACAACUUGAUGAUGAAGGACAUGCAAUACUAUUUGUUGGUGGUACUUGGAAGAUUACAAAGGAAGCUAGGGUAUUAGCUCGUGGAAAGAAGACUGGUACUCUAUAUAUGACCUCAUGUCCAAGAGACACAAUUGCAGUUGCUAAUGCAAGUAUUGAUACAAGUCUAUAGCACCGUAGACUUGGUCACAUAAGUGAGAAAGGGAUGAAGAUGCUAUUGUCAAAAGGAAAACUACCAGAAUUGAAGUCCAUCGAUUUUGACAUGUGUGGAAGUUGCAUCUUAGGAAAGCAAAAAAAUGUGAGCUUCUUGAAAACUGGCAGGACAGUGAAGGCUGAAAAAUUGGAACUAGUACACACUGAUUUGUGGGGGCCUUCUCCGGUUGCAUCCCUUGGAAGUUCAUAUUUAAAAGUUUUUUGUUGUGUUUCUUAUGUUCAUAUUGAUUCUGAUGCUCGUAGUAAACUUAAUGCAAAGUCAAAAAUAUGUUUUUUCAUUAGCUAUGGUGAUGUGGUUAUAGGUUUUGGGAUGAACAAAACAGGAAAAUCAUCAGAAGUAGAAAUGUGAUAUUUAAUGAACAGGUUAUGUAUAAGGACAGGUCAACUAUAGUGUCAGAUAUUACAGAGAUAGAUCAAAAGAAAUCUGAGUUUGUCAACUUAGAUGAAUUGACUGAAAGUACUGUCCAAAAAGGGGGUGAAGAAAAUAAGGAGAAUGUAAAUUCACAGGUAGAUCUGAGUACACCGGCCUAUAACUGAAGUUCGUAGAUCUUCUAGGAACAUUAGACUUCCAGAGCGUUAUUCACAUGUUUUAAAUUAUCUCAUGUUGACUAAUGGUGGUGAGUCAAAGUGUUAUGAUGAAGCCUUGCAAGAUGAGAAUUCAAGCAAGUGGAAGUUAGCCAUGAAAGAUAAGAUGGAUUCCUUGUUGGGGAAUCAGACAUGGGAACUGAUUGAAUUGCCAGUAGGAAAUAAGGUUUUGCACAACAAGUGGGUAUAUAGAAUAAAGAAUGAGCAUGAUGGUAGCAAACGUUAUAAGGCUAGAUUAGUUGUUAAAGGGUUCUAACAGAAGGAAGACAUUGACUACACAGAGAUAUUUUCUCUAGUUGUGAAGAUGUCAACAAUCAGACUUGUACUGGGAAUGGUGGCUGAAGAAAACUUGAGCAAUUAGAUGUGAGGACAACAUUCCUUCAUGGUGACUUGGAGGAAGACCUUUACAUGAUUCAGUCAGAAAGAUUCAUUGUUCAGGGACAAGAGAAUCUAGUCUACAAACUAAGAAAGAGCUUGUAUGGCCUUAAACAAGCUCUUAGACAAUGGUAUAAGAAGUUUGACAGUUUUAUGCAUAGAAUUGGGUUCAAGAGAUGUGAAGCUAAUCACUGUUGCUAUGUUAAGUUUUUUGACAAUUCUUACCUCAUAUUACUGUUGUAUGUGGAUGAUAUGCUUAUUGUAGGGUCUAGCAUUGAGGAUAUUAAUAAUCUGAAGAAGCAAUUGUCCAAACAGUUUGCAAUGAAGGAUUUGGGAGCUGCAAAGCAAAUCCUUGGUAUGAGAAUCAUUAGAGACAAGACUAAUGGUAUAUUGAAGCUUUCACAGUCAGAGUAUGUGAAGAAAGUUCUCAGCAGGUUCAACAUGAAUGAAGCUAAACCAGUGAGCACACCCUUGGGAAGUCAUUUCAAACUAAGCAAAGAACAAUCACCGAAGACAGAAAAAUAAAUGGACCAUAUGAGCAAGGUGCCCUAUGCCUCAGCUAUUGGCAACUGAUGUAUGCUAUGGUGUGUACAAGGUCAGACAUUGCACAUGCAAUGGGAGUUGUGAGCAGAUUCAUGAGUAGGCCUGAAAAGUAGCAUUGGGAGGCAGUCAAGUGGAUUCUAAGAUAUUUGAAGGGUUCAUUAGAUACAUGUCUUUGCUUCACAGGUGCAAGUUUGAAACUAUAGGGUUAUGUAGAUGCUGAUUUUGCUGGUGAUAUUGAUAGUAGAAAGAGUACUACUGGGUUUGUUUUUACUCUAGGUGGUAUAGUUAUAUCAUGGGUUUCAAAUCUACAGAAGAUUGUUACUUUGUCUACUACAGAAGUUGAGUAUGUUGCAACAACUAAAGCUGGAAAUGAGAUGAUUUGGCUACAUGGUUUCUUAAAUGAAUUGGGUAAGAAGCAGAAAAUGGGCAUUCUACACAGUGACAGUCAGAGUGCAAUUUUUCUUGCCAAAAAUUUGGCUUUUCAUUUAAAGUCGAAGCAUAUACAAACAAAAUAUCACUUUAUCCGUUACCUUGUUGAAGAUAAUCUGGUAACUCUUGAGAAGAUUUGUAGAUCUAAGAACCCGACAGACAUGUUGACUAAGGGUAUCACUAUUGAGAAGUUGAAGCUGUGCGCAGCUUCAAUUGGUCUUCUAGCUUGAGGACAUGAGGAUGAGUUGUAGGGAUGAAGGAUUAUUUCUUGGAGGAUAGCGGUUUGAUGUUGGUGAUUGAACUAGUCUCCAAGUGGGAGAUUUGUCGGGUUUUGUGGAGUCUAGUUUUGUUUGAUCCGGUUUGGUGACCCGACCUAAAUAAUAUUGUAUGGCUUUUUAAUGGGAGAUUUACUGAGGCUUGUUGGGCCCGUUUAGCCUAUUAUGGAACCACCUUUUGUAAUUAUGGUUUUUUAGUGUGGUGUGGUUGCCGUGUUAUUGAUUACUACCAAAAAGUGCUAUUUUGUAGACCUAAUUAUAAUGGUUUUAAGCACCUUUGAGUAGUAAUCAUAUUCAUUUAACCCAAUUAAUUCAUUAAGGUCCUUAGUAAUUGGUUUUAACCAUUUUGUGGGCAAGUUUACAUAUUUUUAUCAGCUUAUGAAUCAAUUCAAGCAUGCCAAAUGAUGGAGGAGCUACUUGGACAAGUUAUGGCAGUUAUAUAUAGAGAGAAAAUAUUGUAGCUGUCGUGGUUGUAUACUAUAUUCUUCCCUGAUAAUAAUGAUAUCCCUGCAACUCUAUGGACGUAGGCAAAUUGUCGAACCACGUAAAUACUGUCUUGUGCGUGUGAUUUUUUUUUUCUUUGGCAUGUGUUUUCUCUAUUUUUUGUUUCUCACAAGUUGGGAAUUCGGCUUAAUUCCCUACAAAGCUUUCCGGACAACGCCAAUUCAGAACUUGGAGGACCCAAAAGUAACGUCAAUCUGUAGAAAAAAAAAAUGCACAACAAUUGAAUAUAGAUCUUUGAGUAUAUUCUAAAUUCAAAGGAACUAUUCGUUUGUUUUAUUAAGUAAUCCAUUUUUACACUCGAAACGAAUUCAUACUCUCACCUACUAGGUUUGAUGAUUCCGCUAACAUCUCAAAGAAUAGUGAAUUUUCUCUUUCUAGUUCAAAGAAUCUGAAGACUAUGCAAGAUAUUCUUUAAAACAGAAGGAAAAUUAUAAUCUAUAAGUAUACAUAUCGAAAAGAGUAUUUAUUGCAUAGAUAAUGAUCUACAUUUGCAUUGUAGUUACCUCAACUUGAUUAAAAAUGAAAUUAAAGAAUGAAGGCAAAGCUCUGCUUCCUACAUAAGCUUCUCCAUCAAUAGUAAGAUGCUCAUAUCUAACUUCAUUUUGGGAAGUUCAAUCCCAACUCUGAAAAAAUGGAAGAGACAUGAAAACUCAUCAUUAAAAAGUUAAAGAAAGUUGUUUGGUUGGGGAGAAAAUGUAGGAAACAACUAUCAGGCAAACUCACCUAUCCAUACGAUUCUUGAGCUUCAACAAGAACUUCUCAUUGUACUCUUCAGCAAUUUUUAUCAACUGUUCCACUAAAUUCUUCUUGUCCUGAAGCCCAAGGUUGUGUAUAUCAACUUCAAUGGCCUCACCCUCUGAUCCCAGCAACAAACCUUUCCUCAACCGAUUGUAGGUGGGGGGUUUCUCAAGUGCGGCCCAUUUCAAAGCUUCCUCGUCAUCCUCACCCCUCGUAGAUUGGGAGAAAAUCUCGACGUCAGGGGUCCUCCAUCUCAUAGAACCAGCUCUACGAGUUUCAGGAGUCGACAUUGCAAACAAAAAGGAAGAACUCUCCUGCAAAACCAACAAGAACCCGCCAAAACCCGAACUGUUGAAAUUAUAAUCCAAGCUAAAGUCAAACUAAAAGAAUUUUAGGAAUUUGAUCAAUAUUAAAAAUUAUUAUUUAUUUAGAUUUAUAUGUUAAUUAAGACUUUUGGUAUAAUAGCAAUUGGAGUCUAGAAUAUAAACUCAUUUUUCUCUCUCUUAGUACAAUGUUAUGUCUUGUUGUAUUGCUGCUACUGCAUUGUAAAAAUCAUAUAGAAUGGAAGGUUUAUAUAGUGAUUGGUAGGACAGAAAAUGAAGCGUCAAAAGAUUUGAAACUGGUUUAUUUUCUUGUGAUUCUUUAAGUUAUGUUUGGUUUCUAAAAAAGUACUAAGAAAAGAAAAAAAAAUGAUUUUCUCAUGUUUAGUUUCAUAAUGAAAAAUACAAAAGAAAAUAAAAUAUAAUUAAAAUUUGUUAAAAUUUUAUAUAUUUUUAAAUUAUUUAAUCUUUAUAUAAUAGACGAAAAUAAGUAAAAUAACUUUGAAGAAAUAUAUUAAGGUUAUGUUUGGUUCCCGGAAAGUACCAAGGAAAGAAAAAAAAAUGUAAAGGAAAAUGGUUUUCUCAUGUUUGAUUUCAAUAUAAUUUUUUUUUAAAAAAAAUUAAAUAUAAUUAAAAUUAGUUAGAAAUUUAUACAUUUUAAAAUUAUUUAAUUUUUAUAUAAUGGAUGAAAUGAAGUGAAAUGAGUUUGAUGAAACAUAUAUAAAUAAUUUAUUAAUUUUAAAUUUAUUUUUUAUUUUCCUUUAUUUUUUCUUUCCUUCCACUUUUCCUUUUUAUUUUCUUUCCCUCACAUUUUCUCUUUAAUUUUCCGAGAACCAAACAUAGUCUAAAGUAAUUUAUUAAAUUUAAAUCUAUAUUAAUUUUUUUAUAUUUUUCUUUCUUUCUACUUUUCCUCUUUAUUUUCUUUCCUUCAUAUUUUUUCUCAUAUUUUUCGGGAACCAAACAUAGCCUAGAAAAUUGGUGAGGGAAAUCGACUAUAAAAGAGUCUGCACAACGACUUCAUAAUAAUGUACACAUGCCACCAUCUUUUUUUUUCCCUUCAACUUCCUAUAUUAAGACUUUCACAGUUGAUAAUUUUUGGUUUCUUACACUUUCUUUAGCAAGUAAAUAGAAAUGUGAAUUAUUGAAUGUUUUGUUAGUUUUUAAAAUAAGAAGAAAUAUAAUACUUAAUUUUAUACAUGUUUUCAAGCAUGUUUGGUAUGUGAGAUAUGAUAGGAUAGAGUAUUUAUAUUCUAUAAUAUCAAAUUCCAUUAAAUGAAAAAUGCAUAUUUUAAAAUAUAAUUUUUCAAUUAAAUAUGUUAUUUUUUUAUAUUAAAUCCAAUCGAUAUGAUAUUGUGAGAUGACAUAUCCAAUGCAUUUCCUAAAAUAAAUUAUUUCCAUAUAUUUUUAAGAUUAUCAAGUCUAAUGGAUAUAAUAUUCCAAGGUAACAUAUUUAAUGAGAUAGGUAAUGUAACGUUAUGCUUAUAUUUAAUUUGUAAAAUUAAUAAGAAAUAAAAUAGAAUAUAUAUUUUUUUAUAAUAUAUUUUGUAAAUUUUUUUUGGUUCUUCUAUUUUAACCAUAAAUUUAACUUCACAAUAAAAAAAUUAUUUUACUAAAUAAGUGAUAAAAAAUAAAAAAUAAUAAAAGAAAAAUAAAUUUAUAAUACAUAGGAUAAUAUAUCUCACUACUUAUCCUAUAAGGAAUAUAAAAAAGAUAUAGAUAAUAUAUCUCACUACUUAUUCUACCAUGUAUUACAUCCACCCAACCAAACCAUGACCUUACGGAUAUAAAAAAAAUUAAUGUUUAAUAACAUCCACAUUAAUGAAAACAAACAAUUUACUUAUAUAAACUAAACAAUCAAACACUCAAAUGAUAUUUCGCUCUAUUUAGACUAAUGAAAAAUAAACAAUUUAAAUAUUUAAUAACAUUCCACUUUAUUAAGCUUUAAGCUUAGAAUCUUAAAAAAUAAAAAUAAAAAUAAAAAAAAAAUAAAAAUUUACUUUAAGAAUUUUUUUUAGAGUUGUUUCAAAGUAAUGGGAUUAUUUGUUUUUUCUUUUUCAUUUAUGUCAUAAAGCAAAUUAUUUUAAAAUUUAAAAUCAAAAUAUAAAAAUUUAUUUUUUAUAUUAAGAUAAAAUUGUCUUAUAAAAAGUAACAAGUUAAAAAACAAAUAAUUUUAAAAAUGACUUAAGUCUUAACACUAUUAAGUAUUAUUUAGAUGCAAGGUUUAUUUAAUUUUAUUUUUUUUCAAAAAAAGCACCACCUUUCAAAUAAGAUUUAAGCAGGUUUAACCUCUUUGAAAUUGCUUGAAAUCUAGGAGGUUAUUUGUUUUUUAAACUUAAAUCUUAAAGCUAGUUGCUUUAAAAUUUAAGAUAAAAGUAAAUAAAAUAAAAUGAAAACUUUUGUUAUUAAGACAAAAUUUUCUUUUAAAAAUGAUAAACUAAAAAAAUAAUUUGAAAAAUGACUUCCAUCUUAAAGCAACUCUUUUUAUUAGGAUUGCCUCUCUAUCCUAAUUAAAAUUAAUAAUCAACUUGAUUUUGAGUAAGAGAAUAUCAAUGUUAACCAACAUUAUUUUCUAAUAAAAGUAUUUGUGAAAACGUAAACAUAUUUAUGCUUCAAUAAAUGGAAUACAUUUUUUAGUAAUAUAACCGUAUUUUAAUUUUGAAUAAAAAAAACAUAUUAGUCUAAUAAUCGAUAUUCAUAAUUGAUAAUAUCAUACAUUAAAAAUUAUUAAUGGCGAAUAACUAAUAUAUAUGGAUUAUUAAAGCAACUAUGAGCAUACAACCUAUGGAACUUGGUGUAAACUUUUUUGUGGAUCUGUUUUUUCUUUGCUAAUUAAAAAAUAAAUUAGUAAAGCAAUAACGAGCAUAGAAAUUAAUUAAAACAAUAACUAUCACUCAAAUGAAGUAUUAGGUUCUAUUGAUAAUUGUUUUUAAAAACAAUUUUUAGUCUCCAGAAUAAAAAUAAAAAAAACAAAAAAAAAACAAGAAAACAAGUUUGAUAAUAGAAAACAAAAAGCAUUUUAUUGUUUUGUUUUUUUUUUUAAGAAAAACAUUGUAUUUUCAAUCCUUUAAUUGUUUUCGCUUUUUUUUAAAGGAUUACUUUUUAAAAAUAAUCAUACAAAUAUGAAGAAUGAUUAAAAAUAAAACACUACAUAUAAAAAUUAUUUUUAAAACAUAUUUAAAAAUAUAAAAAACAUGUUAAUAAUAUUUUAGGUUUUUAAAUAGACUUUUGUUUUAUAAAAAAUCAAACAACAAUUUUCAAAAAUUAUUUUUAAAAAUUAUUUUCAAAAAAACACUUUUCAAAUACCCUAUCCUACCAACUAUAUAUAUAGACACACACAAUGCUAAUGAUUUUUAAAAGAAAAACAGUCACAUGAAAAAGGUAAUGAUAUUAGAGAGUAUAGAAGAACUUACUAAAUUGAAGAUCGAACAAGUCUUAGAAAAACAUUGUCAAUAAUACAUGGGAUGAUCAGAACGAUUUCAUAUAGCUACUGAGAUUGUCCUCAAAGUUGUUCUUAAAAAACAAAAAUACUAUAAAUGGUUGGAUCCAACCUUUCAAGGAAACCAAAGCCCUUUUCUUUUUUCUUUUUUUGAUAAAGAGAUUUUCAUUUUUUUCCUUCUAAAAGGAACAUUCUAUAUAUAGAAUCUAAAGGUAUCAAACUGUGCCUCCAAGUAGUUUGACUGUAAAGUACAAUUCAAUCCUACGUGUUGAUUGUUCUUUUGGUUUGCUAAUUGGUCAGGCAAUCGAUCUUUCCUCACGUGGUUUCCAUAUUAUCAUUUUUUCAUCUUUUUCCUCAUCAUUUUUAUCCUUUUCCAUAAAUAUAUAUAUAUAUAUAUAUAUAUAUAUAUAUAUAUAUAUAUAUAUAUAUUUAAAUUAUUUCAUUAGCAAUUUGUUGAAGACUUGAAAAUAAAUUAAAUAAGAGAAAUAUUCACAAAUUUUUUACUUAAUUAUUCAUGAUGACAUUAAUUAUGAGAGUAAGGUAUAACCAAAUAAGACUAAGAUGGUGUUUGUUUUUUUACUUAAUUCUAAAUAGAGUCUUAAUACUUAAUAGUGUUAAAUAUUAGGUUGUUUGUUUUUGUAGUAUUUUAUUUCUAUUAAGUAUUAAAAAGUAAAAAAAAUCAAUAUAUUAUUUUCUCUAUUUAGAAAAAGUUACAUAUUUUGGUUUUUUCUAUUUAGUAAAAAGUUUAUAAUAAGUCAUGAAAAAGUAGAAAAACAAACAACCUAAAUUUUAAAACUAAAUUGUUUUCAGCAAAAAGCUAAAAAAACAAACACCACCUAAGAUAGGAAAAAAUGAGACCAAAGAAUUUGUCUCUAAAAGGUAUGAAAAAAUGAGAAUCAAAUAUGAAUGAAGGAGAUAUAGGUAUAAACUUAAUAAGAAAAAUGUUAAUUAUGCUUAAAUCUAUGAAUUUAAGAAAAUCUAAAAUUUCGAUCAUAAUUAUUCAUGAUCACAUCAAAUUUAUAUAUAGGAAUGGUUGAAAAUAAUGAGAGCAAUGCAUAACCAAAUGGUACUAAGAUGGGAAAUAAUGAGACCAAAGAAUUUGUCUUUAAAAGGUAUGAAAAAAUGAGAUUCAAAUACCGAUUAACUAGAUAUAGGUAUAAAUUUAAUAGGAGAAAUAUUAAAUACGCUUAAGGUUAUGUUUGGUUCCAAGAAAAUAUUAAAAAAAUAAAAAAAAAAUAUAAAGGAAAAUGAUUUUCUCAUAUUUGAUUGUCUUAUGAAAAAUAUAAAAGAAAGUCAAGUAUAAUUAAAACUAAUUAGAAACUUACGUAUCUUUUAAUUAUUUAAUCUUUAUAUCGAUUAAUUAAAAUAAACAAAAUGAGUUUGAAGUAAUAAAUAAAAAUAAUUUAUCGAUUUUUAAUCUAUUUUUUAUUUUCCUUUCAUUUUCCCACAAAUUUUUGUGGAACCAAACAUUUGAAGUAAUAAAUGUAUGAAUUUAGGAAAAUCUAAAAUUUGGCCAUAAUUUUUCAUGAUUACAUCAAAUAUAUAUAGGAAUGGUUGAAAAUAAUGAGAGCAAUGUAUAACCAAAUGAUGUUAAGAAAAUAAUGAAAUCAAAUAAUUUGUCUCUAAAAGGUAUGGAAAAUGAGAGUCAAAUAUGAAUUAAUGAGAUACAAGUAUAAAUUUAAUAAGAGAAAUACUAAUAAUGCUUAAAUAUGUGAAUUUAAGAAAUUCUAAAAUUUUGACCAUAAUUUUUCUCAAAUCAAAUAUAUAUAUAGGAAUGUGUGGACCCCGCAUUUCGGCUCAUGCGUUUCCCACUCGAUGGCGAGCUCGAUUUUAAUUUGAAAUUUUGAUUUUAUUUAUUGUUUGAAAAUGACUUGGAGUCGCCACUUAUUUUUGUUUUAUUUUAAAGGGUAAACAAAAUAAGAAAGAAAAACCCUAAGUGUGACUCCUUGUUUUGGAAAAUGUGGUCUAUGAAAAACCGGAUCGAGUUCGGGGGUCAGGUUACUUAUCGAGAAGGUACGGUAGAGACCGUAGCACCCCUCUAAGUCCCUAAAAACAGGUCUCUACUAAUAAAAUAAAGCAAUCAUGGCAAUUGAUGAGUAAAUCAAUAAAUACCUAGGAUGGCCAUGCUCAUGUGAAAAUCAAAACACUCAAUAAGAACGAUCGAAGUGGGAGUGGAGCAUACCUUGGCACCAAACGAUCAGCGUCCAUCAAGAAAGGGGGUUAGCGCACAGUUAAGAAAUAAUAUCAUGCAUGUCAUAGAGCAGAAUAACUCAAUCAUGUACUACCAUCAAAUCAACUAAUUAAACAAUCAAUCAUAAAAACGUGUAUGUGGGGCCCCCACCAAAGCCCGAUUUAUAUUGCAUGAAUUAAUCCCAUAAAUUCCAUUAUUCGGAAUUACGGAAAAUUCAUUCUUGCUUAUUAAAGUCCAUAGGAGCAGAAGAUUGUUUGAAAGCCAUAGCGAAAUUAAAACUAUUCGGGAGAAAAUUAGAUUUUUGAAAUUUAAUUGAAAAAUUGGAAUCUCGAAGAUCACUAGAAAAUUGGAGUUUUAGAGUUUAUUUGGAGAUUAGACUUUUAGAGAUUGAAUGUGAGAAUGAGAAUUUUUAGAAACUGAAUUUGAAAGAGGUUGGAAUUUUGAAAACGAUUUGAAGGUUCGGGAUUUUAAAGAAAAAUUAAGUUGCGAAAAUUGAGACUUUGGGAGUUGAAUUUUGAAAGAUAUCAGAAUCGUAAGUUAUUUGAGAAAUAGAAAUUAUGAAAGUUGAUGAGUAAAAAUUGGAAAUCUUAGAAAUCAUUCGAAGGCGGAAUUUAUAGAAAUAAUGAAUAAGAUGAUAAUGAUAAUGAUAAUGAUAAUAAUAAGUAGUGGGAUAAAUACGGGAAUUGGAGCAUGGAAAACUGAAAAUUAAGUUCGGAGAUUGGACAAUUGGAGUUUCAAAUAGCUAAAUUUAGAAAUUGGAAUUUUGAAGAAUUGAAUUUUAAUGAUUGAGAUUUUUAAGAGAAAUAAAUAGGUAAAUAUGGAAUAAUGUUAUUAAUUAAUCAAAACGAUAUUUGGACAGAUGAAUAGUGAAUAGUGGGAUUUUUAAAUUUAAGUUUGAAAGUCGGAUCUCUGAAUAAUUGGACUCUAAUUAUUGGAAUUUUUAGAAGAAAGAAAUAAGUAAACGUGGAAUUUAUAACAAUGAUAACAAAGAUGAUAUUUGAAUGAAUAAAAGUGAAUGGUGGAAUUUUUGAGUCUCAAGGUUAAAUUUGGAAGUCCGGUUUUUGAAGAAUUGAAUUUUAAUGAUUGAAAUAAAUAAGUAAAUAAGUAUGGAGUAAUGAUACUAAUUAGCAAAAAUAAUGUUUAAACGAGUAAAAAAAUAAUAGUAGAAUUUUUCUAAUCAAGAAUUUGAAUUAGGGCGUUGGAUUUUUAAAGGAUAUGACUUUGAAUAAAUAGGUAGGAUUAUAAUACUAAUUAAUGAGAAUAAUAUUUAGGCGAAUAAAGAUGGAUAGUAGAAUUUUUUUUUUAGAUUGGAGUUUUAAUUAAGGCAUGGGGUUUUCGGAAGAUUGGACUUUAAAUAGACAUGAAAUAAAUGAUUCUAAUUGAUGAAGAUAAAAUUUAGACGAAUUGUAGAAUUUUUAGGAUUGAAAGAUUGAAUUAAGACAAGAGAUUUUUUGAAGAACUAGGUUUUAAAUAAAUAGAUGAAUAUGGGAUAAUAAUCCUGUUUGAUGAAAAUAAGAUUUAAACGAUAGGAUAAUAAUUCCAAUUGAUGAACAUGAGAGACAGAUAUUUGAAGAAUUAAAUUAAGGCAUGGGAUUUUCUUAAAAGAUUCAGAUUUUAAAUAGCUAGAUAAAUAUGAGAUAAAUAAUUCUAAUGGAUGAAAAUGAGAUUUGAACUAAUUAUUGAAUUUUUAGGAUUGAAAAAUUAAAUUUAAAUAUGGAAUGUUUGAAGGAUUAGACUUUAAGUAACUAGGUAAGUAUGGGAUUAUAAUUCCGAUUGAUGGAAACAAGGUCUAAACGAGCUUUUGAAAAAUUAAAUUGAGACAUGGGGUUUUUGAAGGAUUAGAAUUUUGACUUUAAUAAACGAGAUUUAUAAAAUAUGAUAAAUAGAUAUACACAAAAAAAUAAUAAUAAUAAUAAAUAGUUAUAAUGUUUAAGCUAGCCAAAUUGAAUAAUAUAAGCUUCAAGAUAAAACUAUAAUUAACAAUAAUAAUUUGACUUUCAAUUUUCUUUAAGAUGAGUUAACCAAAUGUAUAAAAAUAAGAUGACAAAUAAAAGGGGAUGAUUUGAUUAAUCAAUUAUGGAUAUUAGAGGUUUUGUUUUGUUUUCUUUUUAAAAUGAUUAUUUAGGAAUUGGGCAACCUGAUGGGCUAACUUGAAGUGGGCAUGGGCCACUUUAAUAAGGGGAAUUGGCAUGAGGCCUUCAUCAAUGUAAAUGGGCCUGGGCUCCAACUUAAGCCCAAGUCCAAUGCUAGCAUGGGCGGCUUCAGAGACUCAUCUCCCUCACCAACUUGUCCCGCCUGGCUGCAACCCCUUCAACAUCUCCCCGCGGCGGCGGCGGCUGACUCCAUCACGCCUGGAUGAAGCUGGCAGUCGGCGCGCGCCGCUUUCUCGGCGCGUCCACGUGCUCUACCGGCUGAGAUCGAGCUUCCUUUCUUCACGGUGGUCAUGUGCAUGUCGCCGACGCAAGCAGACGACAGCUGGUUGAGCUCUCUCUGGAUCGCUCUCCCUCCGGCAGCGACGUCGCCCGAGUCAGGUACGACGCAGGCGAGAUCGAAGGCGCGUCCUGCGCGCGCCUCGUGCCUUCUCGUGUCUACAUCGAGCAGCUCUCCAUGCUACCCCGUCGGAUUCGGGCUGCCUUGACCGCCGUGGGAGCAGUGGCUGCGGCGACGAUGCUUGGGAUUAGCACCGAUCCAGAGCUCCUCUUUAGGGGCUCAUCGGUUAUGAAAGGUGGCAGCCAUGCAUGGCUAUGCAUAGCCAUGCGAGGGGAGAGGAAUGGGUGCAGGGACGUGGAUGGGAACUAGGAUAGCUGUGGUGGGUAUUGGUAUGGGUUCAACGCAGCCAUGCAAGGGUGGAGAGAAACUGGAAGUUCUCAAUGCCAUUGAUCAAACAUCAAACCCAAGUGAGGAUCCAAUCUCUUGCAAGGGAAAAAUCAACAAAAUUGCAGGAAGCAAAAAAAAAAAAAACAGAGCAAGCAUUUUCAGGGUCUUGGAUACCCACAGCAAAUCACAAAAUAACCUUCAUAGAUUAACAGAAGACCUUACCUGAAUAUUCCACCACGUCACCUUCCUCUCUCUCGUCUGAAUCCCCCUGCGCCCCCUCUUCUUUUCUCCAAGCUUCAAAAUGUCCCCCCCCAUCACCCCCCGGAACCCCCCUUUUCUUUUUCUUCUCUUUUUCCUCUGUUUGUGUCUUCCUCAGCAAGUCAUCCUGCCUGCUGCUACCCAUCCCAUCUGGUGGCUACCCCUCAUCCCCUCUAGCUGCCCCAGAGCAGCCCGCUUGAGAGGCGGUCAGAAAAACAAUAAUAAUAAUAAUAAUAAUAAUAAGCUAAAGCUCCUGGGGGGGUGGUUUUCUACAGAAUGGUUGAAAAUAAUGAAAUCAAUGUGUAACCAAAUGGGACUAAGAAAAAUAAUGAAACCAAAAAAUUUGUCUCUAAACAGUACCAAGAAAUGAGAAUCAAAUAUGAAUUAAUCAAAUAUAGGUAAAUUUAGUUAGAGAAAUAUUAACAAUGCUUAAAGAUAUGAAUUUAAAAAAAUCUAAAAUUUUAACCAUAAUUAUCCAUGAUUACAAUAAAUAUAUAUAGGAAGGGUUGAAAAUAAUGAGAGCAAUGUAUAAGCAAACAAGACUAAGAAAAUAAUGAAACCAAAAAAUUUGUCUCUAAAAGGUAUGAAAAAAUCACAGUAAAAUAUGAAUUAAUGAGAUAUAGGGAUAAAUUUAACAACAGAAAUAUUAAUAAUGCUUAAAUAUAUGAAUUUAAGAAAAUCUAAAAUUUUGGUCAUAAUUAUUCAUAAUCACAUCAAAUAUAUAUAGUGAUGGGUGAAAAUAAUGAGAUCAAUGUAUAACUAAACUAGACUAAGAUAGAAAAUAAUAAAACUAAAAAAAUUCUCUAAAAUGUAUGAAAAAAUGAGAGUUAAAUAUGAAUUAACAUAUAUAUAUAUAUAUAUAUAUAUAUAUAUAUUUAAUUAGAAAAAUAUUGACAAUCUUAAGUAUAUGAAUUUAAGAAAAUCUAAAAUUUUGGCCAUAAUUAUUCAUGAUCACAUCAAAAAUAUAUAGGAACAAUUGAAAAUAAUGAAAGGUAUAAUCAAAUGAGACUAAAAUAGAAAAUAAUGAAACCAAAGAAUUUGUCUUUAAAAGUUACAAAAAAAUAAAAAUAAAAAAUGAGAGUAAAAUGUGAAUGAAUGAGAUGUUGGUAUAAAUUUAAUCAGAGAAAUAUUAAUAAUGCUUAAGCAUAUGAAUUUAAGAAAAUCUAAAAUUUUGGUCAUAAUUAUUCAUUAUCACAUCAAAAUAGGACGCUUGAAAAUAAUGAGAGCAAGGUAUAAUCAUACGAGACUAUGAUUAUCAAACUACUUCAAAAUCAAAAUCCUUAAUAGAAUCAAAUCAUCAAGAUGAUGUUAGUCUUUUUCAAAACAUUGAAGAAAAUCUAAGCCAAAGUUCCAAUCACCAAGAAAUAUGCAUAAAAGAUAUUUGCCGGCCAAAGACCUUAAAUGUAAUCACUAUGGAAUAAGAAUUAAUUUUAGAAUUAUUUAUUAAGGUUAAAGAUUCUUCAAUAAAAACAUAAUUAUGUGAAAUUUGUAAGAAAUCGAUUUCUAAACUAGAAAUGAAAAAAAAAAAACUAUAAAACCUUAUAACUUCUAUGAAAUCUUGACAAGAUUUAACUAUAAUUCCCUAAGAAAGUGAUUAUUAAAGAUCUUCAAUAGGAAACAAGAUGAUGUUAGAAGUUAGAGAAUUAAGACAAUACACCAACAUAUGUUUAACAAACCUUCAAGAACAAAUUAAUUAGAUAGUAAGUAAUAAGAAUCGAUCUUUAAAAAAUGCAAUGUUUCCCUAAUAAUUGUGAUUAACAAUGAGUUCAUCGCUAAGAUUAAUUGUUGUCUUAAUAGAUUCAAGAGUAGCUUCUUUAUGGCAUGCUAAUAGGUCAAACUUAAGAUUAGGUACAAUUUGUCUAAGGCUUAUAUCAAUAAUCAAGGGAUAUGCACACAACAUUUAAUUUGGUAUAAGAUUUAAGAGAAGAAAUAUUCUUGAAAUACCCUUUUUAAUUGUCUGGCCUAUCACUAGAGUAGAUGGUCAAGGUAUAAGACUAAAUUCUUAAAUCAAGAGACUCUUUUUGAAUUUGCAUAUCCUUGAAAAAGAAACCUAAAUAAAUUAAGAUCCUUGAUUAUUUCUAAAAAAAUACAGGCUAAGGAUAAUCAUAUCAAUUUUUUAGUUCAAGAAGUUAGAUCUAAGAGAAUUGAAGAACAAUUAGAAGUUAAAAAGACUCAAGAUGUUAUCCAAUAAUUCAAAGAAAAGUUGGUUAGAGAAGCCUGUCCUAAAUUCCCUAAUGUAUUUUGGCAUAGGAAUGAACAUGUUAUGGAACUACCUUACAACCUAGAAUUUAGGGAAAAUGAUAUUCCCACUAAGGCAAGACCAAUUCAAAUGAUUCAAAAACCAUUGAGAUAUUAUGAAAAGGAAAUUUAAGAACUCUUUAAAAAAUUAAUAAAAAAUCCAAAUCUCCUUUAAGUUGUGUAUGCACAAAUUUCUUGAAGUCUUGCAAAACAACCAAAAACUAUAGGAAAAAUAUAUGUGAUCAAAACUUUAUAUUAAAAUUAAUUGAUUGUGCGGUAUAGACUCAAAUAUAAUAUUCUUUACAAAAGAAAAUUUUCCCUUUAUUCAUUCACUUUGAUUACAAUCCCAAAGAUGAUGACAAGAGUCUUUUCUUGAAUUUUGAAAAUCAAUCCAAUGCCUAGAGUGAUUUUCUCAAAUGAACUUGUUAAAUGAUGAAAAACACGUAUAUACUUUUAUUGUAUAAAAGUAUAAAACACUUUCACAUUUAUUUUUAUAAUAAUUAUAUAAUGUAAUUAAAAAUAAUAAUGCAAAUUAAUUAAUAUAAUAAUUUCAAAAUAAUAAAAUACAAAAGACAUGCAAAUAAAAUUAAAUAUUAUAAUUUUUUUUUCAUUUUAUAUAUAUCCUUAUAUUUAAAUAUUAUAAAUGGUCUAUUUAAUAAAAUUUAAAAUAUUAAUAUAUUUAUAUUUCUCUUCAUCAUUUAAUUUGAUAUGUCAAAUAUAAAAAUGAAAUUAUUAAAAUUUUUAAUUAUAUAUAAUUUUAAUUUCUUAUAAUUAUUUAAAAUUUUAUAAUAUAUAAAUUAUUAUUUAUGAUGUCGAUCGAGGUCCGACCAAUGAACCAUGAACAAGUAACUUUUCUAGUUCAAUCACCAAUCCAAUUAAACAUUGAUCAUAUGACUUGUAAUACAAAAAUUCAUGGCCCCACAAUUGAUUUUUUAUUUAUUAUUUUAACCAUGAAAUGUGGGCCCCCAUGUUGUUCUUAAAUCUUAAAUAUCAAAUAAAAUGAUGAAAUAUUUUUAAAAUUUUAAUUAUUUAUAUAUAUUUUUUCACUUAUUAUAAUAAUUUUUAAUUUUCAAACCGGUUCAAUCGAGUCAACAACCAAUCCAAUUUUGAAAGCAUUGGUAAAUAUAGGCAUAAAACUAUUGGAAAUAACUCCCGCCUUUCCAAGGAAGGCCUAAACUUCCCUUCUUGCUUGCUGAAUUCUAAAUUUAAUAGCAUUGCAAACGCUGCAGAUUAAAAACACAGGUCUAGUUUUUUAUAGUUUCUAUAUUUUCAUCCUAUUAUUUAUGUCUUUGGUACUUAGAGCAGAGAUUGAAAGUGGAGGCCCAUACUGUUAAGUUGGUAACCAAGGAUGAAAGAAUAGCUCAAGGUUCUAUUACUGUCUGGAAUUUCAAAUUACAUAAAAUUGGGACGACAAAGAAAUUAAAGAAUUUAAUAUCCUAACAUCCUACGUACACAAAGAACAAAACCUUUUUUUUCAUCUUACAAUCAAAUGUUGAACUGAAAGGUUACAUACAUAAAAUAACCAACCAUCCUUGAAGAACUUGUGCUCCGAAUGACUUCUUAUCGCCUUUGGAAGUUAAAUGCCUUAAUGGCGUAGGCAAAGAUGAAUAAGAACAGCACCACAAACCCAACAACCACAGCUGCAACCACUCCCAGGAAAUCAUGUUUGAACCCAAAAUAAUCAUCCAAGAAUUGUUUCACCGUUUGAUUUUUGUCAAGUAGUGUGUCCUGUAUAUCUCCAAACUGUGAUGUAACCAAUCCAUACAAAGUCCAUGCAACUGGACAUAUCCAAUAGUACCAUCUCCACCACACCGGAAUUCUCUGUAUUCAUCAAGGAAGAAAUGCAACAAUAUGAGUCAUUUCUAUAUCCAUGUGGUAAGGAAAGUUGCAAUUUAAAGAAUCACAGGUUGAGAGCACUUACGUUUCGUGGGACUAUAAAACCUGAAAAGAGGUUCCAUAAUGUAUAAAAUGUUGCGGCAACAAUGGAAGCAAUAUUUUGAUUUGGUGUGGCAGCCACAGCCAUCAUGCCAUAGAAGGUGAAGUACAAUAACGUGAAGAACAUGAAGAACAGAUACCAGAAGAACUUAGCGGCAGUCCAUUCAAAUCCAAUCAUUGCAUAAACUAUAACACCAUACACAACAGCUUGUGCAAAUACAUAUGGAAUCUCAACUAGAGCCUGCAACAAGAGAAGAAAUUUGAUUAAAAUGCAAAACAUAUUAUACAUAUACAAAGUCUAUAGUGUAAGAAAACUAGUUACUUGUCCAAAGGCAUAUGGCAGGGCUGAAUACAUUCCUGCAGCUCUUUCUCUGUAAAAGACUGUUCGUUCAACUACAACGACUGGCUGGACCGAUUGGGCGUUCUGAACCCCAAGGAAGAGAACAGCAGCAUACAUAGAACCCAUUGCGUUUAACAGAUCUUGUUGCCUUGUCCUGCAAUUUACCACGUCAAGUAUAAAUUAAAGUUGAUAUAGAGAAACAUACUGAGUUCUCAAAUUUUUGAACCGACAUCAAAUUACCUUUCGGUGCCCAGAUCCCAGAACAUUGUCCCAAACAUCAAGGCUAUGAAAGUUGUGAAGAGAAAUCUCACUGCCGUGUAUGGUGGGUUGCGCCAGUAUGACCAACGUUGUUUCCAUAAGCAUGCCAAAAAUUGGGUGAAGAAGGGUUGGGAGUAUUGAGUAGCGAAAUAGAGGUCUUUUGUACCAGGGGCAGGUUGGCUCAGUUCUUUAAUUAAAUCUUUGUUUCUCCUGAAACAUAUGCCACUUGUUAGAACAGGUUUCAACUACAAAUUUAAGCUUUUCAUGAGAAACAUUAGGAUGGAUGUAUAUGACUUUUCAAUCUUAUUAUGCAAUUAGAUAACAUAUGGUUGAAUCACCUGUAUAGGUCUGAAUUCUUGUAUAUUUCAGUGAAAUCUACCCCCAAAGUUCCUUCUUGUGCUCCGGUGGUAACUUCCAGCAUCCAGGUUGCAGGGUUAUAACCAUCUUUGAUUUUACUGACUCCUUCAAUUCCCUUUAUGAAAGCAAGUGAUAUGUAUUAGUAAGUGCUUGAUAUGAAUUAACUCAAACUGAAGUAUUCACUUCUUAUAGCUUCUACUUUAUCAUGGCAGCUUACCUCAAAAUAAUUUAUCAGAUGGGAAGAAUGUCUACCCAGUGUUCCCACAUAUAUCUCUUGCCCUCCACGCUUCAUCAGGAGCAACUGCAAAUCCAUCUUAAAUAUUUCAGUGCCUAUAUGCAAAGAGAACAGAAGAGAAACUAUAAUUCUAUCCCUUAACAUUUCCUACCUCAUCGAAGGCCUCAAAUAUGUCAAUACUUGGCUGAUGGAUGGUGCACACAACUGUUCUUCCUGUGUCCACUGUGUUUCUGACUGUUCUCAUAACAAUUGCAGCAGCUCUUGCAUCUAGCCCUGAAGUUGGCUCAUCCAUGAAUAUUAUUGAGGGAUUUGCCACAAGCUCAACUGCAAUAGUCAGCCUCUUGCGCUGCUCGGUUGAGAGACCAUUUACACCUGGCAACCCAACCAGUGCAUCCCUCAAUGGGGUCAGUUCCACAAGCUCCAUGACUUCCUCAAUGAACAUCUGUAACCAUUAGCAAUGAUUAUGAAUUGUUUAAAAAACGUUGCAAACCAUAGUAGAGAUGGUAAAAAAUUUGACACUGCUUGUGACUCUUCUGUUAGCAGGUUGUGAAGAGGUUUCCCUAGUCUUACUAAAUGGAUCGGUUAGUAGAUGCAAAUGCUCAAUAACACUCAUUAGCUUGCAUGAACUUCACCCAAUUGGAUUAAAAGUCAGUGAAACUUGAACCAGCACUUUUUCCCAGGUGAAGGUCAAUCCAAACUUGAACCUGACCUUACCUCAACCAAGUAUAAAAAGUCAAUUCUAGGGCUUUGCUUGUUUAGAGCACUAAAU